RNAcentral lists this long non-coding RNA (134299 nucleotides) under Solanum tuberosum (potato). Its description in RNAcentral is "long non-coding RNA (STUB_LNC010096)". Lineage: Eukaryota; Viridiplantae; Streptophyta; Magnoliopsida; Solanales; Solanaceae. The record is from RNAcentral.
UUUUUUUUUUUUUUUGUAGGUUGAUUGUGCAUGAAUUUGUUAAUCAGAUUUAAGUUAUUUUAUUUUGAAGAAAUCUUCAAUUUUUUGUUGUAGGUGAAUUUUUCCUUAAUCUGAAGAUGAUAUUGACAUAUAUUAUAAUAAUUCUCUCGCUUUUUUCUCACACAAAUUAAAGUGUUUGUGUCCGUGCAAAUGUUAAUUAUUAUCCUUUUAAAUUCUUCAUGAAACUUUAGUAAAAUUUAAAUCAGUAUAUAUAUGUGUGAGAGAGAAUACCAAUUUGGAUAUAUUAUACAAAAAUAAUAGAAAUAUUUUUGUAUAACAUUUCUAUUGUUUUUUAUAUUUUUUUUUCAUGUAGGAAUAUAUUUUUUAAAUGGGUCUGAUUAAGGAUUUUAAAAAAGAAAAGAAAAAAUCUAAAUCAGAGUUGAAAUCAAUAGCUACUUCUCUUUCACUCUGAGAUAUGGUGAUUUCAUGUGGUUUGAUUUUAAAUAGUUUGUUUUAUAAAAUACAUCAAAGACACUAAAAUUAUAUUUUUUGCUUUCAGUAUUUUACAAGUGAUACUUUUACAAUUACUCUCAUUUUCCUUUCUCUUUAUAUCUUUUUUGAAAUCCAAAAAUUCUCUAUAAAGGAAGAUAAAAGGAAUGAAUGAAAGACACUAUCAAGAAUGAAAAAUAACAAAAAAAAAAAAAGGUUAUAAUUAAACCUUGUGCUGAUUUUCUUAUAUUUUCUUGAAAUUAACAUUAUCAGUUUACAAGAAGAUUACGACACUACAUAAUUUUUUAAAAAUGUUAUACUGUUUUUAAUUUCAAUAUCUUUAUAGAAGAAGAAUAUAACAAUACUUUUUGCAAUAAUAAGUAUUAUUUGAAUGAUCCUAUGGAAAAUCAAUUCUAGUAAAGAACUUGAACUCAUUAUGAUCAACUCUCACCUAAGUUUAAAAUGGUACUACUAUUUUCCUACCAAUUAUGCAAACAUUCUACUAUUUUCCUCAAUCUCUUUAAGGUUUCUGGUAAGUGAUUCAAUAAUUUACUUUUGGAAAUUAAAUUUUGUACAAGAUAUUGUGCAUGGAUUUGGAUAAAUGUAAUAGCCUUUUCCUAAUUAGAUUCUAUAUUUGUAAUCCUUAAAUGUAGUAUAUAAAUAUCAAAUGGCAAAUCUUAUAACUAAAGUUUAUCAAGAAAAUCCUAUAACUAAAAAGGAGAAUUCGAAGUCCUUUUAACUUUAAAUCUUUAAUUCAUCUCUAAAAACUAACCUAUUUUUUUUUUUGGCUUAAAAAUAUUUAAAGAUGGAAAGAGGCAGAAGAGAGAAGGCAAUAAUAUUACUGGUUGCGACUCUUUCAACAUGUUUCUCUGCUUAUGGACAAGAAAUGAUCACUGAUCCAAAAGAAGGUAAUUUAAUUAUUUCCUCCUCUUGUGAUUGUCGAGCUAGUUAAUGAUAUUUGUAAAGGUUAAUUUGGUAGAGUAUAUAAAAAUAAUGCUAAAUAAAGUAUAUUAGUAGUGCUUAUAUUAGUAAUGUUUGCAUUAAUUAUAGAUAGAUUAUUUUUUAUGUAUUGUUUGAUUUGGUGCAUUAAAAAUAACAUGCAUUGCAUAAAAAGUUUUAUUUACAAAUAUACCCUUCAUAAUUAUGAUGAAAAAGAUGUAAAAAAUGGUUAUAAGGGACAAUUGUGUCUUUAACCAUUCUAUUACAUGCAUUAAAACUAGGGGUAUUCACAAUUUGGAUAAAAACCGAUCCAAACUGGAAAAUCAAACCAAACCGAUUGUUGUGCCGUAAUUUUCCUAUCUUUAGAAAAGUUACUUUUGAAAUGUUUUAAGUAUAAAACAAUUUGAGAAAUAUACUUAGAAAGGAGUCGCCACUUAAUUUUUUAAAGAAAUUAAGAUAAGUUAAUUUAAAAGGGCUUUAACAGAUAAACCUUUAAAAAUUUAGAGAAAAUGGGUAAGAAGUUCUUAUUUCUACUCUAAGAAGGUAUUAGCACUUAAAGUAGCCGCUAACCUGCGGUUAUCCUACGACUUGACAAAAAUAAUUUUUUUGACUAAUUCUUUGGGAAAAUGAUUUAACAUAAAAAUAACAAUUUAUAAUAUUUGAUUAAUUUUAAGAAAAUGAUUAAAUAAAUGACACAUUUUAUAUUAUAUUAUUUUUUUUAGAGAAAGGGAUCCAAAAUGGAACAUUUGACUCGAAAUACAAGUGAUUAGAAUUUUAAUAAAACUAGAUUAAUUAGAAUUUAUUUGACUUAUUUUUUUAUUUUAUUUUUUUAAUAAUAAUUUAAACCAAAUUGGUUUGAACAUUGAAACCAUUUAAAAUUAAUUGAGGAAUAAAAGUUUUGACUAACCUUUUGAGAAAAUGACCAAGUAUGUAUUUUUUUUUUUAAUUGAUUGAAAAAGUUGACUAACAUUUUCCAAGUUUAUUUGAGAAAAAUACUUUAACUUGAAAACAAUUUUAAAAAUAAGUAAAUGUGAUUAAGUUAAAACCAUUAAAGAACAUAUUUAAUUUUAUUUAAGAACAAAAGGUUUAACUUAAUUAAAUAUAAAAAAAUUGAUCGGCUACUUGAUAAAUAAAAUAGAUGAAUAAAAAAAAGAUGUAUUAAAAACAAACCAACACAAAGAAGUAACUCAUCUUUUGGGGAAUCUAAUUAAGUUAAUUAAUAAUUUUAAGGUUAGAGUUAACAAACAACAACAAUCAAUAAUCACAAUUAUAUACAAUUUAAGAGCAAAGGAAAAAAAGGAUUUGGGCCUUUCUUGGCCUGCUGCAAUUGAUUUGGGCUUCAACUCUAUUUCUACCCUUGAAACCCUGUGUAUACACCAGGUGUAUACUGCUGUAUACGGAUCGUGUCUUGGCCCAUUUUCCUGUAUAUUGAACCAUAUAACAACUGUAUACAGUCCUCUUUAGCGCCUCCAACCUAUGUUUUCGUUUCUGGCCACAUGUUUGUUGCACCGAACUGGUAUAUCAGUGUAUACUGUUGUAUACAACAUGUAUACAGACCAUUUUCAGCUUUCCGAGAACCUAUUUCAGCUGCUCUUUUAUUACAAAUAUAAGGAUACCUCGGAACAACUCAAGGAUAUGCAAGGGAGGAGUCCCAAAGAACUCAUUGUGUGAGUUAUAACCCAACAAAGAAAAGAUGAAUCAGUAUUUGAAUAAUAUGGAAAUGUGUUGAAUGAACAUUCAUUUAAGCUUAUACUACUUUAAUAAGUAUAAUAAAUCAAGUUUAUAAUGUAACAACACGUACCAAUGCUCUUAGUAAAGAAAGAUACAAAAUAUGGGAACUUUAAGGCAUGGAAUGAGAAAAUAAAAUAAAAUAAUAAUAAUAAUAUCCAUGCUACUCUCUUAACAAGGACUUAACUAUAAGCAUACAUGUAUGAGAAAUCUAGACUUUGAUAUCUUCCAAAUCAAAGAAACAAACAACAGAAAGAAGGGAGGGAAAAGGGACCUAGUUCAAACUAACAAAGAAGAUAAAUCUAAGUGGGGCUUUAAAAAAACUCCUAACUGUCACUUGUAGGUAGUAAUAGACAUAUGAUACAUAUGCUAAUGAUCACGACUAAAAUUCACACAUUUACAAUGACUCUUCAUACAAAUCAGUAACAACAAACAAAUUGCUAAAAAUUGGGAGUAGGUCCAUGAAUAUAGCACGUAGACACAAUCAUAUUGUCAAAUCCAAAGUAAACUUAGACGCAUAGUAUUCGAUACUAAUGAUUCUCACUUAAAUCCUAUAGUCCGCGCAAUGGUUAUCUCGCCUUCAAGUAAAAUAUAUUAAAAGAAGUGGAACUUGUUACAUUCUUUUACAACCAAUGACACAAACUAUAGAGAUAAACAUGAUGUGAUUUAAACAUGAGUUGAUGAAUCAAAACUUUUAUCAAGAUCUAAUUAAAACAGCCCACUUUUUAGCCGAAGUAAACCGUUGCCGCUUAAGAAACUAGUGUUAUUACGCAAGGAAUCAUACACCCAAUACUCAUGAGAAGUUGUGGCCUUAUAUUCUAUCAAAGCAAGCGACUAAUGACAAAAAAAUUAAAUUCCAUACGAAGAGUAGCGAAAUAGUGAUUAAGAUCAUGCUAUUUAGGAGUCCUCUUAAUAAUUUUAGCAGCCAAACAAGACAGAAAACAUAUACUACGCUUGACACAUUUCAAGAGCUCAAAUUUUACCCACAAGAAGAGAUUUCAGAACACUUAGAGAGAUUGGAGAUCUGAACAAGUCAAUAUGCUGAGGCAGUUUGAAAAGAGAAAAUAAACAGCAAACUGGGAAGAGAACAAGAACAAGAUAUGUUGAAAUGUGAAAACAAGAUAAAAUCCUACACUUUACAUUAACUGAACUUCCAAUGAUUAACAGUUUUUUUUUUUUUAAAAAAAAAAACUUCAAGCAGAGUAUCAAUACGAAAAGAGAUACAAAGGGGGCUCAAACGACCUGUAAACAAGUUGAAGAAAGCAAAACAUGACUCGCAUCAUUCAAAAAGGAAGACGAGAAAUAAGGGUGGGGUGUUACUUUGAAAAGCUUAAACCAAAAGUAGAGCACAUGAAACUUAUGCAAGAAUUUAAGAUUUGAACGAAUACGAAUAGCGUCGAGUAGAUUAGCAAGAACAUCACUACACUACUGAUAAGAACCCUAUUAAAACUAGCUAGGCCAUUGAUUGACAUAAAAACAAAUUCCUCAUCCGAACAACGGCAGCCAAACAGAAAUAAAGAUUUCACAAUCUCGCAGAUAUUAAGUAAGGAUAAACGAGAUGAAAAGGUUACAUUUCCGUGAGCAGUGAGACAACGACAAAUGAGUUGAGAACAACGACACUUCUACUAUGAAAUCUAAAUACGAACACUAAGCUAAGAAAAUCCAACCGUCGAUCUUCUCGACACUUAGAAUCAGAAAGCAAGAUAUAAAAUUCUUAAGUUUAAAAUGUCUAUCACUCAAACCAAGCUGAAAAUCAUCGUCCUCAUCCUUGGAGCAUGGAGAACUAUUUAUAGGGAAAGAUUGAGCGAUUUAGGAGGGAAAUCCGUUGGGCAAUUCAAACAAAAAUUUGAAUUUCUUCUGCUAUUUUCGAAGCAAGUAAAGGGGAUAGGAAAAAGCUGAAUUCCGCAAAAAGGGGAUGUAAGGGCGGCUGAUGUCGACGCCUUCAUAGUAGCGUCUUUUCCUGGGUUUGCCGGACUGAUGCGUAUGGAGGAAGAAGACGUACAGGGGUCGUUUGGGUCGGGUUGCGUGAAAAAGACGAGUAUAGGGUCGUAGGGUAUGACUCUUGGUGUUGUUGUGUAUUAUUAUUGAAGUGGGUUGGUAUUUGGAUGGGUCUUUUGGAAUUGCCGAGUUUGUGGGCUGGGAAUUUACGAAUUGGAUUGAAAAGUGGUCCAAUUUUUGAUCUUUUGAAUGGAUUGAAGAAAAGGGUGGGAUUUGGCUAAAAUUGUAAUAGAAAUUAAUUAACAAUUUGGCCAAUCGGAUUAAAGAGGUAACUCAAAAGAAUUAAUUUUAGAAUAUUCGGCUAGAAAUCACAGAUUAAAGAGGUAACCCAAAAGAAUUAAUUUUAGAAUAUUCGGCUAGGAAUCACAUAGGAUGAAUUAAUAUAAUUAAUUUACGAACUUUUUAAUCUUAACAAGAUAAAAUGAUUAACUUAAUUACACACUAAUUAAUUUAGAGUUAACCAUAAUUUAAACUAAGGUAAAUUAACAAAAAAACACGUUUCUUGAAUCAACAUAAUAAAACAAAACAAACUAAUAAACUUAAAAGUAUAAAUAUACUUUAAACCCAACUAAUCUAAUAGAAUAUAAAAAAAAAUCUUUAUUUUAGAGUAUUUUCGAAUAAUCAUAAGCCAUGCCGAUUAAUUACAUGAAAUAUAUUUAUUAUUAAAAAAUACUAUAAAAAUCGCUUGAAAUUACUUAAAAUUACCUUGAGACUAUUUAAAUUUUAUAAGGCUAAUUAUUCUAAAUCGUUUGUAAAUUAAGAAGCUCGGAAAUAAAUUAUUGUCGGGGAGGAUCAAAAUUAAUUAUUAUCGAGGAAGGUCAAAAUUGCGUGUCAACAACUGUCCCUCAUUUUACUUGGAUUGAUGCAAGAAAUCCGAGGAAAAUGACAUUGACGAAUCCAAUUUUGAUCGACCAUAUCUUUAUCUUUUGGAAAAGGGGUUUGGUACGGAUUUUUGGAAUUAUGGCCAAACCUCGGAAAUGGAUUUUCUACAUAUCUCAGGCUAUUUAAGAACUCAGGCUACUUGUAGUUCGAUACGCUUGAUUUGACGCAGAAUUUUGAAAAAAUUCAAAAGUCAUCCCAAUAUCGGAUUAUGAAGAGACUGGAAUGCUCGAGAAUAAGCUUUAAGAGCGAACGAUGGAAUACAGUCGAGUUUCAACACCGAUUUCGCCUACAUAUCCCUCAACUCAGGGAAUCAGGCUGCUUGUAGUUCGACUCGAUCGGUUGAAAAGGAAAUCUAUUAUGCAAGAUAACCUUUGGUUCUGGACGAGCGACAAAAUAAGUCGAGUAUGAAAAGGAGGCUUGAAACCUCUUAGUCAUAAAUGUGGCGCGCUUCACACCCAUAAUUGAGAACUUACACGGACAUAAUUUUCAAAACUCGUGGUGUAUUGUCACUCUGAUUGGAAAGCCAUUUUCGGUGAAAACGAAAAACUUCCGUAGGCAAAACUAGAAUCGAUAAACCUAAAGAAAAACCCACAUGCCUUCUGAUAGGGGUGUGGUUUGAUUGUGGUGAAUGACGUUCCUCUGCUCGCGUCCUAAGAGUUUCACACUCCUCUUUGGACUUUGUCUCAAUUCGCUGCUAAGAAAAAGUUUCACGUUGUGCUGUAUCCUUUUUUAUGUCGUCCACACCUGUGGUUUGCUUUGAGAAUUCAUCCUCUUGGGAUGCUCUCGAAAAUGACUGAGAGAAAACUCAUUAGCAUAAAAUGGAAUUUAAAUGGGGAGAUAGUGUCUUUUACCAUGUUGACACUUAAUUGCUCUCCUUGAGCAUUUGACAUCAACUUCCUCCAGUUUGACGUAAAGCAAAUAAAGUUUGUAUCUCAUAUUUGUAAUAUGAUAUUCAAUGUACUCUUCCUUUGAUGUUGAAAUAAUAAAUUAGGCUGAUGUAAUAUGUAGAUAGUUCUCUUGACGUCGUUAUUGAUGGCUCUCUGGAUAUUUGUUCUUGCAAAUGAAAUGAUGCAGUCGUUGUUGAUCUUUUUGUGAUAGGUAAAUCUUUCUCUUGCGAUGCAUAACUCCUGCUCUCGCGAUGCAUGACUCAUUUCUCUUGCGAUGCAUGACUCUUUUCUCUUGCAAUGCAUGACUCUUUUCUCAGGAUGCAUAUCUCUUUCCCGCGAUGCAUGAAUCUUUUUCCCGCGAUGCAUGAAUCUUUUCUUGCAAUACAUAAAUCUUUUCUUGCGAUGCAUGAAUCUUCUCUUGCAAUGCAUGAAUCUUUUCUCGCGAUGCAUGAAUCUUUUCUCUUGCAAUACAUGAAUCUUUUCUCGCGAUACAUGAAUCUUCUCUUGUAAUGCAUGAAUCUUUUCUUGCGAUGCAUGAACCUUUUCUCGCGAUGCAUGAACCUUUUCUCACGAUACAUGAAUUUUUUCUUGCGAUGCGUGAAUCUUCUCUUGCAAUGCAUGAAUCGUCUUUUGCAAUGCAUGAAUCUUUUCUCGCGAUGCAUUAAUCUUCUCUUGCAAUGCAUGAAUCUUUUCUCGUGAUGCAUGAAUCUUUUCUCGCGAUGCAUGAAUCAUUUCUCUUGCUAUGCAUGACUCAUUUCUCUUGCAAUGCAUGAAUCUUUUCUCACGAUGCAUGAAUCUUCUCCUGCAAUGCGUGAAUCUUUUCUUGCGAUGUAUGAACCUUUUCUCGCGAUGCAUGAAUCUUUUCUCGUGAUGCAUGAAUCUUUUCUCUUGCUAUGCAUGACUCCUUUCUCUUGAUUCCUCCCUAGUACUAAGCAAAGAUAAUGUUUCACCGAGCAACAUAUGUGAUUUUCUGGGUGGCGAUAUCAUCCCAAUCGGCAAUACAAAUAAAAAUGACCCUCAGAGUAAUGGUAUCAUCUCAUUCGACGAUACGAUAUAAAUGACUCUCCGGGCAGUAAUAUUACUAUAUCUGAUAACAUAAUGCAAAUAACAUCCUCCAGGUAUCUUUAGUUGAUCGGAAAUAAUAAAAUUUCUCUCUUCGAGGUUUUCAUUUGUUCCGUCUCUGAACAUAAUUGCAUGUUCAUUAUGGGCUUCGCUUUGUUGGAAAUUGAACGAAAUAACGUUAUCCAUAUUCCCAAAUCUUUGAUAUAAGAAACAUAAAAUAUUUUCUACAUCCACAUAAAAAUUGUCAAUUUCGGGGGAGCUCUUCGCCCUUUUGACUUCUCCAUAUUAAUUGAAUGGAGGAAUAUGCUGAUCUUGAGGCAAGCUUAUAAAUUUGCAUCCACAAAAAAAUUGUUAGUUUAAAAAUGAACUUAUCUGUGUUGAUCCUUCGGUCGUCUGCUCUUUGUCUGGCUAUCUUCGAUUGAUUUCCCCGAUCUCCCGCAUCUUGAUAGAUAAGACAAAAUAUUUUUAUGGAAAACAUAAUUGAAACAUAGAGGAAAAGUUUUAAGGCAAAUAGAUUUUCAAAAAGUAGUAUUUGGAAAAGGUCACUAUCAAGUGUCAUGUCACGUCGAGCCUAAUGAACGCCUUUGGAGUUGACGUCUCGAGGUCUAUCCGAUUAUUUGUUGGGAAGUAUUCAAAGUUGCUCUAAACUUUCGAUGGACCUUAUUGAAAAUUUUUGAGGUCCUCCUCAAAAAUUUCUGUCCCAAUUAUCUGUCUUGGCGCAACUGUGGUUGAACAAAUCAUGGAAUUUUUGAGAUCUUCUCAAAAAUUCUGUCCCAGUUGCAAAUCUCGAUGUUGAUUUAGUCUCGACUUGUUGAAAAGAUCUUCUCGAGAAUUUUUUAGUCCCUCUAAAAAAUUCUAUCCCGAUUUCUAUUUUAAGGAAAAUAGAAAUCUUACGAGAGAUAUGACCGAGCCGUUAUGGCGCCUACGUAUCCCGUUGAGGUAGGAAUCAGGUCAAACGUAGUUCACCCUCAAAGAUUAACAAAAAUAAGAAAAUUUAAGCAAAGAAUCGACCGAGACCGACAUAGGCCGCCUACGUAUCUCAUUCUUAAGAAUUCAAGUUGAACGUAGUUCAAAUACAAAAGAAAAUAUUUAAAAAGGGAUAGAGGGGUGGUCGAGGCCGAUAUAGGCUACCUAUGUAUCUCAUUCUUGAGAAUUCAGGUCAGACGUAGUUCAUUACAAAAGAAAAUAAUUUAAAAGGGAUAGAGGGGUGACCGAGGCCGACAUAGGCCGCCUACGUAUCUCAUUCUUGAGAAUUCAGGUCAUACGUUGUUCAUUACAAGAGGGAUAAAAUUCUAAACAAAGUGAUGACAAGUAAUUGAAUGAUUACAAGGGAACGACAGAAAUAUAAACUGAAACUUCACGCAUAAUAUCUCUUGACUGCACUGAGUUGAUCAAUUUUGGCCAUUUGGUGCCAUCCAUCUCGAACAGGACCAAGGCACAUCCAGAUAAUACUUUGCGAAUCAUGUAGGGUCCUUGCCAAUUUGGUGCAAAUUUCCCUUUGUACUCAUCCUGAUGAGGGAAAAUGCAUUUGAGAACCAACUGACCAAUCUCAAAUAUCUUUGAUCGUACUUUCUUGUGGAAAGCACGAAUCAUUCUUUGUUGAUACAGUUGUCCAUGACAAACAACCACCAUUCUCUUCUCAUCAUUAAUCAUUGCUAACUGAUCAAUCCGCUUGAGAACCCAUUCAACAUCACUUAAUUCAGCUUCUUGGAUGAUUCUCAAUGAAGGUAUUUCAACUUAUGCAGGUAUAACCGCUUCUGUUCCAUAUACUAGCAAAUAUGGAGUAGCUCCAACUGAUGUUCUGAUAGUCGUUCGAUAUCCCAACAAAGCAUACAACAACAUCUUAUGCCAACCUCUGCGAUUAUCAAUCAUUUCCUCAAAAUCUUCUUUAUGUUCUUGUUGGCGGCUUCUACAGCUCCAUUCAUUUGGGGACGAUAGGCGGUUGAGUUUCGGUGAGUAAUCUUGAAUUGUUCACAUAUCUCUCUCAUCAAAUGACUGUUGAGAUUCACUCCAUUAUCAGUAAUGAUAGAUUCUGGCACUCCAAACUUACAUAUCAAAUUGUUGCGAAAAAAAUUAGCUAUAACCUUCUUGGUCAUUGACUUAUACGAAGCUGUUUCCACCUACUUGGUGAAGUAGUCAAAGGCAACCAAAAUGAAUCUGUGUCCGUUAGAGACGGCUGGCUCUAUUGGACCAAUGGCAUCCAUGCCCCAAGCUACGAAAGGCCAAGGCGAACUCAUAGCAUUGAGUUCCUGAGGCGGCACUCGAAUCAAAUCACCAUGCACUUGACAUUUCUGCACAAACUUGCAACAAUUAUGCUCCAUAGUCAUCCAAAAAUAAUUGGCUCGAAGGAUCUUCCUCGCCAAAGUGAGCCCAUUCGUGUGAGUACCCCAACCUCCAGCAUGUAUCUGUUCCAAAAGCUUCUCAGCUUCGCUAGCAUCAACACAUCUAAGAAGACCUAAAUCUGAAGUCCUCCUAUAAAAGAUAUCCCCACUUGCAAAGAAAUUGAGGGCCAUACGGCGUAUCGACUUCUUCUGAUUGAACAUUACAUUCUCAGGAUAAGUCCGGGUCUCUAAAUACUUCUUGAUGUCAAAAUACCAAGGCAAAUCAUCUGGUUCUGCUUCAACGUGUGAACAAUGGACAGACUGCUCUUUUACCUCUAUAUCAACGGGAUCAAUAUAACUUGCAUUUGGAUGUUUACUCAUCGAGGCAAUGGUGGCGAGAACAUCGGCUAACUCAUUCUGUGUCCUGGGAGUGUGUCUGAACUCAAUCUUGCGGAACCUUUUGCACAACUUCUGUAUAUACUGCACGUAUGGUGUGAUCUUCGGGUUCUUCACGGCCCAUUCUCCUUGGACAUGGUGAAUUAACAAAUCUGAAUCUCCAAUAACCAGAAGCUCAUAAACAUUCAUGUCGACGACCAUCUUCAAGCCGAUGAUGCAAGCUUCAUAUUCAGCCAUGUUGUUCGUGCAAUCAAAUCGAAGUUUAGCCACCAUAGGAUAAUGCUGACCAGAUUCUGACACUAAGACUGCUCUGAUACCUUUCCCUUGGUGAUUCGCCGCUUCAUCAAAGAACACUCUCCAACCAGGGUAUGCUUCAGAAAUAUCUUCACCCACAAAUGAAACUUCUUCAUCAGGAAAAUAGGUCUUGAGUGGUUCAUACUCCUCAUCAACUGGAUUCUCCGCAAGAUGAUCAGCUAAGGCUUGUGCUUUUAUCGCCUUCUGAGUCACAUACACAAUGUCAAAUUCACUCAACAACAUUUGCCAUUUAGCCAACUUCCCGGUCGGCAUCGCUUUCUGGAAAAUAUACUUCAACGGAUCCAUUCUGGAAAUAAGCUAUGUGGUAUAAGAAGACAAAUAAUGUCUCAACUUCUGAGCAAUCCAGGUCAGAGCACAACAUGUCCUCUCUAAAAGAGUGUAACGAGCCUCAUAUGGAGUGAACUUUUUCCUCAAGUAAUAAAUGACUCGCUUCUUCUUCCCAGUCUCAUCAUGUUGACCAAGCAUGCAUCCAGAUGUGUUAUUAGAGACCGACAAAUAUAGCAACAACAGGUUUCCUUCUCGCGGAGGAACCAACACCGGUGGAUUGGACAAAUAAGUCUUGAUGGCAUCAAAAGCAGUCUGACAUUCUCUGGUCCACUUAGUCAGGGCAUCUUUUUUCAACAACUUGAAGAUAGGCUCACAGACCACGGUGGAUUGAGCUAUGAACUGGCUGAUGUAGUUCAACCUUCCCAAAAAACUCAUCACCUCUUUCUUGGUCUUCGGAGGAGGUAAUUCUUGGAUCGCCUUGUUCUUGGAAGGGUCAAGCUCAAUGCCCCUCCUGCUGACUAUAAAUCCCAACAACUUGCCAGCUGGCACUCCAAAAGCACAUUUGACGGGAUUUAACUUCAAAUUGUAUCGACGCAAGCGAUCAAAGAAUUUCCUCAAGUGAGUCAAGUGAUCCGAACUCUCACGGGACUUGAUUAUGACAUCAUCUACAUACACCUCGAUCUCCUUGUUAAUCAUAUCGUGAAAGAUGGUCGUCAUGGCCCUCAUGUAAGUAGCGCCGACAUUCUUGAGACCAAAAGGCAUCACCCAAUAAUGAUAUACACCCCAAGGCGUAAUGAAAGCUGUCUUUUCUGCAUCUUCUUUAUCCAUCAGGAUCUGGUGGUAACCCGUAUAACAAUCCACAAAUGACUGCAUCUCAUACUUAGCACAUUUAUCAAUGAGAAUGUGGAUGUUCGAUAAUGGAAAAUUAUCUUCGGGCUAGCUUUGUUGAGAUCUCUAUAGUCAACACAAAUUUUGAUUUUUCCGUCCUUCUUGGCAACCGGAACAACGUUGGCUAACCAAGUCGAAUAUUGCGUUACUUCCACUACUUGAGCCUCGAUCUGUUUGGUAAUCUCCUCUUUGAUCUUUAAACUCAACUCGGGCUUGAAUUUCUGAGUCUUUUGUUUACUGGACUGAAAUCUGGGUUAAUCGGCAACUUAUAGGACACCAUAUUCAUACUAAAUCCUGGCAUAUCUCUGUAAGACCAGGCAAACACAUCAAUGUACUCUCUGAGCAAACGAACCAGGUCUCUUCUUUGAGCUUCAGUCAGAUGGACAUUGAUUCUCACUUCUUUAACACAUUCCUCAUCUCCGAGAUUCACAAUUUCGGUUUCUUCCAAAUUUGUCUUGUGUUGAUUCUCGAAUUGUCGAAACUCUUCAGCUACAUGUUCGGGUACCUCAUUUCCUUCUUCAUACUCAUCGCACUCAUCGCACUCAUCAUCACCUGCCACAUUUUGUUCACUCGGUUCAUGACAUGACAUGACAUUGGCAGGUUCUAAAUUAAUAUUACUGAAAUUAUAAACAAACAAAGUUAGGAAAGUAAAAUAUAAACAGAUAAGUAAAUAAAUUUUUGAUAAAAGAGGCUUUCAUUUAAGUUUUAAAAAAAAACAAGCACAAACUUUGGACAUGGCCAAGGGUCAUUUUGCCUUUUUAAACAUCACAGAGGAAUUUAAAAAGACUCAAACGAUAAAAGAAAAUUGCAUAAAUGGUGGAUCUCGGGCCUCUUCCGAAUCACCACCGAUUUUCAAAAAAAACAUAAAUACGCGUCCUUUCUACCAAAAUGAACGGGGGAUCAAAAGUGGCAUGGAGGUCCAAUUCUGCAACUGCUUCUCCGGCUCGGCAUCACAGAUUCUUGAGGUCCCAACUUCAUCCUCUAUGACUGCGUUAACUUCUUUGAACAUGCCCCAGAUUCCUUCCCCAGACCACUGUCGAUGGCAUGCUCCCGCACUGGGAAAGACUGGUACAAGUGAGGCAUUGGUCUAGCAAGCACCCAAUCGACACUUUUGUUCCUCAGCUCCGCUUCAUUAGCAUCUGUGGGGAUAUACUCCAAACCAAACUUUGUUCUUCUGGCGGGAACUUGAAUAGGCUCGACAAUUCCUUGGGAAUGCUUCCCCAACCCGAAACCUGGUUCGAAACCAUUCUGGAGCAUGACAGUAGCAAUCAUCUUGCACACGACAGACAUAUGAGGUUGUGGAGCCAAGUCAUCACCAGUGGCAUUUACCAGCUCCACCGUGUAAAACUCGCAACCUCGAGAGACCUCAUCAACGAUUUGCGCAUACCCAUAGGAAUGAAUCCCCUCACCAUGAAUGACCAAUACCUGGUCCUUCCUAACAAAUUUUAUCAGUUGGUGAAGGGUAGACGACACAACCCCGGCCAUAUGGAUAAACGGUCUUCCCAGAAGCAAGUUGUAACUAGUGUAGAUGUCUAACACCUGGAACUCCUCAUUUUACUCUGUAGGACCCAUCUGAAUUCCCAAGUUUACUGCCCCUAUUGUGUCUCUCUGCACUCCAUCGAAAGCUCUCACAUUGAUCUGGUUUUGUUGAACCUUUCCCAAGUUGAAUUUCAGCUGCUUGAGAGUCGAAAGUGGGCAGAUAUUGAGACUGAACCGAUCGUCGACCAAAACACGAUUCACAACUCUGUCUCGACAUUUGAUGGUGACGUGCAGAGCUUUGUUGUGCAUCCUGCCUUCAAAGGGCAGCUCUUCGUCACAAAACUGAUUCGGUGUCCUCUAAUGACCUGGUUUAUCAUGGCUACUAAAUUGUCAUUGUUAGUACCCACAUGCACAUAAGUAUCAUCCAAAGCCCUCAUCAGAGUCUGCCUGUGCAAUUGCGAACUCAUCAAUAAGCCCCACACAGAGAUCUGAGCCGGCGUCUUCUCCAAAUGUUUCACAAUUGAAUAAUCUAUCGGCUGCAUUCUCUUCCAGAACUUCUCGGCCUCGGCUUCACUGAUCAGCCUUUUUGUUUGGUCUUUUUUCUGCCCUCCUUGGGCCAACUCUUUCGGUGUGUAACAUCUACCAGAUCUAGUCAUGCCUUGAGUGGCAGCGGUUUCAAUCACAAACUUUGGUUGGGCAAGAGUCACUCUUAGCACCAAUGCAACAACCUUCUCGGGUGUCAGUAUCACAAACUCUUUCUUCUCUCUAAUGCUUAACGAGGCUACAACCUUUUCUAGUUCAUCAAGAGUGAUCGAAACUAUUGCCUUCAUCACGCACCAAUCGACAUCCGUCUUUAUCAUAUUGAUAGUGACACCUCCAUGGUUCGGCAAAGGAUUACUAUUGACAUUGGGCGCGACUGUCUGAAGAGAGACCACGUUUUGGUCAAUCAAGUCUUGGAUUUUAUGCUUCAGGUUGAUACAGUCCUCAGUAUCAUGUCCAACACUAUUGGAGUGAUAUGCAUACCUCUGGUCAGCUCUGUAAAACUUUGAGCUAGUGUCAACCGACUUGGGCCCCACUGGAUGAAUAUAUUUUGCCGCAGUUAAUCUUUCAAAUAGCUUUGUUCGGCUUUUAAUGAGCGGAGUGAAAUUUCUAACAGGCUUCCUCUCGAAUCUAGGACGUGGGAUCGUAAGUGCCUUGUUGCGGAGGAGGCAUCUGACGAUAAUUUGAAGCGUUUGGACGGAGUGUUUUGAUAACUAGGAGGAGGGCUACUUUGAUAACUGGGGGGAUGGGUGUUUUGGUAAUCAGCCUGUGCAUAAUAAGUCGGGUACAAACUCUUUGAAGGUCGAGAAUGACCUUGGUACGACGAGGAUUUCCUUGGGGUUUUCUUUCCCUCACAAGAGAUAGAUGACACAUCCUCUUUUUUCUUCUUCAACAGGUCCGAAGAUCCGGGCGAGGCAGCAACACGAACAAUCUUCCCAGUUCUCAAUCCAUCUUCGAUAGUCUCACCUACCAUGACUAUCUCAGUAAAAUUUUGCUCCAACGAGCAACAUGAUUCUGUCAUAAUAUUCGGGCUCUUACACCCGCACAAACACUUCGACAAUUUCCUUUUCUAACAUAGGAGGUCUAACUCUAGCUGCCUCCUUUCGCCAUCUAUAGCAAAUUAUCUAUAACUUUCGACCGACUUCUGUUUCAUCUUCUCCAAGGAGUAACGAUCGGGAACGAUCUCCACAUUGUAGGCGAAUCGUUUGAUGAAGUCCUUAGCCAGAGCGUUCCAGCUAGAUCACUGUCUCGUUUCAUGAGACGUAAACCAUUCUAGAGUCUCUUCGUUCAGACUGCGGCUAAAAAGCCACAUUAACAAAGCUUCGUCUCUCCCAACUCCCACAAGUUGGUCAUAGUAGGCCCUCAGGUGUGCUAAGGGGUUCCCCAUUCCUCCGAAGAUGUCAAAUUUUGGCACCUUGAACCCUUCCGGGAGGUCCAAAUUCAAAUGAAUGCACAGGUCUUCGUAACUCAACCCAACAACCUCGGGAAUGCAGUUCAACUCCUUCAUGGCUUUUCUAAUUUCCUCCAUCAUAUCUAUCUUGGCGGUCUCUUCCUUGACCUCCACUCUCUCUCAUUUUCCUUAUAGUGGUCGAGCUCUGAACUAUGGGCAUCAUGCUCGUUGGAGACCGAUAUUUGGAAAGUGGCCUUUUGCGAUAGUGGUGGAGCAAUAGAGGGACUCUGGCCAUUUAAAGGGGUGUGAUAGUUUUGGGGGAAAGGCUGGGGGCUGGUAUAUUGGUUUUGGUGAGGGAGGAAAGUGUGUGGGUUAUUAGCGUUUUGGCUGUGAGGGGGUAUGCCAGUUUAGUGGUUUGCAUUUGGGGGAAGGAGUGGUGCUUGGAGGUUGGUAUUUUGAGGAGAGGGUGGUGUUUGAUAAGAGGCUGAGGCGUAAUGAGGUUUUUGGGUGGUAAGGUCAAUGAUAGAGGGAUUACGAGCAGGACUUGAAGGCGGGUUUUGAGCUUGUUCCAUGUUAGGAGGGGGAAUUUGAGCUGGAGGUCUUCCGCCUGGUUAAGCGUUGACAACAAAAAUUGGAGGAGGCAAAUCUUGUUUUCUCUGCAUCUCGACCCUCAUCUCAGCAAUUUGUUGCAUCAACUGCAGGAUUAGUUCAUUCUGAUCGACAAGGGCGGGCUGAGCCACUACGACAUUAGUAAGGCCGGGUUUUUUGUUGUUAUCACCCAUUGCUGCUUUUCCCUUGUGUGAACUUUGACUGAGGAAGGAAUCUGUAGGACCUUUAGAUCUGGUGAAAUAAGGAUGAUCGAUCAGUGUAUCAACAUAGAUCAGUUCUAACUACCUGUAGAGAAAAACAACUCAAAGGCAAAUCUAUUAGUAUUAGUUGUGGAUGAAUAAUGCAAGAUAUCACAUAAAAGACAUAUAAACACAUAAGAGUUGUUUCGUUUGAGAACAUGUUAAUCCACGAAUAAUGGGGACCAAUUUUUUGAACGAGCAGGAAUUUGCUCGUUUUAUUUUGAGGCUGGUGACAAAGAAAGGUUGAAUUGCGUUGAGCUAAGGUCUUUUUGCUGCAUCUCUCGGCGUCUGUUGAUGUGAAUUCAAUGUUUCCUUGUAGAAUAAAGGGGAAAAAGAUAGAGGUCGGGCCUUGAGAGGCUGCCUACAUAUCUCUGAAGGAGAAUUCAGGCCCUACAUAGUUUGAAUACUAAAGGAAAUUCUCAUUUUCAUUCAUUCAUUUCUUGAAGAUUACAAUGAAAGGAAAAAACAUACAAUAAAGCUCCUAAAAGACAGAUGGUGCCUUCAUCAAAGCUUCUUCUUCUGAUUGUCGCAUUAAUCAUGGGGGGUAAACUCAUAUGCUACGAGAGUGAUUUUCUCAUUCUCUUCUUUCCACCGUCCCUGGAAAGGAGGCCUAUAGACAAUUUCCUCCUCGGUAUCUUCUUCAACAGUUUUAGGUCCAGUGCCUUCAGGACUACUGACAUUGGCCUCUUGGUUGAAGAAGGAGUAUUUUCUACGUAGGUUUUGGAGCCUCGUGGCUAUAUCAUUGUUGAAGACAUCGCGUUGCUUCCGCAUAGCGGUCAUCUCUUCAUUUAUGAUAGCAUAUCUUGCCAUCUUAGCCACUAACUCCACGUCUAGUACUGCACUUUUGGCUUGCGUAGCUGCGGUGGCUAGUUCUACUUCUAUUCUUCUUUCUCCUAUCUCUCGAAUCUCUUGUUUGAAUUGAAGCAGUUUCAUCCUUAAACUCUCUUCAGUCAUCUUCACUUUGACAUUUUUUCCCUUUUCCAUCGUAGCAGCAGUUUCACCUUUCCUGAGAUGAUAGAGUAAUGUUUUAGGAUCUGGUAGUAAGAUUUUAUUUCUGGUUGAGAAACUCAAAACUCAUGGAAUUUUGGUCGGAUAUUUUGGUAGUGACUUUGUAUUUAGAAUUGUGGAGAUUUUAGAAAAUUUUCAAAAAUGAGUGGGAUAAAAUGUCCUCAUUCAAAGCAACAUAUCACAUAAAUAGUUAAAUCACACAAAUAUCGCGUCCUAAACAUGCAUGUGACCCUUUUACCCAGGGGUAGGCCUAGCGAUUUGAAGGAUGUAUUGCGCUAUUUAAAACAAAUUGUUGCAUCCCCCAAAAUAAGAUUCAUAAAUGAUUGGAGAAUUCAUUACAAAGUCAACAAAGGGGAUACAUCUUUUAGGAAAGGGAUAAACGACAAAUACAAGAACAUCAAUCCCAGGGGAAUAAGACAACUAAAAGGCUGAAGGACCUGCUCCUCCUCUUGCUUUUUCUACUUCUUCGCGAAUGAGGAAUUUGCUAGUCAUCACAUGCGGCUCGGCGAACAUAGCUUUGGAAGACAUCGACACACCAUGGAGAGUGUUAAGCUAAUCAUCCAAAUUCGAAUCAAAACGUAGAAGCAGGCUCUUGCGUUAGCUAACUCUUGUGUGGCAAAGGCUAAGGUCCUUUGGCUUUCAUAUUCUCGAUGCUGGAACUCUUGUUCCCUACACAGGUAUCCUUGCUCCCUACGUUGAAACUCUUGCUCUCUUCGGUCCCAUUCCUGUUGAAAGUGGUAGGCUUGGAGUUGGAGCCUUACUUGGACAUCUUCAAUCUGUCGGCCCGUGCGUGGCGUCGGGUCAAGUGUACCACGUAGAUCAUCUUGCAACCAUUUUUUGUAUUCAUCAAUAUACCCGACUUCAUAUCUAUUUUCUGUCAUGCUCUCCUUUAGGUUGACCCGUCCAGCCCAUUAUUGACGAAUAUCCUUGGCGUAAGGUAUCUUGUCGCACCCGUUGUAGUCAAAGACGUAGCGACUAGUGUCUCAUUUGAAAGGUAGAAUUUGUCUUCUGCCGAACCGUUGCAUUACCCUGCUAGGAUUGUAAGGUCGUACCCCUCUAAUGCCAGGAAGAAUUUGGAAAAGACACUUAGCCCCCUGAACAACUAUUUUUUCUGACAUGAAAUCUUGAAACAUCUAUUGUACGUUUCCAUCUUUUAUGUCGUGGAAGACUUUAGCCCAUGCUUCCCUAGUGUUGUGGAUCUCGAACCUGUUGAUGCUCAAAUGGAACUCGUAAUGGUCGAGGUGGCUUUCUUUUUGUGGUUCGGCCAAUUUCUGCUUUUGAGUCUCGUAUGUCUUCACUAGAUGUUUAGACAUCCACCACUGUAGCAAGAUAUUACAACCUUGAAAAAAUGGAAACCCGUUUUUGCAUUGACCCAAAGAUCGAUAAAUGUCAGCCACAAUGAUCGGGGCCAGAUUGAAGUAUUUCUUGACUUGUCCCUUUUUACCAAUACCCUCAAAGAUGGGGUGAGUUACCAUGACAAUUCGAGUAUCAAUUUUGUUCCCUCCAUCCUGAGGGAAUACCAUUGUCCCUAAGAGGCAUACGGUAAAUACUAAGGUUUGAGUUUGACUCCAACGAUUGCGAUUGAGAAACUCAUUUGGAAAAUUCUUAUAAUAGUUCUCGUGUCCCCAUUGUUCGUAGAAUUUCACAAACGAAAUACUCGUAUCUAGCCAGUCUGCAUUUACCAGUAACAACAUGUUCUUCAAUUCUUUACUGGUCGGCUUAUCUGGUAGCAAAAUGUGAUAAUCUGGAUGAUUUCUCCUUUUCUGGCACAUUCCGACAUUGUCUAGACAAUCUUUGAUCUCUUCAAUAGUUGGUGUCAUUUCCGAAGCGAAACACCAUCCUCUCAUCAUCCCAAAAUCAAGUGACCACCUCAAUGAACUUAGGCCAAACUUUGAGAUUCAUUAUCGACGGGAGAUGACCCAAAUAAAUGGAAAGUUCUCUUUUUUGAUAUGCAUUGAGAUUGUACCACCACACACGAAGGAGGUUUGGUGUCUCGAUGACCAUUUUGAAACUCAAGCAUUGCUUGGCCAUCUACAAAAACAUACAAAGAAUUAGAUACCCCCCAAACCCAAGAAACAACAAUUUAUCAAACAACACAUACAUCCUUCAAACACGUAAGUAUGAACGUCUGUUCGGAUCGUGAGCCCUUUGGACUCAAGGUGGCCUUUCUAAUGGGCCUAACAACAUCACUACACUACUAAUAAGAACCCUAUUAAAACUAGCUAGGCCAUUAGUUGGCAUAAAAACAAAUUCCUCAUCCGAACAGCGACAGCCAAACAGAAAUAAAGAUUUCACAAUCUCGCAGAUAUUAAGUAGGGAUAAACGAGAUGAAGAGGUUACCUUUCUGUGAGCAGCGAGACUACGACAAACGAGUUGAGAACAACGACUCUUCUAUUAUGAAAUCUACAUACGAACACUAAGCUAAGAAAAUCCAAGCGUUGAUCUUCUCGAAACUUAGAAUCAGAAAGCAAGAUAUAAAAUUCUUAAGUUUAAAAUGUAUAUCACUCAAACCAAGCUCAAAACCGUCGUCCUCAUCCUUGGAGCAUGAAGAACUAUUUAUAGGGAAAGAUUGAGCGAUUUAGGGGGGAAAUCCGUUAGGAAAUUCAAACAAAAAUUUGAAUUUCUUCUGCUAUUUUCGAAGCAAGUAAAGGGGAUAGGAAAAAGCUGAAUUCCGCAAAAAGGGGAUAUAAGGGCGGCUGAUGUCGACGCCUUCAUAGUAGCGUCUUUUCCUGGGUUUGCCGGACUGAUGCGUAUGGAGGAAGAAGACGUACAGGGGUCGUUUGGGUCGGGUUGCGUGAAAAAGACGAGUAUAGGGUCGUAGGGUAUGACUCUUGGUGUUGUUGUGUAUUAUUAUUGAAGUGGGUUGGUAUUUGGAUGGGUCUUUUGGAAUUGCCGAGUUUGUGGGCUGGGAAUUUACGAAUUGGAUUGAAAAGUGGUCCAAUUUUUGAUCUUUUGAAUGGAUUGAAGAAAAGGGUGGGAUUUGGCUAAAAUUGUAAUAGAAAUUAAUUAACAAUUUGGCCAAUCAGAUUAAAGAGGUAACCCAAAAGAAUUAAUUUUAGAAUAUUCGGCUAGAAAUCACAUAGGAUGAAUUAAUAUAAUUAAUUUACGAACUUCUUAAUCUUAACAAAAUAAAAUGAUUAACUUAAUUACACACUAAUUAAUUUAGAAUUAACCAUAAUUUAAACUAAGGUAAAUUAACAAAAAAACACGUUUCUUGAAUCAACAUAAUAAAACAAAACAAACUAAUAAACUUAAAAGUAUAAAUAUACUUUAAACCCAACUAAUCUAAUAGAAUAUAAAAAAAAAUCUUUAUUUUAGAGUAUUUUCGAAUAAUCAUAAGCCAUGCCGAUUAAUUACAUGAAAUAUAUUUAUUAUUAAAAAAUACUAUAAAAAUCGCUUGAAAUUACUUAAAAUUACCUUGAGCCGCUUUUAUUUGGAUUUGGUUUGAUUUUGUUUUAGAUUUUAAAAUACUGAUAGUAUUUGGCUUGUUUGAGAAAAUCGAAGAAAUAAACGAACCUACAAAUUAUAUACAUAUAUUUUAUCAUUAUGAGAAAAGACAUAAAGUGACACAUGAACUAGUCCCAAAUUUUCAAAAAGACACCUUAAGUAUACUGACGUCCUAUUACCCCACUAAACAAUCUUGAAUUAAUAUUAUAAAUAACUAAUAUAAUUUUAUUUUUACAAAUAUUUUGUUAUAAAUUAUAUUUUCUUAUUUUUCUUGUUAUUUUAACUUUUUUCCUUUUUAUUUUUUCUCUUUCUUUCUUCUUUCUUCUUCAAAAAUUCAUUGUCAUCUCUAUUGAAGCUUCUCAGUUUCAAUGUCACAAUGUUUACCAACACUUCACGUUCCUUUUUUUACUACUAUUAGUUUUACUCUUUUUAAUUUUAAAAUUUUAUCUAAAUAUUCUCAAACAAUUUGAUAAACCAAUUAGAUUGCAAGAUGAUUAGGAAGUAUCAUAUAAUCUUUUUAUCUGAUUUCAAUUAAGUUCUUUCAUUUUUUGGGAAAUUCAUUAAUUCUUUUAAAAUUACCAUUUCUAAUUUUGAAGUUAUAUGAAAAGGAGUAAUUGAUGAUACCUUAAAAUUUUUAAAGUUUCUUAGAAAAAUAAUUAGUUUUGUUAUCAAUAAUUCAAUAAAGUCUAGAAAAUAGUAUGAAUUCUUUUUUUAUAAAAAUAUCACCGAAAUAAAGAAUUUGACUGGUGAAAAAGAAGAAAAAGAAAAAGAAAAGAAAAAAAAUGGGAGAGUGGUUCAACUUGAUGUGGGGGUGGGAUGAGGGUGGGAAGUGAAGAAAAAUAAAGAAAAUUGAGGGAUGGAUCACUUGAAAUUGCAGGGGAGUCAAAAAGUAAGAGAGAGAAAUAAAGAAAAAAAAGGAUAAAAGAAAAACUUAAAAUGAAAAAAAAUUACAUUUUAAAUUAAAUUAACACGUGUCAUGUAAUGAUUGGUGUGUGAACACACUUGCUUCUUAAAAUUUGGGGCUGAUCGAAAAAUGAUACAAUAAUAUCUGUUCAAAAUUAUUUAGUGGGGUAAUAGGACGGUUACAAAGUUAAGGUGUCUUUUUGAAAAUUUGGGACAACUUCAAUGGUGACUUUAUGUCUUUUCUCUAUCAUUAUACAUACAUAAUAUAUUAUCUAUAUAAACAAUUUUAAAGAUCUUAUAUGUGUUUUCAUCAAAAUUUAUUUUUAAUCUAUAUAUAAAAGCAAAAAUGUUCAAAAUGAGAACAUUAUCUUAUUGUUUUCAUGUAUAUGCGUGUCUAUGACAAUUUUUUGGUGGGAUUAGAAUUGUCAUUGUCUCUUCCUUCUAGGCCAAAUGGUGAAUAUUGAAGCUUUAUUUAUAGUAAAUUUAGUGAUUGAAAGUUCUAUAAUGUCAGUCGUUCUAACUAUUUUUCAUUUUGAAUAGAUUGUUGUCAUGACUUUUUUUUCUCGGUUUAGAUGAAUUGUUUCUCUCAUUUUUGUGUAUGGUUAAUAACCAAAUCAAACUGAAACCGAUAAAUGUAUACAAUAUUUGGUUUUGAGAAUUUAAAAACUGAUUAUGUUGGUUUGGUUUUGAUUUUGACCAAUAAUCGAUCCAAAUCGAUCCGUGAACACCCCUAAUUAAAACCAUUGCAUUACUAAUACCUAAGAAUCCAUGGUAUUAGUAAUACACACCUUAAUACACAAUAGAGUAUAUAACUAAUGAUUGACUUAGUUAUACAUAAGUUGGAAAAGAAUACCAAAUAAGGUAUUAUAGUAAUACACAAAACUAAUGCAUACAUUAUUUUUUCUAAUACACUCUAUCAAACGGCCCCUUAGACUAGCAAAAUGAGAAUUAUUUAAGAAGCGGGUACUACCAACUAGAAGUUCCCUAGUGGGAUAAUUGAUAAAACUGGUGGACUGCGACGGGAUAGUUAAUAAUGGUGGGCGAUGGAAAUAACUAUAAAUGGAUGAAAUUGGUUAUUGAUUUUUGUGAACAAAUAUUUUAAUAAUAUUAACAUUUGGUUAUAUAUCUUAAUCAUCAAAUCUAGUAAGUGGUUGUAACAUUUUUUUUUUUAGAAAAGAAAAGAAAAAAAACACUUUAAUAGCUAUCUAGAUGAAUAUUUAAGAUUCAGAUAUUAAAGAUAAAUAAUUUAAUGACUGAAAUCAAAAUGAUUAAGAUAUCAUACAUUAGUUGUAAAUAAAUGAGACCUUAAUGAAUUUGAAUAAAUUUGAAUAAUUAAGAUAUAUAACAAAUUCUUACAUAUUAUCAUUAAGAUGUUAUCCAUUCAACUAUUUCAAUGAAGAAACUAAGUACUACUCAUGCACUUUAAUAUUUCAUCCGUCCCUAAUUACUUGUCAAUUUUUGAAUUGACACACCUAUUAAGAAACCAAUAAUUGACACAAUGAGUUUACCAUUUUAUCCCUAAUAAUUAUGAAGUGGAUGAAUUAAAAAUUUAAGAUUUUCAAGAAGUUAUAUCCUUUUCAGAAUUAAUUAAAUGAGGGUACAAUGGGUAUUUUUUUUUAAUUCUUUUUUGAUUUGUCAAAAUGGACAAGUAAAAAAAGAAAAAUUUGAUAAGUAAUUACUCCAUUUGUUCAUUUUUAAUUGUCGAUUUUCUUUUUUUAGAGUCAAACUAUAAGAACUUUGACAAAUAUUUUACUAUGUAUAUUUUCAUCAUAUUAAUAUGCAAAAAAUUACAAUUUGUAGUAAUUUUCGUAUAGUUUUUGAAUAUCUAUUUUUAAAAAAAAUUGAAUUAAUGUAAUUUAAUUUAAAUUUAAAAUACUAGUCAAAUUGACUUUCGAAAAACGCAACAUGACAAAUAAAAGUGAAUGGAAGAAAUAAUUAUAGAGGGAGUUGUUAAUUUUCAAACAAUACAUUUAAUUAUACGAUGACAAACAAAACAUGUCGUAAUUACUAUUAGAUCGUAUAAUUACUAAGUGAUAAUUACCCUAAUAAUUACACUCAUUCCAAUUAGAUGGUGACUUUUCAAACAGAAUUUAGGAAGUUGAUAUUCGUUCUUUGAGCUUAAUGAUUGUGACUUUUAUUUUAAUUAAAAAAAAAUAUUUAAAAUGAUUUUUUUCGAAAAGAGAUAUGAGCUAAUUAUGUAACAGAGAGGUAUAAAUUAGCCAAAUUUUAAAACAGAGGAUAUAACUUCUAUGCUUUCUGUGUUUUUGCUGAAAUCACAUUUGUGAGAGUGUGACCUAAUUGAUGCAACGAAUUGUGUAGUAGUAGUAAUUAAUUACUGCCGGAAUGUUCAGUGAGGGCGCUAGAGGCCAUAAAGGGGAGACUCGAAGAUCCACUGGGCUAUUUGAGGAAUUGGGUGAAGGAUAAAGACCCAUGCACUCAUUGGUUUUUUGUGCGCUGCAUUCAAAACCAAACGGAAGGGUAUCAGCAUGUUCAAGAAUUGUACGUAACCCUACUGGGUUCCCCUUUCGAUCUCUUACCGAUUGAGUUUAUAUAUAAUCUAUGUUGUAGCUUACAAUUUUUUUGUGUGGACUUGCAGGCGUCUGAUGAAAUUGUCCCUUUCUGGUACACUAGCUCCUGAGCUUGGCCAACUUAAACAUAUGGAAAUUUUGUGAGUCCCUAUAACACUCAUUUGAUAUUUGUUAGAGUGAGUUUAAGUUUCACAUUGGUUGGGGAUAGACAUGUGGUCCGCCUAUAUGAACCUGGACAAUAUUUUCCCUCAUGAGCUAGCUUUUGAAUUGAGUUAGACUCAGGUGUCAUAUCUUUAUUCUUUACAUGGUAUCAAAGCCAAGUCCAUUUCCGUUUGGGCUUCCGAUCCAUGCUCCUAUUGGGCCUGGGCGUGAAGGGGAGUGUUAUGGGUUAAAGUCCCACAUUGGUUGGGAUAGACUAGUCGUCUGAUCAUAUGAACUUAAUCAAUCCUUUUCUUAUGAGCUAAUUUUGGAGUUGAGUUAGGCCGAAAUGUCAUAUCUUUACAAUAUUUAUUCAGCUGUAAUUUUUGGCGAUUAUGAUUUCAUUUUUACUUUUUCAAGGAAUUUCAUGUGGAACAACAUUAGUGGCAGCAUACCUAAGGAGAUAGGCAGCAUCACUGCUCUGAGCCUACUGUAUGUCUCUCUUCAGUGCUCAAUUUCACUCUAAUCAUUGUUAACAGAACCCCUUUUUGUUUGAGAUGAUGACCUGAAAAAUCAAUAGUUUGGACAAACCUAUGGCCUUUCAUAAACUCAUUUUCACUUACUUUCUAUCGCAGUGAAUUUUGUUAUAAGUGAUCAGGAAAUGAAUAAAAAAAAUACAGAAACAUAAAAUGACUGUGUUAAAACUGUUAAUUGAAGAAAUAUUAAAAUAAUGGUUAAAAAGGUUAGUUUGAUAGAGGCAGGGGCGGAGGCAGCAUAUAAUGAGGGGGUUCAUCUGAACCCUCUCGGCGAAAAAUAUUUCUAUUUAUACAUGGUUAAAAUUAUUUUUUAGGUAUGUGUAAUAGAUGUCGAACCCCCUUCCACUAGUUCAUAUGUUUACUUCUCAGAUUUUGAACCCCCUUAUUAAAAUUUCUGGCUUCGCCACUGGAUAGAGGUUAUAAAAAAGUUUCUCCCUCCAUUUCAAUUUUUGUGUCUUAGUUUGACUUGGCACAAGGUUUUAAAAAGCAAAGAAGACUUCUGAAUCUUGUGAUCUUAAACUAAAAAUGCGUGUUAUGUACCAAAAUGCUCUUUGAUCUUGUGGUCUUAAAUAUGCCACAUAUGAUCUUUGAUUUAAAGAUUUUCUACAUAUAGAAAGUGACAUUCUUUUUUAAAUAGACUAAACGGAAAGUAAGACACAUAAAUUGAAACAGAGGGAGUUGUUUGGUAGAAAAAACAAUGGAAUGUUGUCCAACAUUAUGUGACGUUGCAACAUGGGAAGAGUGUCAUAUAAGUUGAAGGAGGGAGUACUCUGCAUUUGUGAAAAAUAGAAGGAGACACUUCUAAUUUUUGUCAGUCAAAAUAGAACAUUUCAAUGUCAUUCAAUUGCUAAUCAAUCUGUAGAAGGCAGAACGGAGUGAUAGUACAUAGUUUUUGUUCCAUGUAAGACAAAUAGUGAUGAUUCUCAGCCACUUCAGGUCCUGUCUGCUGUGUAAUCUUGAAAGAUGAAGUGAUGGUUUGGAGUUCAUGUUUAAUUUACUGUCAGGAGUUUCUGGUAUAAUAUCUACAGAACUAAGUAUACUAACUACAUGAACUCAUCUGAUGGAAGUUCUAAAUAUCAUACAUAACACUAGCGACAGCUACAAGGAUUGACUGAUAAUCCAUUUAUGUUGUCUUGAUUGAGAAAUGAAGCUCUCAUAUGACUAUUAUCCCAGCUAGAAGUCUUACCUUUAUGAUGAGAAGUCACAUAUACAUAUAUUGGAAUUUCAGUUCUCCAUAUAAGCCUCAAUCAACAUUUCUGAAUCCCUGCUUCAAUUGAAGCCCGAAUAUGCAUAUACCUCACUGUUGACAAUCAGUACUAUUCCUUACAGAUGUUUUAGCUGAAGAUAUCUAAUAAAUAACUUGCAUAUUGUCUGCAUAUAUGGAUUGUGCACAUUUACGAGAAAUUCCAGUCCAACUACCAUUCUUCUGUUUUUCCAGGCUUUUGAGUGGAAAUCACAUAUCAGGUUCUUUCCCAGAAGAGCUCGGUUAUCUUCCUAACUUGGCUAACUUUCAGUUGGAUUCAAAUGAUAUAUCAGGACCAAUACCAAAAUCGUUUGCAAACUUGCCAAAAGUUGCGCAUUUGUGAGUUCUCCAUAGAAUCCAAAGAUACUGUACUGGAUGUGGUGGCAUGGAGAUGUUUAGUUUCUGUACUGAUCAUUCUUGUUCUGGAUGCAGCCAUAUGAAUAACAAUUCUAUAAGCGGUCAAAUUCCUCCAGAGCUGUCUGCUUUACCUCUUCGACACUUGUAAGAAUCACCUUAUCCAACAAUAUAUAAUUACUAGUAAGUUUCAUGUUUGGAUUUACUUGGAUGUGCAUUAUUUCAGCCUUCUGGAUAACAACAACUUAUCAGGUCACCUUCCACCAGAGCUUGCACGGAUGCCGAGCUUAACGAUGCUGUAUUACCUGCCUUUGAAAUCUUAAGCUUUUGCUGUUUCAAUUUGUCUAGAUUCUCAACAAUUUAAUGUCAUUUCAGCGUUAAUAAACAAACCCCAACACCUCCUUCCCCCCUCACAAUAUCAACUUUUGCAGUCAACUUGACAACAAUAACUUUGAAGGCUCUGUGGUUCCGGCUUCUUACAGCAAUAUGUCCAAACUCGUGAAGUUGUAAGUUACUAAUAUCUCGGGUUUUGUUGGUUUAUGUCCUCUUUCCUGUCUGAUGAUAUACAUGCCCAUUUUCACCAAGCAAGAAUAUAGAAUUCUUAAGGAUGUUUGCCAUCACUCAAGGUUAAAGACCGUAUUUAUCCCAAACUUUGAUCAGAAAACAAGUCCCCAGUGAACAGUCAGAAAUAAAUAUAUUCUCCCUUGUGAUGUGACCUUUUCAGGUGCUAGAAUUACAAAAGAGGAUAAACAAAAAGUUUUCUCCAUAUUACAUCAAUGUACUCCCAAUAAGGGUUUCCCACCCCCUUCCUCAGAAUAAAUGAGAGGCUACAGCAGUAUUUUCAUUCUUUGGCAGAGACCUUUUGACAUAACAUGGAGUAACAAUCUAAGACUGACGGAGGAACUCAAUACUAAUUUACUAUAUUAUGAAGCUUAUUGUGGUCAUUCUAUGAUUAUAUUCACCAUUCUUUAAUUAAUAUUCUGCAUAUUAUUUCAUCAAACCUGCAGGAGUCUUAGGAACUGCAACUUGCAAGGAACAGUUCCUGACCUGAGCACAAUACCAGGCCUUCUGUACUUGUAAGCAUACUUCAUUGAGAAAUUCCUCUGUCCAAUUAAACCACAUUUUGAAGCUUAUGUUCUUGUUGUUAUGACCUCUUAUAAUGUUGAUAGCUGCUAAAUUUUGCUUAAUAGUUCUUAUAUACCAGAUGAAGUUGAACUCGUCUGCCAUUCAAUUUGCUUUGAAAACUUGAAAGAUAGACAGUUAAAUUUACAACCAAUGACAAUGCAUCUGAUGCCAAUUUCUCAUGUCAGGGACCUUAGCAGAAACCAACUCACGGGAAAUAUACCUUCCAAUAAGCUGUCUGAUAAUAUCACUACCAUGUAAGAUUCUGGUAAAAUAUUAAACUGCUUAAAUUUUUACUGGUUAAUACAGCCAACUUUUAAUCUCACUCCCUUCUUCUUCUCUCCUCCCCCUCCCCCGCUCUCUAUCAGUAUUUGUAGGUAGGUGGUCUAAUGGAAUUACUGUCUUAACAUAAACUCUUUUCUUUUUGUUGUUUGAGUAACUCAGUCUUGGUAAUAUCAGACUCUCGAUAGUGAAGUAACUACUUUGAUGAUGAUUGCAGCAUUCUGUCAGGAAACAUACUUAAUGGUUCUAUUCCUUUGAACUUUUCUGCCCUUCCAAAUCUGCAAAGGCUGUAAGGAGCUUCAUUUGUUCAAUCUUUGUUUCUUGAUCCUCAGGUUAUUUCAAAUUUCAUUUCGAUACUAUAAUAGCUGCAGUAUUGACACUUCCUUUCCUAAAAUUAUUUUUCUUGUAGGUCACUCAACAAUAAUAGGUUAAGUGGUUUUGUGCCAACUACCAUUUGGGAGAAUAAGACAUUUUCCUCAGAUGCAAAACUUAGAUUGUAAGAGUAUCAUUUGUUCAUUUUCCUCUUAACAGUACUUUAUUUUUCAUUUUUGUGCUGUAUACUGCCCCACAAUCGAUUGGCUAGAUAAAGUUGUUAACCAUAAGAUAUAGAUAAAAGCUUUUUGUAGAGAAUCAACCAAAAUUUAUGUGUCAAUUUCAGUUUGAUAGCUAUUCAGUGCACAAGUAGUUUUGGAUAGACAAAGAAGUAAUAAGUACAGAUAUGGAAUAAAGUGUCUAUUGGCAACAAGGUUUUUCCAUCUCUAUACAGUUAAAGUACAACAAGGGAUAAUGUGUCUGGUGUUUUGUUUUGCUAGAGGUAAUAUAGCAUGUAUACUUUCCUCUUACUAAACCAUGCCAUGCUUGACUAGAAGUGGCCCUCAUAUGUUAACACCUCAGAUUUCUCGGCUGAUCCAGUUGAUCUCCUUUGUGCAGGAACCUUCAACGUAAUUUACUCUCUGAUAUUUCAGGGAUUCUUGAUCCUCCUCCAAAUGUCGAUAUUAUGUAAGACCAUAUUUCUGCUAGUCUUGAGCACACAUAUUUGUGUUACUUUCAGUUCUCAGCUUUUAUAUUUACUAGUUCUUGGACACGUACAAUGCAUGUGUAUUCCAUACUAAUUAAUACAAAUGAAAAGAAAACUCUAAGGGUCUGUUUGGAAAGCCACCUGGUAAUUGGAAUUGGUGUAAUUACUAGGGUAGUAAUUACCAGCCUAGUAAUUACACUGACUUGUUUGGUUGCCAAUUACACUGUAAUUACACAUGUCCUGUUUGGAUGCCACAAUGUAAUUAUACAUGUUGUGUUUGGAUGUACAAUUGCAAUCAUAAAAUUAUAUUAAAUUUUAAAAAUAAAAAUUAAUUAUUUAAAAUUUAUACUAGACAAAUAAGAAACUUUAUAAAUAAUAUUAAAUUAAAUAUUUAAGAGAUAUAUUCUUUGACAAAAAGAUAAUCUAUCAAGUCUUAUUAAAAAAUGACUUGCAAUGUGAAUUCAAUAUUACUAAAACAAAUGAAACUGAAAAUAUAACAUAAGUUAUAAAUUCAAAACAAAAAAAUUUAACAUAAUACUCUUAUAGCAAAUUUCAACAUAGCAUACAUAAAUAUGAUUUAUUUUUUAUUUUUAAAAAAAAACGUAAACCUUACUUAACAAUAAAUUCUAUUUUAAUUUAAAAAUUAGAAUACUAAUAAAAUUAUGCUAAUGAGAAAAUAAGCAUGGCAUAAAGAAAUAGAUAAUACGAAAAAAUUGCAUAGAAUCACGUGAAGUAAGGUUGAGAACGAGAAGAAAAUGAAAUAUAAUAAUAUAAAAUAAAAAAUAAACUUCUAGAAAUUUUUAGAAUAAUAAAAAUAAAAAUAAAACUUAAAAUAAUAUAAGUGAAAAAAAUAAAAAUAGAAUUAAAAUAAAAUAAAAUUAAAAGGUGAUCAGUUGGUAAUUACACCAUGUAAUUACCAGCAAUUCACAGCCUCUGCCUGUGAAUUGGAGAGUGUAAUACCCCCUGCCAAUUACACCAAUCACCUGUUGACCAAGUAAUUACCCUGUCCAACCAACAGAACAAUGUAAUUACACCAAUUACACCAAAUCCAAUUACCAGGGUGUCCUUCCAAACAGGCCCCUAGUAGAAAAUGAAAGUUCGAAGGAGAAAUUAUACCAUGCAGUAGGCUCUGUUCCUCAUUCUCAUUCAUUACCCUUCAGUAUUCUAUUUUGAAUAUAGGUAACUAUUUUUAUAUAUAAAGUUGGGUGUCAUUAUAUCUUGAAUAAUGAAAUUGAAGUAGUUCUGGAAAUCAUAAGAGAGAAAAUCAUUUGAAAAAGAAAAGAGAAAAGCAAACCCACAGUAUCAACAAUCUUAUAUCCAGUUAUUGCAAGCAGAAGUUGCAAAAACUUUUCUACUAUAGAUCAUCCAAUUGCGAUAAGUACGAAUAUCUAAUCCAAAUACCACAAUGUUUGAUUAUUCAUAAUAUUUGAAAAGAAAAAUGAGUUGCCCAGUCUUCGAAAGCAAAGCAGAAAAUGAGAUGACAAAAUGCAUGGCAACCAAAAUUAAAUUCAUACAAGUGCAUAUGAAUUAAAUUUCACGUGACACUAAAAUUCAUGGCUGAUUUUGUUUAAAACUGUCAAGACCCUAAAAUCCCAAGCUGUGAUGGCACCUACCCAAAUCCUGUAGGUGAUUCAAUUACAAUACUAGAUCCAUUUUAGCAAUUUAAACCGUGGAAUUAAAAGGGAAACGGGUAAACAAGGCAAAAGCAAGUGUUGCAGGAAAUACACAAUACGCCACCCAAAACCUGGUGUCACAAGUACAAGAGCUUCUAAAGUAGGAUUACAAUUCUCAAUAAGUACUAUGACUGUCCAAAAAGGAAAGAUAGAAAUAAAUAAAAGGAAUGGAGUCAGGUGUCUCGGAAUAACCAAGCAGCUCACCCCGAAAUCGAAUACUCCAAUCUAUCACCAAUUAGAUGCAAGAUAACCUAUCACUCAUACUCAGAACAAAAUCUGCACUCAAACGGUGCAAAAAACAAGGGUGAGUAUGAGAAACAUGUGUACUCAGCAGCAUCGUUGAUCGACCCUAAAUGAAGUAAUAACGAGGGUUGGUUAUACCAUGCUUACCUUCACACUUCUCAAUAACCAUAUCAAUAACAAGUGUAAAGAAUCCAAACAGUUAAAUGAACAAGGUAGUUACAAUUAUCAGAAUUCUUCAAGUCAGGCAAGUAAGCUUCAGAUAAUGUCAACCAAACAGGUAAGAAUCAAUAUGAAGUACGAUAACCAAUGCAAUGCAAGUGAUGUGAGAUGAGAUGCAAUGCAAUGGCUAAUGCACCAGUACACACACUCCUGCGGUAGGUAGUCGGGACUCAUGGAGGACUCGCGAGGCCCAUAGACUGCCCCCACAAUCCGGUCUGUAGACCCAUCGGGUAAAAUAGUAUCAUCACUCCAACCAGAAUCCGGUCUCUUAGACCAAUCUGAUAAUCACUGUAUCAUCAUUUCAUCCGGAAUUCGGUCUUUUAAACUCAUCAGACUAACCAUAUGAUUCAUCAAGUAUAUAAUGCAUGAGACAUCAUAUGAAAGCAUAAUAGAAUACUAGAGUUAUGGAAUACAUGAACAGAUAAAAUACCUUUCAACCAGUUCAUACUUCAAUUUACAAAUAAUAGUGAGUUAUGAAUAUCAGAUGGUCAUACAAGCCAUGUAUCAACUAAAAGCUCAAUUAGUCAUGUUCUUACCCACUGUUAUCAUAUAGUGUUUUUGAUGGGUAAAAGUUUUUAUUAAUAUGGUACCAAGAUAGCACAGGACCAAGUACAAAGCUACAACAUCUCCACAAUCAUACUACAUAUUCCCCCCAAAAAGAUCCAAAAAAAAAAACAAAUAUUGGUCCGUCCCAUCUAAAGUACUACUAUAACACCAAAAAAACAAGUUUUUGAUACAUUUAUUUUUACUCUAGCAAUCUACGGUCUUUUUCCCUCAAAGCAUGUCUUGUUCCUUUCCAGCCAAACAGUCCAAAAUAUGCAAAUGGGAAUGCUCCUCCAUAUCUGUUUCGCUCUUCCCUUUACUCUUUGAGAUUGCCAAACUUCCAACAGACUAUUGAUCCUGUGAUAUAACCAGAGACACACCCAUAAUGUUCAGAAACAAUUUCCAGCAUUGUCUUGAGAAACUGCAAUGUAGGAACAAGUGCUCAACUGUUUCCUGCUCCCUGUUACAAAAAAACAUCUGCUGCACAUGGAAUAGUCUCUCCUUUGCAGGUUAUUUUGGUUUAAACGAGCAUCCCUGGCUGCUAACCAACCAAAGCAGGUUGCUUUCAAAGGUGCCUUGGUUCUUCAGAUCAUUUUCCAGGGCCAGUAAGGAAUACCCUGAUUAUUCUGCUGUAGAAACAUUUUAGAAGAACUUUUGAUUAAAAAUAAUUUAUCCCUGUUAUGGACCCAACUAACACAUCUGUUUUAUCUCAAUCAAUUAAGCAUGUGUUCAGUUGUUCCAUCAGUUGACUGAAACUUUCUACUUCUCUAUCAUUCAAGUUUCUCCUGAUAGUAAUAUGCCAGCCUGAGUUUCAUGGAAAUUUAACAGGUUACAUAACGAAGAAUCAACAAGUUUUUCAUUAUGAUGGAGCCAGUAUACAUUUUCUUUUUUGAUUAAUUCUAAAAACAAAUUGCUCAACUUCUAUCUCAGUUAAAUGUGUUCUAGCUUCAUCUGAUAGCUUAUGCAUGUUUGUGUGCAGCUGUGUGUGCCAUAUUUGCUGGUUGCACAAAUUACAUUAAUAAUGUGAUGGGGUUAACCCAUUUCCUGAUAUUUUAACUUGCAAAUAUUUUCAAUGGCAUAAAGUUCGGGCUCUUCUUAUCACUCUUUGAAAUUUCUGAUUAAGCAUUCAUCAAAUUAUGACACUGAAUAAUAACUUUCAGGCUUUAUGGAAAUCCUGUAUGUGGAAAUGCAAAUGAGCGUCAGAUUACCCUGUUUUGUAAAUCAAAAGAUGGAGAUGAAGAGUAUGGAGUCUUUAACAAUUCCAUUCCAAGUUGUGCAGCCCAGCAGCCUUGCAACAGUUAUUCCGAACAUGUCCCAAGAUUAGCGGAUGGCUGCUUUUGUGCAGCACCUUUUGGAGUUGGUUUUCUUUUAAGAAGCCCUAGCUUUUCAGACUUUCUGCCACAUUACAGUGACUUUGAGCAGUGGAUAAAAGACAGUGUUAACUUGAAUAUUUAUCAAAUAUACAUUCAUUCUGUUGCAUGGCAAAGCGGUCCUAGGCUUAGGACGUUUUUGAAAUUUUUCCCUCCACGUAUAAAUGAUUCCAAUGAUUUUGCCAAAUUUAAUGACAGUGAGAUAGUACGGAUCGCAAACGUAUUUGCCACCUUUAAUCUUACUGGAAGUGAUGUCUUUGGCUCAUAUGACGUGCUCAAUUUCACUGCCAUGGGAUAUAGUUCUGGUAUGUCUCCAAACCCAUUGUGUUUUUGCAUAAGUAGGAUAUAAUCUUUAAUGUUAUUCACAGAUCAGAUUGAUUAAAUGUGGACAUUUUCAGUUGUAGUUGUGUAAUGAUUUCCUGAGGAAUUUAAAGUAAAACCAAAUUGAAUCAAGAAAAAAAAUGUGAAUCUCGUGUGCCCGUAUGAUUUUUUUCUUUAUUCUUGCUGAUUCUUGAAUAUAAUUAUUAUGAUUAUUAUUAAUGUCGUUUUACUGGUCAUGCUCAGAUAAAAACUCUCUUUCCCGUUGUGCUCCAUUUCGUUUCUGAAAAUGUCUAUUUAUAUCAUCUAUCUUGUGAUAUGGAACACAGCUUCUUCAUGUUGUCGUUAAGUAUGUGAGUAAGAAAAUUCAAUGAAAUGGUUUAGAUACCCAUGCAUUAUUGAAGCUUAACAUCCUCAUAGACAUGCUAACCUGACAGAGAUGCUAGUGAUUCUUAGAUACUUUUGACUACAUUACUAUAAGUUCUUAAUUAAGUAAAAUCUACAGACCCAUUCAGAAACUCACGAGGAAUUGCCUACUAUUGUUUUAUUUUUUAUGUAAAGAAGAAUUUGUUUAUUAAUGAUACAGAAUCUGUUUAAAGAAACAUUAUAGAAUCUUUGUAAGAAGAACAAAGAUCUACCUUUUUAUUUUUGUAUUCUGUAAAGAUGCUUCACAACACAGUCUUUGUCCUGAAGAUAUAUAUCAUUGUUACCUUUCUCAAAAAAAUAUGCUACCAUAUAAGAGAGACAAUAACUUGCUCUGUUCUUGUCAUUCUUCCUGCUUUCUCAAGAUCAAAUUCUAAAAAUUUUCAUUCUUGCAGCCCUUUUUCCCCCGUUGGGGGGAGGGGGAAGCAGAGUAAACAUAGGCACCAUGGCUGGAAUUGUCUUUGGAUCCUUAUGUGCUGCAGCUGUGCUACUUAUGGCCAUAAUAUUCGUGUUUCUUAAAAUGCGUCGAAGGUUCCAUGUUUCAAAAGAUCAAUCAUGUGAGUUAAUCUUCAGUUAUCGUAUGUGACUUUGCCUUAGCUAUGGGGAGUUUCUUCUCCAUUUCUUUCACUCACCCCCGUUAGGACCUGCUGGUUAAGUAGUCAAUAGACUUAACUUUUCUUGGAUAUUCUUAUGAAUCACCAAAAAUGAGGCCGUGAAACCACAUUUUUUGAGCGGUUCAAGCAUAUAACGCAAACUUCAUACCUUAUAAUUUCCGAUUUCCAGCUUCUGUAGAACAAAAGAUGCCAAUAACCAUUCUUUUUCUUCUUUACUGUGAUUUUCUUGUUUAAAUUGUCUAUUUAAUCAAGAAAUAACACAGAAUUGCCAGUGUCAACCAUCUUUUUUGUAUGUGGCAAACUAUCUUUCUUAGUACGUUUGUUUGUAAUUUAACUAUGAUAUUGCUUGAUGUUUACUUUAAGUUUCUUUUUAGGAGAGAGAGUCUGGUGCUUUAAUUCCUCACAUGGCCAGAGAAUUUUACGGGUUUUAUGGAAUGUUUGUGCAUAUUGCAUUUUACAAUAAGCUCUCCGCCAAUGCCCCAUCACCCCUAAAACAAAAAAGUGGAAAAGAAAUAAAUAGAAAGUGUGCUGGGCAUGUAUAACUAAGUAAUACCCUUGUUGUAAUGCGUCUGUUAUUAGUAUAUUAAUUAUACUACAAUUUAUGUUCUUUCAUUAGUCAGGGUUAAUUGAUAUUCUUAAACAACAUUAUACCCAGUGUAGUCCCACAAAUUAGGGCCCGAAGAGGGUAGAGUGUACCCAGACCUUACCCCUACCUCAAAGGUCUCAAGUUGUCUCCGAUGAUCCUCGACUCAAGAAAAACAGCCCAAAGUAGUCUAGAAAAAGAAAUAAUGGAAGUGUAAGAAACAACACAUAGUAACAAAACAAUAUUACACAAAACACUAUGAUAGUUGAAGUACAAGGAACAAUAGAUAGUAACAGAAAUUAAUUGAUAUUCUUAAAGUGAAAAACAUUAGUUGAAGCCAACUAUUGUAUCAAAGGUUCAUUUGCAUUGAAGUAAUUGUUGAAAAUUGCUUUUGUUGCUGCAAAUUUACUAGGAAUAACAAGUAGUUUAGUUGUAGGAGGAGUCUUCCGUUGAAUUUAAAUUUAAAUCUAGUUGGAUAUAUUUAAUUGAGAUAAUUUAGGAUUUUGAAUUUUAUUUUGCAGAAUUUCUGAUUUCAAGUUACUAUUUUAAACCCUCUAUACUUAGCAAAAUUAUUGAAAUACAUAGUGUAAUUACUUUAAAAAAAAAAUUGGUGGCACCUUCUUUUAAAAAAACCAAGUGGUGUCAACGCUUUCUUUGAUAUUAGGGCCCGUUUGGCCAUGCGAUAUGAAAUAAUGAUAUGGAAUCAUAAUAUGAAAUCAUGAUAUUUGGAAUCAACAUAAAAUCGCAUGUCCAAACGCUGAUUUCAUUUCACGAUUUCAUAUCGUGACAUGAUAUCACAUGGCCAUACGCCUACUUAUUGAAUCUGAGUUCAUUGAAGUACUUCACGAGUGAGAACUAUCAAAUUUGGUGAGUGAAGUUCAAGUCUUCCUAUGAAAUGUAUAAUUCAUUGCGAUGUAGUGUUGGAAGAGAAGUUUUUACAACACUUUUUGCAAAUUUUAUAAUUGUCCAUAUUAAAACACUUUCGAAAGAGCUUUCGGGCAGAAAAUGUUAUUGAGGUGCUUUUUAUGCACAAAACAAAAAGAACAAGAAAGAUUCAUGUUACAAAAGUAUGCAAAGUUGGAGACACUCAAAAAAAUCCUCAAGCACAAACAACAGAAAUAGAAAUUGAGGAAUAACUUUUUUAAAUUGCAUCAACAAAAGCAAAGGAGUGUUGGAAAUAGUUUUUGUUAUUGCAGAUUUACAGAAUAACUAGUUUAGUCGCAGGAGGAGUAUAUGUUUGAAUUUUAAAUUAGUUUAGUUGCAGGAGGAGUAUCUGUUUGAAUUUAAAUUUAAGUUUUGUUGAGAUAGUUUAGGAUUUUGAAUUUUAUUUUGCAGAUUUUUCUGUUUUCAAGUUGUCUAUUUAAAGCGCUCUAUUCUUGAUAAAAUUAUUCAGAGACAUUUUAAAAUUGUUCUUCCAAUCUUUUUUGAUGCACCAUCUUUAAAAAAAAAACAGUCAUGCUAUCAUCACCUAAGCUUUUUCCUUUCAUUCUUUUUAUGACAACUUUUCAUGCUAAUGUUUUCAAUGAAUAUCUAACUAUGAGUAAUUGAACCUUCUAUGUCAUUAAUCUCUACCCAAGACCACGUGGAACUCAUUGUAAUGUUCCUUUCAGUUCUUUUGUAGUGCCAAAAUUUCCAAUGCGAAUAGAAGGUGUUAAGGCAUUGGGUUUUAAGGAAUUAGAGGCAGCAACUAACGGUUUUAGUAGUACAACUAUAAUUGGUCAAGGAGGCUAUGGAAAGGUCUACAAAGGCAUUUUGGCAGAGGGCACAAUAGUGGCAAUAAAACGUGCACAGCAAGGCUCAUUACAGGGGGAAAAAGAGUUCUAUACUGAGAUAGAAUUACUGUCACGUUUGCAUCACCGAAAUCUGGUUUCUUUGGUGGGAUACUGUAAUGAAGGAAUUGAACAAGUAAGAUUCUCCAAACUGGAAAAAUAAUACACAAUACAUUAUAUAUAUAUAUAUAUAUUCUUAUGGUGAUCGUCUCAGUUCAAUAGUCAACUUCUGAUUGCCCAAUUCUGGUUGAACACCUAGGCCAAAAUUGAAAUUUGUGCCUUGUUGAUCAUUUUGAAUCCCUCGCUGCCAGUGUGUAGAAGCAAUCAAGCAUAACAUCAAUCACCUUCUACAACUUAGAGAAAUCUAUUUGAUAUCAAUCCAGAUGCUAAUGAAAUGACAAGCAUCACAUAAAUGAUAGUUAAAUUGCAGCGCAAAGUUCAUAGACUUAGCUGAUUCUUCUGUUAAAGUAAACUCAAGCAAAAGUCUUCUGAGAUAGUAUUUUCAUCAUAUUAUCUUUUUUUGUCAUUGUUAAAGAAUGACAAAAAGUUCCACAUCGGUGGUUAAUGAGAUGGGUGGACUCCUUAUAAGGCUUGGGCAAUCCUCCUCCCUUUGAGCUAGCUUUUGGGGUGUGAGUUAGGCCUACGACCUAAUUUAACAUAGUAUCAGAGCAAGGCCCGUCUCACCCGAUGUUGGGGCCCACAAAAUCAAAAAUUGCCCAUGCACUAGAUGCUAAGCACUGGGCGUGAGGUGGGGUGUUAAAGAAUGACAAAAGUCCCACAUCGGUGGUUAAUGAGAUGGGUGGACUCUUAUAAGACUUGGACAAUCCUCCUCCCUUUGAGCUAGCUUUUGGGGUGUGAGUUAGGCCUAAGACCUAAUCUAACAGUCACCAAUUUUUAUCACAUGUUAAGUGAUUCAAUUUGUGAGCAAAUCCAAUCUACAAUACUUAGAUCACUAAAUAUUAAGUUCAACCAGCAGUCCCAUCUAUGAGCCACUCAUCAGUUACAUCCCUCAUACUUGCGUACAUACUCUGGUUGCAUUAGUGUAAUGCAUGUCUUCUGAAAAAUUAAUCAAAUUAAGAAACAGAUGGAAUGAUAAGAAAGGAUAUUAAGUUUUGUAGUUUUCUGUUCUACUUUUGUAAUAGUUGGUUUCAUGUGCAUGCAGAUGUUGGUGUAUGAGUUCAUGCCAAAUGGUUCCUUACAUGAUCUUCUCUCAGGUAUGUGAUGUAUCCUUCCUUUGCCUAUGGUGUCAUUUGACUUCCUUUUGUUAGAAUCAAGCACAUUUAUUCUCCUUUUUUCACUUUUUCUACUGGUGUUCUUUAUUUUUAUCCAAAAAAGAGGGUGAAAGAUGUCCCUCUAGUAAAGAAUGCUUGUAUACAUGAAAGUAAAUCUAAUUUCUCAGAGAGCGUUUUUUUUCUGAAGUUUUUACUUCAUUUUGACUCCUGAACUCCGAUGGUCAGUUUCCUACUUUCUUCACUUGUGUGAUGAGGUCAUCAACAUGUUUAUCACGUGGAACCUUAUAUUCUUAAUUGUAAUCAUGUGUUAGUAAGAUUAUUAAAGAUCUUACUUUAUUUUUACAGCUAGAUAUGAGCAACGUCUGAGUCUUGGAACAAGGUUAUACAUUGCUUUAGGUGCUGCCAGGGGCAUCCUCUACCUCCAUUCUGAAGCUGAUCCUCCAAUAAUCCAUCGUGAUAUCAAGGCAAAUAACAUACUGUUGGACUCCAAGUUCACCGCAAAAGUUUCUGAUUUUGGAAUCUCAAGGCUUGCACCAUUACCUGAUGCUGAAACGAGUGGAAAUGUAUCAACUGUUGUGAAAGGAACUCCUGUAAGGCUUUACUCGUCUUAUAUGUUGAAGCCUGCAAUAGAAAAUCGCAUUGCAAUAAGACCUGCAACUUAAGCAAUCUAGGUAGCAUGACCACAGACCAGGACUUGAUAUUCUUCAAAAUCAAUGAUAAAACUGGCUGAGAAUAGGGAGAGCUUUUCUAUAUUCAUUCUAACAUAUGCAUGAAAUUGUCUCAUUAAAUGGAUCAAAUCUCCUAUCAAAAUAAUUAAUCAACAGUGUGAUACAUUCAUCUUCUUAAGCACUUCAAUAAUGGACGGUUGACCUUCUUCCACCCUUUCGUGUGUUCCCCACCUCCAUUGAUCAUUGCAGAAUUUAAACAUGAGUCUACAUCUCACAGUAAAAAUUGAUGGACAAAACAAUUGUCUUAAAAAAAAUGUUUUUUCAGUGACAUGCUUAAGACACAUUUUAAAGGUAGUUACUGUUGAGUCCCACAUUGGUCGGUGGGAGGCAAAUUUGUCUCCAUAUAGUGUCUUGGACAAUCUUCCACUCAUGAGUUGGCUUUUGGGGUUUAGUUAGGCCCAAAAUACAUUUCUUUAUCAUGGUGUCAGAGCUAAGCCAAGCUCACAAGUCAACACACAAGGCUCUUAGGAAUGGUGCCUUGAGUGCUCAAUCGGCACAGAUGUCUUUAUCAUUCCCACAGAUAGCGGGCAGUGUAUAAUCGGUCCAUACACUGAGCCUCCAACACUCGUUGGGCGCCCAACACUCACCUUGAAGAUGUGCGUCGCCCAUAGAGUUUCCUAACUCGUAUGGAUACCAUAGACACUCCUUAGAGAUGCCUAGGCAGGCCCUUGAGGAUCCCCCUCAAGGUUGCUCACUUGGUACGGCUUGAUGCCAGCACCCACGGGGGAGGUUGGCUGAGCAUGCAACACAUCUGCUCCUUUUUUUAUGCUUUAAAGAAAUAAGUCACACUGGAUGAUAUGUUUUGGUCAGAGAAUCAUAAUGGGUAUUUCUUAUUGAUCCGAACUCCAAAGGACAUCGUUUGUUCCUAAAGACUUGUAUUGACAUCCUUCACACCUCCAUGAAGUUUUACACCUCCAUUGACUUUUUAUUUUUAGUUAAGAGAAUGCCUAUAUAUAUAUAUAUUGCUACUUUGAUUUGUUCAUUAAUGAUUUAAUUGUUAGUUGACUUUUUAUUUUUAGUUAAGAGAAUGCCCUUACACUGAACCAAACUUUUGAAAAAAUAACACCGACACCGAACCGAGAAACCGAAUUAGUUCGGUUCGGUUUUUCGGUUUUCCGAUAUUUAUGUCCACCCCUACCCACAACUGCACGUCUAGGCCAACAGGCUCUCAAGGCUUAAUCCAAGCCAACCUCACAAGUCAACACACGAGGCUCUUAACAGCGGUGCAUGGAGUGCUCAUUCGGCAUGGAGGUCUUUAUCAUUCCCACAGAUAGCCCGCAGGGCAUAAUCUGUCCAUACAUGGAGCCUCCAGCACUCAUUGGGCGUCAACGCUAGCUCUGAGGUUGUGCACCGCCCAUAGAGUUUCCUAACGUGUAUGGGUACCUUGGCCACUCCUUAGAGAUGCCUAGGUAGGCCUUUGAGGAUCCCCUUUUAUCAUGGUAUCGGAGCCAACCCACCCAAUGCUUGUUCACCCAAUGUUAGCCCCCACCUUACAGUGUCCAUGCUCCAAAUGUCCAAUCCUGGCUCCAGAUUUCCUUACAUGGUUUUCGGAAAUCCUCCCCUCAUGUGAUACUUUUUGGGGUUGAGUUAAGCCCAAGAUACAUUUCUUUAGCAGUUACAUACAUGUAUAUGAUGGUCUGUCCUGUAUGGUAACAAUCUAAAAUCAUGUUUAUCAAAAUCUGGCGAUUAAAUUUUAGUGUUUCCCAAAGCAAAUAUUUGCCAUGGUUAAGACUUCUUGUUUAAGGUCAAUAGUAAAUUUGAAUAUUCACUCCAGCUGAAUGCUUUAUGGAAUGAAAGCCAUAUGGGUUUGACAGGGAAAAUAUUGAAACUGUGGAAAUGGCUUGCAAACUCAGAAUAUCAUGCCUCAUUGAUUUUAGAGUCAAGCAUCAGUCACUGUUAUUUGUGAUUAACAAUGAGUAAAUUAUGAUUUUCAGAUAUCUACCAGUUUGUUCCUAACUAAUCAAAGUUCGAUUCAAUCAUCAAGUUACACUAAUGAAUCUAAUAUAAAGGAAAAAGUAUAAUCUGGGGAUGAUCUUGUUCAAAAUCUCUCUAUCUAUGUAUCUCUCUCUCACACACAGAGACUUGCUUGAUUGUUUUUGUCUUCUUGCCUUUCCUCUUGAGAAUUCAUCCUCUGAAGUUUGAUCAUGAAUACACAUACUAUGAUCCCCUAGUAUUUCAUUGCUUUUUACCUUCUCAAUUAUUUUUCUCUUUGCUUCUCCAAAGAUAGCUGACAGUUGCCAAAUUUUGACACUUGUGUAGGGCUACCUUGAUCCUGAGUACUUCUUUACUCACAAGUUGACAGAGAAAAGUGAUGUUUACAGCCUUGGUAUUGUAUUUCUGGAGCUUUUAACAGGGAUGCGACCUAUUUCUCAUGGAAUGAACAUUGUCCGGGAGGUACUUGCUUCUUUUUUCCCCCUAAAGUUAUCUUAGCAUUGCACUUUGUUCAUGAAGACGGAAAUCUUCAAGGGAACAUUUGAUAGCUCUUCUAGAUAUAUUCGGUGUUUGCUAAUGGAUCUGAACUAAAGCAGUAGAGGGCAUUUGCUUUCAUGAGUUUCAGUUCUUUUAUCGCUUUAAUAAGAACCUCAAUAAAUUCCAAUGUGAUCUAUUUUAUGAAAUUGAAAUACAGCAUACGAAUCAAUAUAGUUACUGGGUCCUUAAAACUUUUUUUUUUUGAAACUGGCAACAUUUGAAUUGAUAUUUGUACUUAGGUAGUACCGGAAGAACCAUAUUUACAACAAAGUAAGGCAAAAAGAAACUGAUCCUGACUCUAGAUGGACCCCUAAAACAUCUAAAAUUGACUCAGUCUCAUUAGAGCAAACAUUUGCACACCAAAAGCAGAACAACAAUAUACAUUAAAGUUUAAUCUCUUGCACAUUGCUGCUCCUGUUUUCAAAAUAUCUGUCAUUCCUCUCUCUCCAUAUAGUACACCAAAUGCAGGCAGGAAUAAUCCUCCAUCUGUGUCUGUUUCUAGCUCCAAAUCCUGUUUCUUUCCAACUGAAAAGAGUAGCAUCAAUCUUACUAGGCAUUAUCCAUGAGAUGCCUCUGAGAUUGAGGAAAAUCUGCCACAGUUGGUCAGUGACUUUACAGUGUAGGAAGAUAUGUCUAACUGUCUCAACAUCUAUUCCACAUAAAGGAUGUAUGUUGCACAGUGGAAUUCCCCUCUUUUCCACAUUGUUAAGAGUCAAAGUAGCCUCAUCAUAUCAUAUAAUCAUAUCAUCAUAUCAUAUAUCAUAUAUCAUAUAUAAUACUAUAAGUGGGAACAAAAAAAGUUAAAAGUUGAAAUACCAAAAUAACCUUAUAAAGUUCAGUUACUACAAUAAUACUAGUACUAGUAGUAUUACUAAAAGUGGGAACAAAUAAAGUUAUAAGUUGAAAUACCAAAAUAACUCUACAAAGUUGAGUUACUACAAUAAUACCAUUAAAACAAGAACUAAGUUUUUCCUAAUAAAAUCUAAAAUCUAAAAUCUAAAUUGUUCAGCAUUAAAACAUGAAAUAAAUAUUUUUUUGAAAUAAAAUCUAAACUAUUCAUUUAUGACAACAUACAAAACUGGCUCUUGAUUGUUUUGUUACCUUUUCUAAAAUGCAUGUCUUCUCUUUUCUUCUUUUUUUCCAGAAAAUAAUUAAUUACAUCAAUUUAUUUUACGCAUGCAUCUUUACUUAAGAGCUAACUUUUAUAAUUUUCAUAUAUUUAAUCUUCUAAUUCUCAAUUCUUAAUCUUGACCUUUCAAAUUUCUCACAAAUAAAAAAAAAUACAAAUGAGUAAUUAUUCCUUAAAGAUAAGAAAUUAAAGUAGAUACAUGUAUCUUUUAAAGUUAAUUUUCAUGCUUUAUCUUUUUUAUAUUUAUUUUAAUAGUAUUUGAUCUUUCAAAUUUCCAUGUAACUUUUCCUAUUACUGCAAUUCUUGUCCUAUAAAUUCAACCUUUCCAAGGAAGACUUUUAUUUACUACUACAAUUUUUGUGUGUUGGAGCUCUAAAUCGGUGAAAUAAUGUCACAAUUUGUUGUGAAAGUUGUGAGAUCUCCCUUAUACAAUCAUGGGAAUAGACAAGAAUUUAGUUAUUGUAGCAUUGGAGCUUGAUGUAUUAGUUUUAUUCUUGUUUGUAGUAAUUAGAAUUAUAAUGAGACUUUUCUAUCUCGCUUUAUAUAGUUGAAUUGCUGAUUUGUUAGCAACUUGCUUUAAUUUUAGAUUUUUUUUUGUAUGCUCAAAUAUAGACUAUUUGUUACGUUAAUUUUUAUUUCAGUUUUCAUUAUAGAGCAAAGCAAACCUAAUUGGCUUGUUCAUGUGUUUCUUUCUUCUUAUGUUUGUUCUUUGUACUUCUAAUUUUACAUGUAUAUUAACUUUCACCUUUAAGAAUGAAUUUGAUAGAAUGUUUACUCAUUUUAAGAAGGUGAAACAUAUAGCAUUAGGUUAAUGGUGGAUAAGUCAUGUAUGAAGAGACAAUUAAAUUCUAUAAAAAUAUAGUAGUAUGUUUAUAAAUAUUCUGAUUUUCAAACUAUAAAUUAUAAGACUUUUUACACCUUAAUUUUUAAUAUUUAUAAUUAAAUAAUUAGUUUAAGUGCUCGUGGAUAAAAAUUUAAUAUACUAUUUUUGUACACAUCCAUUAUAAUUAUACAAAAAGUAAAUAAUUUCCUAUCAAGCUUUUAAUUGAUGAAACAUUAAUAUUGCACUACGGUUUGCAUAAAUUAAUCUCAUGCAAUCUUUUGAUCUUCUAACACUAUUCUACCAACAAAAAGGAACUUUUAACACUAUCGAGAAAUUUAAUUUGGCUAGCUGUUAUCUUUUCCCUUUUGCUUUACAAACUCAUUUUUUGACUUAUAAAUUGAGUUUAUUUUAUUAACUUCUCAUAUCAUUAUCUCGGUGCAUUCACUUGGAGGUCAUGAAAUUGGAGUAUCAAAGUUAAUAGUGAGACAAACUAAGAAACUUCAAUUAGACACAUUUGUUUAGAAAGAACUCAAAUCACGUUAUUUAAUAAUGUUUAUUUUUUAAAAAACUAAUAUACUCAUAAGGGUUACACGCGCAAAGCGCGUGCUCAGAAACUAGUUAGCUAAAAGCCAAGUGAAACAUGCCACUUUGUGGCACUUUGGCUUACCAAAUGUGCUUCCAAGGCCACUUAAUAAUCCGAGCUCUAGGUUGGUUUGUCAGCUUGUAUCCCUCUUUCACCUUAUAUAUGCCUUUGCUAUGCCCAUUCCACCAUAAGCAAUCCUCUCCUCUCCUCUUUGUAGUCCUUGAAAGUUCUCCAAAAACUUACAAGUCAGUCACUCUUGGAAUUUCCCAAUCAUUUAAAUGUCUUCUGAGGACAAAUCCCUGCCUUGUGGUGUCCACAUUUCAGCACCUGUCUCGUGUUGAUGUUGAGCCAAAGCACAGAUGUCAGGAAAUAAACUUUGUAAACUAUCAGGACCCAUUCAUUUGUCUAACCAAAAAAAGAGUCAUGUUGCCGUUAUGUACCUUGAUAGUAGAUUGAAUUUUAAGGAAUGGACAGAAGAGCCUGAUGGAUCUCCAAAGACUAACACCAUAAGGGAUAGUGACUUCUUUAGUUACCCAAUUGUCCAGCUCCCCAUACUUGUUCUUGAUGACAUUACACCAUAAAGCUUGAGUCUCAUGUGGGUAUCUCGAUAGCCAUUUCAUCUUAAGAGUUCUUCUUUGGUCCUUAAGGUUUUUGAUGCCUAAUCCACCCUGUCUUUUGCUUCUGAUAAUAUUCUUUCAUUUGACGAGGUGGUAACUUUUCUUCUCCUUAUUACCUUGCCACAGAAAAUCUCUCCUGAUUUUAUCCAACCUUCAAACCACUGUAUGAGGUAUAUGAAAUAGGGACACCAUGUAAGUUGGUAGAGCAUCUAGGACAGAGUUUAUCAAAGUUAGUCUACCUCCCAGUGACAAAUAAUAUGAUCUCCAUCUGGACAAUCUCUUCUUACAUUUCUCCAAAAUUGGAUUCUAGAUAUCUAUGGAUCUUGACUUUGCUCUCAAAGGCAUGCCAAGAUAUGUUGAUGGCAAUGUGCCUACCACUCCUCCCAGAAUUUGUGAUGGGUGCUCCAUAUUGGGACAAAAUUAAUUGGAGAAAGGUUAGUAAUGAAGUAGAGAAAGCUGUUAUAGCCCAACCCUUAUUUCUAACUGUAGAAUGCUUAGGGAUGAGUUCCCAAAGUUGGAUGCGUUGACAUAAAAUGUUAUGACAGCUAGAAAUUGAGAUCAGCACUAAUAACAUGUCCAUUGUCUUAAUAGUAUCCAGUAGGUGUUUGACCUAAAUGAAAAUGGUGAAGUCCUCAAUGUUUAAGCUGAUCCACAACUAGUACUAGCUCGCCAGCCUAGAAGACGAGAAAUGGCAGAAAAUUAGAGUUCGAGAUCAACACCUAUGUGAAUCAGACAUUUUGAAUUAAAGCUCAAACUAUUUAGAAGUUUGAGGAAAAACUACAGUCAAAGAAAAAACUGUUGAACUCUCCAAAUAGUUAAAGUGUCAUUCUUUUUGGGAACAGAGGGAGUAAGAAAAGUUACUUUUGUACUAAUGACAGGUGAAUGCAGCAUGCCAAUCAGGGAUGAUGUCUUCUAUAAUAGACAAGAGUAUAGGUCCAUAUUCCUCAGAUUUUGUCAAGAAAUUCCUGGAUUUGGCCCUGAAGUGUUCACUGGAUGAACAACAGGACAGACCGCUUAUGCUGGAGGUGGUGAGAGAGUUAGAGGACAUAACUUGCAUGCUUCCAGCAAUUGACAAUAAUAAUAUUGCACCCGAUUUAGAUGUUUCCACAUCACCAACUUCAGCUUAUUCCAGAAACACUACAUCUUACACGACCAUGGAAGGAAUUGAGCUUGUGAGCGGUGUCAUUCCCUCCAUCAGGCCUCGUUGAUGUUUUUAAGGACUUGCUAUAUACCCUUCAUUUACCAACAUGUUAAUGGUCAAAAUUCUGAAGUAUUAGAAGUUCAGUAUUAGCAAGUCUGAGGUAUGUAAAUAUAUAUAUGCAGUUUGAAUCAAUACUGAGAGGAUAAAAAGACUCGUAUAUAUUGGUUAUAAAAAAAAAAAGACUUGUAUAUAUGUUGUUGUUCCAUUCAGAAGAGAAGUGAUUUUAUCAUAUCAUGUAAGAGUUUUUUUAAAUGAAAUACAGAAAACAGUUUGUAGUAAUCAAGUACUGAAAAUAUUACCAAAAGAAUGUGUUCUAAAAUCUCAUGUUAUUGAACUGUUUUAUUCAUCAUUUUUAUUUUUAUUUUGUUUUAGAAAUACGAUAGAUUUAACGUCUAAUUAUUUAUUACACAACAAUAACAUACCCGGUUUAAUUAGUUAUUACACAUAAUUUGAAAAUGAUAAGGUCCUACUAUAUUCUUUUAGGGAGAACUCAUAUAAGUACAACUCAUACACAUACAUUGCAAUAGAAUGACCAAUUUUAACUUUGCAAAUCUGUAGCCCAAAAACAUUAGGCCUGGGUUCGGAAAAGAGGAUUUUCUGUUGUUCUUUUUCAAAUAUUCAAGUGCAAAGUUGGAUGAUUUUCCAUUUUUCUCCUUCAUGUUCGUAUACAUUCUUAUUCUGGCUAUAAUUUUUUUUUUAGCAAAUCCAUAAAUAAUACAAUUUGAAAAUCUUGUCCAAGUUCCAAAUGGAACAAAAUCAAAGAGAAAAAAUUAAAAAAAAUUGUUGCAACUUCGUGAUUUGGAGAGAGAUUAACAAGGAAAGUCGAUUAAUACAUAGAUUGUACGAGAAAAAGUAAGAAAACAUACCAAAGAUGGUUUUUAACAUCAUAUGUAGAGUACAUGUAUAAUGUAUAACUUGUAUAAAUAAUACAAUACAGAAAAAAUAUAUAUUGCAUAAAUACACAAUUAUACACGCAUUAUAACUUUGUAUAAUUAUAUAUGGAAACUAGAUUUCAUCUUCAACUUUGUUUUUCAACUAGUAUGAUUUUCAAGAUCAACUUUUGUCAAACAUUCAAACUCCAUCGACAUAGCAUAUUCUAGAGUCAAGUUACUGCAAGUUUUUUCAAUAAUUAAAAUUUCAUCAAAUAGUUUUAGAGUAAUAUUUUCCACAUCUCAUUCUUGUAGUUAGUUAUGAAAUCCUUUUCAUUUUUCUCCAUCAUUUGUUCUCAUUGAACUUUUGUUUUAAAUUUCUCAUCGACUCAUGAAGAACUGAUUCUGUCAUAUUUGGAAAUAGCACUUCUAUUUCUCAUUUUGUGGUACCAUUAAAGCUUGCACCAAAUUCUAACCACUUCAUACUCCUGCUUUCAAGUUCAAUCAUCCUCUUGAAGAAUAUGGUAUUAUAGUCAUGAAGACAUUGAACUUUAUCAUAGACUCCAAUCUUCACACUUCCUUUUAGAGAGAUUUUUCUGAAAAUUAGAGGUCUAAUUUUGUUGAUUUGGGGUCGACUUUUCAGGAAUCAACCAACAAUUGCUCCUUUACACUGACUUGCUUGUACAAAAAAAAAUUACACAAGCACACCAAAUUAUUGCAGAGGGGAAAACAUGUUGAAAACGACUAAGGCAGCAGAAAGAUUAUAUCAACAUCCCAAAUUUUGAAAUAUUGUCAUAGCAAACAUUGAAUAUGUGGUGAGCUACAUAAAUCUGAACAAAUGAACAAGCUUGAAAUAAAAUGAAUACAAUUGUUAACCUAUCUACCAAGUUGUGAAUAUUACAGCGGUUUGACAAUGUGGUUGAUUCCUAUUCAAGCUUCUUAAAAGAAUACUGUCAACAUCUGGGCACUCGUGCUCAUUUAAAAAUUCAGCAACAAAUGUCUUCUGCAAUGUCUUAGGUAUAUAACCGUAGCACUGCAAGACCAACAGCCGAGAUAGAGACAAGAGUACCUAUACAGUAUUUAAUCACUUCAUAUUUUGCAGCUUCAAUUUGCGCCCUCAAUGCAUGAAUUUCCUAUAUAUGGAUCAAGCAAGAGAAAAAGAAAAGAUGUUCACAAGAUGCAUUGAGUUUAAAGAACGUUCAUGCUCAAAAUAUACAAGAUCCAACACUUACCCGAUCAAGCUUAUUUGUAAGAUUUGUAGUUUCUGCAUUUUGAUUGGCAAGCUCAUCACGGAUGCGUCUACACAAUUAAGAAUGACCACAAUCAAUCAUCAGGGAGUCGAAAAAUGAACGAAAGCAUUCACUAACAUCUAAAACUCUUCAAGCCUUACCCUCUUUCAAGAUUUAAAUCCAACCGUUGGCCGGCAGUAAGCUUGUCAACCUCAUACCUGCAUGAACAAAUAAUAUUGGUUGAUGAAACUGGCACUCAAAAGUAGAAUCAUUUUUCCAACAAUUCAAUUGUACCUUAGUUCACUGCGCAUUUUUUCAAUGUCAUUCCGAAGCUUUUCAAGUUCACGUUGCAGCAGAGAAAAAUGAUGUUCCUGCAACAUUUUUUUUAAUCGGUAUGAAUUCCAUUCGUCAAACUCAAAACAAUGCUCAUUUGGGGGUAGAUCAAAAACAUAUAUCAUGAACAUAUAUAUUAUUAGCACAACCAUGAUGCAAUAAUCAUCGGUCCAACACUGAGUUUGAAGUAAAUUUUCCUCCUUGAUCACCCAAUGUUAAGAGAAUUUUGGGAAGGGUUAGAUCCAUGCAAGAACAAAUUCAAAUUGACAUGUGUUCUCCUAUCUGUCUCACACUGUGUUGAACACAAUAUUGUCAUACAGGCAAGGUUGAAAUUUCUCCCAAGCCCAUCAUAGCCAUAUAUGCCAUCAGUAACACUCAUCUCACAUUGUCUAUCAGAAGGAAAAUUAGUCUUGUGUUGAUGAUUUCCAACAUCCUGGAUUAGUCAAAGUAAAUAAGCUGGUUGCUCCUAAAAGAUGCUUCCCGGUAAGCGAAACAAAACAAACUGCUGUGAUAUCUUUGAAAAAGUUGUCUCAAAUCAGACAAUCAAUUUGACUCACUGACCACAAAUCAAAAUUCUAAAUACUUAUGUCAUCCUUUCCCGGGGUGGCCAACUAGCCUUUUAGGCUGUAACCCUUUUGAUCCCUCAAAACAUUGAGGCUGCAACUCCUUCCUAAAGUAUAUGCAGCUAUCAGAGGCUGAGCCAAAGCUCCAUUCACAACCAACUAGUUUUAAUUUUCAUACUUGGUUGAUAUAGUAACAAGCUCAUCACGGAUGCGUCUACACAAUUUAGAAUGACCAUAAUCAAUCAACAGGGAGUCGAAAAAUGAACAACCUAAUCAUUCACUAACAUCUAAAACUAUUCAGGCCUUACCCUCUUUCAAGAUUUAAAUCCAACCGUUGACCGGCAGUAAGCUUGUCAACCUCAUACCUGCAUGAACAAAUAAUAUUGGUUGAUGAAACUGGCACUCAAAAGUAGAAUCAUUUUUCCAACAAUUCAAUUGUACCUUAGUUCACUGCGCAUUUUUUCAAUGUCAUUCCGAAGCUUUUCAAGUUCACGUUGCAGCAGAGAAAAAUGAUGUUCCUGCAACAAAUUUUUUUUAAUCGGUAUGAAUUCCAUACAUCAAACUCAAACCAAUGCUCAUUCGGGGAUAGAACAAAAACAUAUAUCAUGAACAUAUAUAUUAUUAGCACAACCAUGAUGCAAUAAUCAUCAGUCCAACACUGAGUUUGAAGUAAAUUUUCCUCCUUGAUCACCCAAUGUUAAGAGAAUUUUGGGAAGGGUUAGAUCCAUGCAAGAACAAAUUCAAAUUGACAUGUGUUCUCCUAUCUGUCUCACACUGUGUUGAACACAAUAUUGUCAUACAGGCAAGGUUGAAAUUUCUCCCAAGCCAUCAUAGCCAUAUAUGCCAUCAGUAACACUCGUCUCACAUUGUCUAUCAGAAGGAAAAUUAGUCUUGUGUUGAUGAUUUCCAACAUCCUGGAUUAGUCAAAGUAAAUAAGCUGGUUGCUCCUAAAAGAUGCUUCCCGGUAAGCGAAACAAAAAAAACUGCUGUGAUAUCUUUGAAAAAGUUGUCUCAAAUCAGGCAAUCAAUUUGACUCACUGACCACAAAUCAAAAUUCUAAAUACUUAUGUCAUCCUUUCCCGGGUGGCCAACUAGCCUUUUAGGCUGAACCCUUUUGAUCCCUCAAAACAUUGAGGCUGCAACUCCUUCCUAAAGUAUUUGCAGCUAUCAGAGGCUGAGCCAAAGCUCCCUUCACAACCAACUAGUUUUAAUUUUCAUACUUGGUUGAUAUAGUAAAAAAAAAAUUAUGACCGUGGUGUCCGGGCUUAGCUUUCGCACAUCUCGACUAAUUCCUCGGAAUACUUGUUACCUCCCACCAGCAAAAGGUACCAGGUAACUAUCCACCAAGGCUACGAGAUGAGAAGAAUCACCUAGUGUCCACCAAGGCUACGACAAAUGAGUGUCCACCAAGGCUACGACAAAUGAGAAGAAUCACCUAGUGUUUUUUUCAACCUGAGACCUCAUGGCUCUCAACCACUUCAUUGACCACUAGGCCACACCCUUGGGUACGGUUGAUAUAGUACUAAUUACUAGAAAGAUCCAGCUGACCUAAGUUGUUCAUUUGAUUCGACAAUUUUACUUCAUCUAUUUUUUUUAGUCAUUGCUUCUUUAUACGACCAGGUUAGGAUCAUAUCAUGUCUUAAAGUAAAGAAUAACCAUUGUUGAUCUGUAUUACAGGUCAUCUUUUUUUUUUGUUGAACAUAUGAGAGAUAUGAUUAGAAUAAAUCUGAUCAGCCAAGGUAAUGAGGUACUCCAAAAUCCAAGUGAUAACUAAGCCUCCUCCCUGAGCAAUGGUACUUCUUACAAAUUAAUCAUCUUUCAGAUGCUGUUACAAGUGUCAAAGGCAGUCAGCUUUGAUGAAUGAAACUCAAAAUUUUCAACUACCUUCUCAUCUCUCUCCACACUAUGGCCUAAUAUUUUUGAUUGAUCAUCCUAGUCCAGGAUGAUACUUGUAACAGGGGCAUACAAUGAUAGCUUCAUCUCUGCUUGAAGCCGAUCUUGCUCAAAUUUCUUGAGCAAUUGCCUUUGCUCCUCAAUAGAGGAGGCUCUUUGACGAUGUAAAUUUGAUCUCAACAGUUAUAACAUUAAGUUCUUCUCUCUAGAUCUCCUGAUCGAACACUUUCUGCAACUUAUCUUUUCAGCAUCUGCAGCAGCUUCAGGUUGUGCUUCUGUUGUUCUCUGCUAUAACUCUGAACGGCGCGGUACUCAGAGUGGCACUGUGAUUGAAUUAGAUUGCUCUAUGUACACUGUUUCAAGAAGCUGACAUCUUUAUCAUCUUCCAAGAACUGAACAAUAUUGUUACUAAAGGAGAUCAGCUUCUCCACAUCCAUGUUACUGGACCCAUCCACCAUUGUAUGUUGAGAGAAAUGAGUCUGUAUUACAGUUCUACUUAAACGGCAGUAUAGCCAAAUAAAACGCUCUUCAUCUGCAAUAUGGUAUCACUGAUUUGGUGUCUCCAUUUCCAAGCAUCCAUCAUUGUAUCUUGAAUGAACGAGAAUAACCUCCUCCAUUGAAUGAAGGAAUGAUCUCUGAUGAUAGAGUUUAUGUUCUUUUUAAGUAAACUAGUGGCAAAAUUGUAGGAUGUUAUGGAGUGUUACACGCUAAAUCUUCUUCCGUAAAUCAUCGAAACACAGACUUGAAAGAAUCUAUAUUUAAUUACAGUCUCUUACUCCUUAUGGGAGUUUACUAAUGAAAAGAAACAAACGUUUGUAUGAUCCACGCCUAGCUUGUGAAAAUGAGAAAUGUGUCCAUUUUCAAUCAACUGCUAGCACAACCUUAUUCCUGACAGGAAUUUGGUGCAUACUGUAAUGAAUAAUUGUUAUCCAACACAAGGUGAUGAUGACUCAAUUCAAUUGCCUUUUGAAAUUGUAAUAUUUCAGCAUAUAUAUGUAAAAUUAGGAAGAAACCCUCAUUCACUCUAACCAGAAGGGCAUUUGAAAAUAUUCAAGCAAGUAAUUGUACUAUUUCACUAAGCUUUAACAAUUUCAGCAUCAGCUGAUUUAAAUUAUUAUGGCCAAAUAACGGAGACCAAGAAAUGCACAGGUCAGCAUGUGAGUUAACGGAAAAUGUUCUUGUUAUUUGGAUCAUUGGGUCAAUGAACUGCCUUAUUUAGGUGGGCAAAUGAAAGUAAAAAAUCAUCAUGAACCAUAAUUUCUGCAAGAAAUGAUAAGAGAACCAUAAUCCAGCCAAGCCGCAACUAUACUAGUAAUACUUAAUCCAUAAAUCAAAGGUGCAGCAAUUGAGAUUGGUCUGUCAAACCAACCAUCGAACCUCCCCCACCCACCCAACCCCCCAAAGGAAAGAAAACCCACAAAGAAGCAAGGAAGAGAUGUACAGGACUAGAGUAAAACCAAUUAGGUGAAUUUACUUUAGAACCCAAGGCAGAUCAAACUCAAUACCAUAACAUAGAAUCUCCCCUUACAUCCUGAUGUGGGAGGUAGAAGAAUUAACCACUAUACUUGUCAUAUGCAGUGUUGUCAAAGGCAUGCUAAAGCCCUGAAGCGAGGCAAAAAACAUGUUGAGCACUUCACCUCACUUUAUGGGUGCUUCAGUGUUGUUAUCAAGGCUCCAAGACAUACUUUUCCAUGCCAAUGAGUGCAACCCUUAACAUGUGACUAGGGGUGUGCAUUUGGUUUUUCGGUUUGGUUUUGCACUAUUCGGUUUGGAUUUUUCGGUUUUUGGCUUUAAAAAGUGUAACCCAGUCCGAUCCAAAAUAAAAUUGGUUUGGUUUGGUUUUCCUCUAUUCGGUUCGGCUUUUUCGGUUUGGUUAUUCGGUUAUGUCAAUAAUUAAUAACAUAACCAAAGUAAUAAUAUUUAAUCCCUUAAAUAUACUUGCUAAUAUAAAUUAUAAGUAAAACUUUAAAACACAAUACUUAUAAGUAUACCUAAUAUAGAUGUUCAAACAUAAAAUUUAAAGUUUGCACCAUGUGAUGACCUCAAUUUCGUAUUCUGUCUCUUUUCUUUUCUUUUCUUUUUAGAUGAAGUAAUUGAUUCCAUUCAUGGAAUCUAGAAGAUGCAAGGUAGUUUUCUUUUCUGUUUUUUGAUAAUUAAUUGUCAUGAAUCUGGAAAAUCCAAUCAAUCUCUCGGAUGCUGCUUUCAACAACAGUUUCAUAUUCUUUCACAACUCACAACAAACUAAAGCUUUUCCUACUGAAGUUAUCUACCUCACAGUUAACAUCAUUGAAGAAAAAUAUCACUGGUAUGCAUUAUCACGCCUCCAUCUACAAACUCAUUAAUAAAAGUCAAAGCACCAGAGAAUGGCUAGGCAAUAAAGGUCUUAACAACAGCAUGAAUAUGCUUUUUUUUCAUUAUGUAGAAAAAAUAACUGGGAACAACAGCUUGUAUAUGUUCCGGGACUACAUACAACAGCGUACAAAGAUAGCUUACUUGUCUAUCUAGGCAGAGAAAAUCAUCUAUAGCAGAUGUGACUAAGGGCAAGCUAAUAUUCUACAAGCAGAAGAAAUACAUUACACCUCCCCUAGCACAAGACAGAGAAUAACUAGAUGCACAGCUGAAGACUUUUUAGAAUACCGAUAUGCACAACUAACAGAGCUUCAUGACAAUUUUGUACCUGAGAACUUUGUACUUCAGACUUGAACUUGGAGAGGUUGGCUUCUUGAAUCAUCUCAGACUACAUAGGCAAAAAUGCACAAAACAAUUAUUCAGCAAAGUGGAAAUGGGCACAUUGUUUACAACAUAAGAUCUUGAGUAAAGUCUUAACUUUCUGCUAUUUCAGCUCGUGAAACAAAGAAUAGAGCUACAUUUUCCAAACUGUCAUUCAAAACUUCAGUCUUAGCAUCUCAUCUUUGUAGUCCAAAAUCCUCCCAAACUCAAGAACAUAGUCACCCAUUAACUCCUGUAAUACUUUGUUUCUUGCUCUCCUACACACUGUUCUUCCAACAUAUAAAUCCAAUUCUUUUUUAAUAAGCCCUUGAAACUCAAAGAUUCUAAUGUCAGGUUGUUCGUUUAUCCUUUCACUGUAGUGACUAGAUAAGAACUUGCUAUUACAAAACUUGUUCCUAUUAGUAGGAUCACAUUUGUGAACUGGAUUGUAUGUCUUUACAACAAAAUUAUCUGUCCUAGAAUCAAAGCUAGCAAAUAAAACCCAAGGACAACCAACUGUACACCUAACCCUUACCCUUGUUGGUUCAUUAAUAUACAUUUCAAUUGCAACAUGUUCAGCAACAACAUAUUUGGUAACAGCAGAUCUAAACUCAUUAACAUUUUCAAAUACAAGACCCAAUUCCCACACUACUUUUUGAGAAGAUGCAUCAAAUACAACUCUAUUCACCUUCUUUCUCCUUCUUGGCUUAACUCUCUCUCUUUGUUGAACCUCUUCUUCAUCAUCACUGAAAGCAUCUGGAUCUGUUUCAAAACUGGCAGCUUCAUCUGAGGGAUAAUAAGGCUCAUCACCAGCUAACUUGCCUUCUAAGUUAUUUCUAUUACCACCUGUAGAUUCAUCAUACCCAGCAUCUGGCCCUUUUUUUUCUGUUCCUAACUUGACAUGAUCAGGCAAUGGAGCUCUUUCUCCCCUUUUCCUUCUCUUUCUUUUACUCUUUUCCUCCCUAAAACUUCUUAGUUCAUCAUCUACAUCACUCCCAUUAAAUCCCCCCCCAUUCAAUGAUUCUCUAUCUGAAUCUUGUUCAUUAGAAGGAUGGACAGGGUCAGGAAUUGGAUCAGAGGAAGGAUGAACAUGGUCAAGAGUUGGAUCAGUAGAAGGAUGGAUAGGGGCAGGGGCAUAAGCAGGGGCAGGGUUUGAGGCAAGGUUUGAGGCAUUUUCUUGGGCCUCAUAUGUUGGUUCUAAUUCAGCAUUAAAAGAUGCAUUAGGCCCACUGUUUUGAGAUGCUCCCUCACCUACUCCACUUUCCCCAUAUUCCAAUAAAGGUGGGACCAAAACAGGAUCAGCAACAAAGUGACACACAAAACAGUCCAAAAUAUCUCCAUGACUCAAACACUCAGCAAUUAAAGUAGUAUCAUAGUCAGAUUUGAUUUCUAACAUAGCAGUACUUCUAGGAAGUUUUACAUACAACACACAUUGUCCAGGUUCAUACCCCAACUCUUUCAGACAAUCCCUCAAUUCAAAAUAAGAUAACCUAUCUAUAUCAACAUCUAAAAACUCAUAAACUCCUCCACCAUGAUAUGGUUUCCCCUUGUAUUCCUUUUUUCCAAUCUUAAUAACACCACCGUGGUAAAAUCUCAAAUGAAUCGGAUUGGGGUCUUUUAUUACGUGGCUUAACUAGGAGGCGAGUGGCUUUCACUCUAGGCAUAAUGUCCUCGGUUGGGUGACGGAAGGGGGAAAUAAAUAUACUUUUAUGUACUUAAGGUGUGUAAUAGGUCACCCCAUUAGUUCAAGUGUGUAAAUGACUUUUGGGUAUACGUUUAGGGGGCAAUUUAUGCCUUUUGCCUUUUUCAUAUGUACAUGGGAUGUUUGGAGGAUAUUUGAGCCACAUUUGGCACUUAGGCCCCUUGGCCAAUCUAUCAGAUUUCAUAAAAGACUAUUUUAUAUCCAUUGCUUUUUCUUUGAUGAAAAGCACUUACAUAUGUUUACACUGAAUUUUGAUUUGCCAUAGGAGAAUUGGCAUGCCUAAUGCACAACCCCUUUCCUCUUCAGAUUCAAGUUAUGAGGCAACUGGUACAUGCCAGUAUCCUUUUUUUCGACUCCUGGAGACAUAAGGAACACAAUUACAUUUAAAGGUUUUGUUAAAUAAUAACACACACAACAUUGUUUUUAUAUGUGCUCAAUUUCGAUUUGUGUUUGAAGAUAGAUAAGACUCAUCUAUAUAACAUAAAUUUUGGUUUCACAAGCAUAUAUUUAUAAUAUAGCAGAGCAGAUCAAUUAGAAGGUACUGCUAACCUGAAUCAUAAUAGAACAUGGAGGUGGCAUGUGAAACAAUGGACUUGUUCCAGAGAAAUGGAAAUGCACCUUCGGCCAAGAAGGGACGGCAUGUGAAACAUUGGUCCUGACAUUUGUAUUGUGGUUUCAUGAGCAUAUUAUUUAUUAUAUUAUUUAUAUGAGUAAAAUACAUUUAUUUUCCUAUUCCAACACUCAUAUCCGCACUCGAAUCCUUUCUUUCCAAUCAUAAAUUUAUGUGUGAUGAACAAUCCGACCUCUAAAUCUGCACCCGAAUCAAAUACUGGCAUGAAUGUGGGUGUGAAAUCCGAACAACAUAAAGUAGAUGAAUGUAGUCAUUUCAAUAUUGAUUGAGCACAUUUAUUGCAAUUUAGCAAUCACAUUUAUGAUUUAUUCAUAGAAGUGCAAAUUUACCUUCCCUUCCACGACUCUAACAUUACUCUUGAAGUUGUAGGAUAUUAUCAUCAAUAGUUAAGCAACCCACUUAGCAAACAAAUUGAUAGUAAGCAUGAAUACCCAGUUUGAGCACAAAAGAGACGAACAGGUUUAAGGAAGAUGGAUACCCAACUUGAGAUUGAAAAAGAAUUGGGUAAAAAGUGUAAAAGAAUCAUAUACUUAAUACGGUGAUAUAUACCUGCCAAGAUGAAGAGAAUUGAGAGUGUGGUAUGAAAUUAAGGAAACAGUGCGUCUAUUGUUUGUUUGGAAUGUUAGAGAAGAAGACCGAUGAUUCUUGAUAUGACAGUGUGAAAUUACCAAAAUAACCUUGGCCGUUCUCUUCUUCACAUUCUGCAUCUGCAAAUAACGAAGAGCAGAAGCGAAUCAAAAUUUAAAUUUGACGGAGUCAACAUUUAGGUUCUUGCAACUGAAUGCAUCUCUUCUGAAAUUAGGCGAUCAAAAUUCAAUAACUUUUUGAAAUUUUAGUGACUUUUCACAUAUAAUCUAUACUUUAAUUCAGUUUGAACCCAUUGAUUGUAUGCUCCAUACGCCAUCGAUGCAGAGAGCUACAAGCUUUUUCAUGUUUGUUUGGAAGGUUAAAGAAGAAGACUCAUGAUUCUAGAACGUGAUACGUCAGUAUGAAAUUACCAAAAUAACCUUGGUCGUCCUCCUCUUCACCUUUCUAUAUAAUACUAGAUGAGUGUUGCCCGUGCUAAGCACGGGCCCAACGUUUAAAAUGUUAUCAUAAUUUUUACUUCUAUUUUGAUUUUAGUAUGAAAUAUAUUUGAAAUUGAACGCAGUGAAAAAUAUUUUUAAAUAACCUUAAUUUCAAAAAACACAAUGUCCAUCAUUUAAUAAACGAAUCAUAUUUCUUAGUCUGCACAAUAAAAGAAUCCACAUGGUAUAAUAUAUAAGCGAGAGACAGUAUUAUAUUUCUUUCAAGUUUCAACAAUUAGUUCAAUAUUAAGUUGGGCAAACAUUCAUAAUUUAGUAUCCUUGUGCAAAGUUUAUCAAUAUAUAUAUAUUAUAAGAAGGUGAUCAAUUAUUAUUACAUAGAUAUUAAAUGCACGACAGAAAAUCUACUUGUAAAGCACAGUUCGUUGUUAUUCUUUAAAAAAUAAAUGAAUAAAAAAGUACUAUUUAAAACAAUUUUCUAUAAUUAACUUUGAUUUUCAUGGCAAAAAUAUAUAUGUACUAUAUUCAUGUGGCCAUAUUUAUCCUCUUUAACCCCACAAUUAAUUACCUCUUCUGGUGUUUUAAUAUCUUCCUCCAAUUUACUCAAAUUACAAAUCCUUGGAUCUCUCCUUAUCCAACAUUUAUUAUGCCAAUGUUCUUUCAUACUCUCAAACAAUGGGACGAUGAUUGGUAACAACAAAAAAAUCACCAUUCCAAUUAAACUCAACAAACUUAGCAAUAACUUCGAAAUUGCAGGCUUUAAGCUAGUGGUGACAUCAUAUAUCCCCGUUGAAAUAGUUAUAACAAACAUAACUCGGAACCCAUCUGAUAAGUUCCUCGAUUUACCAAUCUUCAUAUCCCGAAUAAAACACAUGAACUUUAAAGUGCAAUAAUACAACUAAUUUCUCCCAUUCCACAAACAACUUUACUACAGACAGGUAUUCAUUAAAUACUCUUCAAUUGUUAAUACUAAUCAUACAUACAAAUACAUGUUAGCAAAAAGAGAUUGUGGCUACUUUCCCUGCACAUUCGAUUUAAAACAAUAGGAUAUGAAAUUUAGAAAAGUAGUGGCAGUAAUGGAUGGAGUAACCGCACGGUUGCGACGUAUAAUUUAUAAUGGACUUAAAUUAUAUUGCAAUGAGAAAAUUACUAAUUUAAACACAUUAUAGCUGCCAAAUUUGUUCAUUACAUAUUCAUGUGAAUGUCAUACUACUGAUUGUUGAACUGAGAUACUUACAUAGUUUAACAUUUCCAUAUGUGGGAGUGCUAAUUACAUAGAUUUACAUACUUUUUUAAAUUAGACAAAAAUAUAUGCAUUUUUCAUGCUUGGAUCUUCUGGACCAUCUUUGAUCAAAAUCACCUGUUACAUUCAAAAUGAGGGAUUAAAUGUCAGCACAGAAUCACAUUAAGUUAUACAACAUAUGAUAUAUCUGUUAGCAAGUCUAGGAUCUAUAAAUAAUACAAUCUAACUUUACAAUAGGCACUAAACACAACAACAAACAAUGUAACGCUAAUAAUAGAAGCACUAUAAAUCGUAUGGCCAAGACUUCUAACUUUUAACAAACUUACAUAUUUUUUCCUUCUCAACAACAACAUACCCAGUGCAAUUUCACAGGUGGGGCUUGGUGAGGGUAGGAAUUUUAUAACAAAAGGUUAUAGCAAGAUUUAACACAAUCAACUUCAAAUUAAUAUAUAUGAAGGUAAGAAAAAAUUAUUUACCUUUGGAACUUGAUGCAACCAUGGAAAUCUACAUAUGUGUAAAUUUGAAUAUGAAAGAAAUAGAACCAUAUCAAGAAUAGUACAUUAAGUUAAUGCAAAGAUGAUCUGCGGCUAUUUCAAUAUGGAUCCAGUUAAUUUUCAUCAAAAUACUUUUUUCAAUUCAACAAGAAUACUACAUUAUAUACGGAAACAAAGAAGCCCAUAGUUUAACCUGCAUCUAUUAGACUGAGAAGGAAAUUGUUAAUACAAAAGUAGUGUAAGAAAGAUUAAAUAAACUUUGCCAUUAGACAUAUAAAACAUACAGUAAUCCAUUACUCAAAUGCAUUUACGCAAAGAAUCUAUUUUGUGUUCACAAUUAAUCUAUCAAACAUUACUAACAUUACUGAUAGUCUCAUAAAAAUUAAGGUCACCAUUGUAAUGUUGUUUAGAGGCCAACGACUUUUAUGAGUUAUCAUUGUCUAAAAACAACGCAUGUGGUACCUUUGUCGCUUAAAAUUUUCAAGAAGUUCAACUUGCAACAUUUUAUUUUUGAUUAAGCAGGCUUCUAGCAGACUCAUUGACAUGUUUAUAGUCCAAGGCUCCAAGCUAACAAAAAAGAUUCUAUAGGAAUGUGAGGAAGCAACUGCUAAGCACUGAUGGGGAGUUCAUAUUUCUUGUUCAAGGAAAGCAAACAGAAUUGAAAGCUAGCAUCGGAAGGAAUAACUGUGUGACAUUCACCCCUCCCUUUGAAGAACCACAUCAUGUGUGAACUUUCCAAACCAGUGAUUCUCCAAAAAUCCUAUUGAUAUGCAAGCACAUUAAAUAAUAAAAUGAAGCAGCUGCUUCGCUCUGACAGCAGUGAAUGCAAACUGGGCAUUUUUAAAAGCAAUAAACAAAUUAGCAUUUUAAAAGUAGCAUGGCCUUUGGUGCAAAGGCCAUUUCUUAAGAAGAAUUAUGACAAGAAACUGUAGAAACAUGAGGAGUUGGAAAUGUAACUAAAAUUUUGUAACCAUUUUCUCCUCACGUGAAGAAGUGAACAAAGCUUUGGUGUUUGUAUGUUUUAAUUUUUUGACAAACAGUAUUGUUAUUCAAAGUUAACAAGGUCUUGUAAGAUUCUUUUGACAAUGUUAACAUUGGGACUUAGGACAGGGUUACACCUCCAACCAGUGUGGACAUGUUAGGUAUAUGUUGGAAAUUUAUAUACCUGAGCAGUGAUGGAAAAAUGGUUGUGCAAUUGCAUGUGAAGAAACAAUUACAUAAGCUUUAUCUGCCAGAAGGUAAAAAUGAUAAAAAGGCAGAAUCGAAAAGCGUUCCCAUAUGUUUAAUGUAAGCCAUCAGCAUAACAAUCAUUAUAAUACCAGAAAGAAUAUAUUUUCAUUUAAGUGAUAAAAGAAGUAGCUGUAAAAAAAUAACGUUUAACUAACCUGCUAUCACAGGAGAAAAUAUUUUCAAUUUCCACAAAAGAAGAGGAACAGAAGACAUCCACAUAGCAACAUCAGAAGCUUGCAAAACACGGCAUUCAAUGGCAGCAGCAAAAGAGUGCAAAAAAUGACCGUUUCGAGAACCACAACAAAAGUGUUCCAACUGCAAUUCAAAACAACAAAAGAUAAUGUGUCUAGAGACUAAAUCGAAUUCAAAGAAAAAAUAUUGAAAGAUAAGUAAAUCCUAUUUAUAUUAGUCAAUUGCAAAGAUGAAAUUAUAAACGAUGUACAAAAUAAUUUAAAUACCUUUUAAUUCUUUUUGAUGGGAGGAUUUUUCAUUUGCAUGCUAGGAUAUUCUUUUUCCCCUGAACUAAGAUGUUCAAUUGUGCGUUUCUUCGCAUCUGUAACAUUGACAGUCGUAGAUGUCAUUGGUUUAUGAAUUACAUCUUGUUUCUCCAAGUAAGACAAAAUGAAUAAUUUUUGUGUUGCAUCCAUUCUUUUUGUGAAUAGCCUUUUCAUUUGAAUGUUGAAUAUCUUGCCGUUCAAUUGAUCUUCCACAUUUUGGAGCGAUAAUGUUUCUUUCUGGAAAAAAUGAAAAAAAUUUGAUUAAUAAUAACAAAAUCAUUAAUAUUUUAUAUUUUAUAUGUAUAAUAAUAAGAAAAUAAAGCGAACAGACAAAUAGAAAGAGAUUGAAUAUUUUUAGCAUAAAAAAAGAUGAUCAACAACAGUAAAUAUUAAAGUUGUUUUUAAAGGAAAAUCAAUAUCUCUAUGUUUAUGUAUUUACAUCUGAACUGAAAUUCAAUAUUAAAGGUCUUUCAACCAAUCAGAGUUAACAUGCAACAGUUCUAAAACUGCCACUCCUAUUGUGGUAGGUACGCAUGACAGUUUAUGUACAAAGCGCUCAGCCAAUGGGUAACCAUGUGAGAUGGAUAAAAGUCAAAAAAAUAUAUACAAUGAUAAUAUUUUAUAAAGAAAGUUGACUGUAAACAGAUAAGAAAAAGUAUAAGUUAGGUGCUAGAGAAAAGAAACACGAACAUAAGAUAUGAAAUUUUGAUUGAAAAGAGUACACUAAACACUUUACAGAAGGAGAUGUUGACGACAUAAUGUAAGAGAUACACACAAGUAUGUAAAGUUAAAACCUCUUUUAGAGUUAAGGCAUGACCUAGAAUCACAUGUUCCUACUAUAAAAGUUUUUACAAUUUACAUGUACAUAAAAAUAGAUCUUUAUUACAAAUUCUUUCAUGCUAGAGUUCUAAGCUUAUAGAGUUAUAGUAUCCUUUUCAAGUUAAGGAAGUCAUAUGUUCAAGAAGUAGGAUGCAAGUAGCUCAUAAGUAAUAAUUGCUAAUGAAACUUUUUGUAAAAAGAUGGAGUUUUAUUCAUCUGUGAGUUCACUUGUUUUUAUAUUAAAAUCACUCUCAAUGUACAAUGUCUUUUACUUUUUUUCUCAAAUUUCUCGUUGUUCUUUUUUAUGUCUAAAGUUGAUGUCAUUAUUGUUUUGUCUAAACUAUGAAAAUACAAAAUCACAACAAGUUCUUUGUGAUUAUUUGGUGAGAAAAUAGUGAUAUGUACCUUGAUGAAGCAAAUUUCAUAAAUCUCUUCUGAAGUGAGGUGCAACAUUUUCUCUGCAAUUUCAUUCGAAACAAUAGCUGUUGUCCUUAAUAGUAACUUCAAAUUGACAUCUGUUUUGAUAAUCAAUGAAAGAAUUAAAAAAAUAAUGGUUAGUUAAGACAUUUAUUUCUUUGAAAAUAGAAAAUAAAUCUUUUUAAUUAGUUAUUAUUAAUUUUGAAUAAGAGCAAAUAUACCUAGGAAUAAGAUGUGUGGAUUGGUGACAACUUGUGCAGUAGAUUUCCCUUCGUAUACUUGUUGUUCUUACCGGAGGUUGUGCUUGGAUGUUAGCCACAGAUAUAACCUCAUCCUCAAAUGGAAUCAACAUAAUAGAGCCUAUUGGAGUUGUACUUUUCAUCUUAUAAGCAACAAGCUUUGUUUCAAUUGUUUUGAUCCUAUAACCAAGUAAAAUUAUGAAAAUGUCUUGUAGAAAGAUUAGGAAAAAAUAAAUAAAAGUGAAAUUUUAAAACUUUGUGAUUUUAAUAAGAUUAAAGAUGUGUUUUAUAUCUCAAAAUAUUUUGAAAUUUCGAUGCAUUAAAUAAAAAAUGUAUAUUACCACGUCCUUAAUUCGGCAGCCUGUGGAUAUGGAGGAUUGAUUUCAAUUGUUGUAUUGAAUUUGCUCGUCAAACCAACGAAUCUAUUUGACGUUCCUACAUGCAUUUGAAUAUGUAAUUUUAGUUUCAUCAUGUCAUAUAUUUUUCAAAAAGGAAAAAAUAAAUUUAUUUGCACUUUUACCUGAAGAUGAUUUCCCAAUUCUCCUAGCAAGAAUGAUCGGGUAAUCAUGAAGUUGGUUGAAAAGUUUAACUCCCUCAUGAUCAAUGAAAUCCUCCCAAAGUGUCAGUUUUGUUGGUUUUUUCUUGCAUAUGAUUCGAAGGAUAUUUUCAAAUAUUAAAAUAAAGUUACAGAAGAUAUGUGAUAUUGUAAAAACAUUAUAAAUAAUAAAAUUCAAGUCAGAUUAUUAGUAACAAAUACCAAGGAUGGCCUAAAGUUUGUCUCAGUGUACUCUCAAUUAGACAUACAACAAGAUCAAAUGAAGAUAGACAAAGAAACUUAAGGACAGAACCAAGAACAUGAAAAAGAUAAUGAGGAACAUUUGCCAAAUUCCUUCCAGGCAGCAGUACCCUCGGCUAUUUCAUUUUCAUUGGGUAUCAUUGUGCCCAUUUUUAAUGCUGCAUUUAUACCAAAUUACAAGCUAAGGCUGGCUGUGAAUGUGGCUGCAAUGACCUUAUGAUUGUUACUAUGUGGAGGAAUUGGUACUUUGUUGAGCACAAGUCCUAUGGUGAAAUCUUGUCCAAGAGUUUUAUUGGAUGCAGGAUGGCUAUGGUCAUUACCUUUUGCCAAAGGAACAAGUCAGUCUAGCAAAUUGGGCUUUACACUGUCAUAGGAAAAAUUCAAACAUAUGGCCAAAGAAACCACAAGUGGUGCACUAAUAUAGUUUCCAACAAUUAUGGAGUUGGUGUAUGAUGGUCUAUACAUGUAUGGGUCACAAGCAGGUUUUACAACCAAGAAGAGGUAAAUAAAUGGUAAACAUAUAAAGUUUACAUGUUUGACAAUAUGUGACUUUUCCAUAGUUACCAUUCAAUUUGGUGAUCAAUUGGAGAAUCUUUUCUCACUUAUAUAUAAUCUCAUAGUCAGCUUAAUGUUCUUUAGUGUAAUAGCAGUAAUAAUUUACUUCUAUUCCUGCUUCUUUCUUUUUAUUAUACUUUUGUCUCAUUAUCCUUGUUUAGGGGUUCAUUAUAUUUGUUAUAUAUUUAAGUAUUCACGUAGAUGAUGACAUAAAACUAUAUGUUUGAGGGACAUUCUUUGAAGUCAUUGAUAUUUUGCUAACAUAAUCUAUUAGGCCAUCAUGGCCAGCUUUGUCUGAGAAUAUGCGCUAAAAUAACUUGUUAAAGCAUGAAUAACAAAUAUAUAGACAGUGUAUUCAUCAUAGACUCAUAAGACAUAAACAAUUUAUUCAUCACACGACAUAUUUCGUAUACAAACAGGUUUACAUGUAUGGGUCACGAACAGGUUUACAACCAAGAGGAGGUAAAUAAAUGCUAAACAUAUAAUGUUUACAUGUUUGACAAUAUGUGAUUUUUUCUAUAGAUACCAUUCAAUUCGGUCAUCAAUUGGAGAAUCUUUUUUCUCACUUAUAUAUAAUCUCAUUGUCAGCUUGUUGGUUGAAUAUUUUGGUCACGAUAUAUAUAUAUUACUACUAUAAACAGAUCUCUUUGUGCAUUCCAAAAAAAUACAAAUAGUAACAAUAUAUAUUUUCUUUUCUGCAUUUAAAAUUCUACUUAUUAAGCAGUUUGAUAGUAUUAAAAAUUGCAGGUUGCAUUAUUGUGCAGAAAAAUACUAUUAAGAUGUCAAAUAUUAUUGAAGGGAGCACACAACACAAAAAUAAAUACAAGAAAAGCUCUUAGUUAGCCACCUCUAAUAUUUUUUCCCAAAUUUUAGCUUACUUGUGGUUUUUCAUAGAAAGUUUGUAUGCCGACAAUAACAUAUGAUAGAGGAGAUGACAUAGGAAGAGUAGAAGAUCGAAAACAAGUAAUUAGAUAUGAAAAUAAAUGACAAGACCGAUAUUCUAUAUAUAUAUAUAUAUAUAUANNNNNNNNNNNNNNNNNNNNNNNNNNNNNNNNNNNNNNNNNNNNNNNNNNNNNNNNNNNNNNNNNNNNNNNNNNNNNNNNNNNNNNNNNNNNNNNNNNNNNNNNNNNNNNNNNNNNNNNNNNNNNNNNNNNNNNNNNNNNNNNNNNNNNNNNNNNNNNNNNNNNNNNNNNNNNNNNNNNNNNNNNNNNNNNNNNNNNNNNNNNNNNNNNNNNNNNNNNNNNNNNNNNNNNNNNNNNNNNNNNNNNNNNNNNNNNNNNNNNNNNNNNNNNNNNNNNNNNNNNNNNNNNNNNNNNNNNNNNNNNNNNNNNNNNNNNNNNNNNNNNNNNNNNNNNNNNNNNNNNNNNNNNNNNNNNNNNNNNNNNNNNNNNNNNNNNNNNNNNNNNNNNNNNNNNNNNNNNNNNNNNNNNNNNNNNNNNNNNNNNNNNNNNNNNNNNNNNNNNNNNNNNNNNNNNNNNNNNNNNNNNNNNNNNNNNNNNNNNNNNNNNNNNNNNNNNNNNNNNNNNNNNNNNNNNNNNNNNNNNNNNNNNNNNNNNNNNNNNNNNNNNNNNNNNNNNNNNNNNNNNNNNNNNNNNNNNNNNNNNNNNNNNNNNNNNNNNNNNNNNNNNNNNNNNNNNNNNNNNNNNNNNNNNNNNNNNNNNNNNNNNNNNNNNNNNNNNNNNNNNNNNNNNNNNNNNNNNNNNNNNNNNNNNNNNNNNNNNNNNNNNNNNNNNNNNNNNNNNNNNNNNNNNNNNNNNNNNNNNNNNNNNNNNNNNNNNNNNNNNNNNNNNNNNNNNNNNNNNNNNNNNNNNNNNNNNNNNNNNNNNNNNNNNNNNNNNNNNNNNNNNNNNNNNNNNNNNNNNNNNNNNNNNNNNNNNNNNNNNNNNNNNNNNNNNNNNNNNNNNNNNNNNNNNNNNNNNNNNNNNNNNNNNNNNNNNNNNNNNNNNNNNNNNNNNNNNNNNNNNNNNNNNNNNNNNNNNNNNNNNNNNNNNNNNNNNNNNNNNNNNNNNNNNNNNNNNNNNNNNNNNNNNNNNNNNNNNNNNNNNNNNNNNNNNNNNNNNNNNNNNNNNNNNNNNNNNNNNNNNNNNNNNNNNNNNNNNNNNNNNNNNNNNNNNNNNNNNNNNNNNNNNNNNNNNNNNNNNNNNNNNNNNNNNNNNNNNNNNNNNNNNNNNNNNNNNNNNNNNNNNNNNNNNNNNNNNNNNNNNNNNNNNNNNNNNNNNNNNNNNNNNNNNNNNNNNNNNNNNNNNNNNNNNNNNNNNNNNNNNNNNNNNNNNNNNNNNNNNNNNNNNNNNNNNNNNNNNNNNNNNNNNNNNNNNNNNNNNNNNNNNNNNNNNNNNNNNNNNNNNNNNNNNNNNNNNNNNNNNNNNNNNNNNNNNNNNNNNNNNNNNNNNNNNNNNNNNNNNNNNNNNNNNNNNNNNNNNNNNNNNNNNNNNNNNNNNNNNNNNNNNNNNNNNNNNNNNNNNNNNNNNNNNNNNNNNNNNNNNNNNNNNNNNNNNNNNNNNNNNNNNNNNNNNNNNNNNNNNNNNNNNNNNNNNNNNNNNNNNNNNNNNNNNNNNNNNNNNNNNNNNNNNNNNNNNNNNNNNNNNNNNNNNNNNNNNNNNNNNNNNNNNNNNNNNNNNNNNNNNNNNNNNNNNNNNNNNNNNNNNNNNNNNNNNNNNNNNNNNNNNNNNNNNNNNNNNNNNNNNNNNNNNNNNNNNNNNNNNNNNNNNNNNNNNNNNNNNNNNNNNNNNNNNNNNNNNNNNNNNNNNNNNNNNNNNNNNNNNNNNNNNNNNNNNNNNNNNNNNNNNNNNNNNNNNNNNNNNNNNNNNNNNNNNNNNNNNNNNNNNNNNNNNNNNNNNNNNNNNNNNNNNNNNNNNNNNNNNNNNNNNNNNNNNNNNNNNNNNNNNNNNNNNNNNNNNNNNNNNNNNNNNNNNNNNNNNNNNNNNNNNNNNNNNNNNNNNNNNNNNNNNNNNNNNNNNNNNNNNNNNNNNNNNNNNNNNNNNNNNNNNNNNNNNNNNNNNNNNNNNNNNNNNNNNNNNNNNNNNNNNNNNNNNNNNNNNNNNNNNNNNNNNNNNNNNNNNNNNNNNNNNNNNNNNNNNNNNNNNNNNNNNNNNNNNNNNNNNNNNNNNNNNNNNNNNNNNNNNNNNNNNNNNNNNNNNNNNNNNNNNNNNNNNNNNNNNNNNNNNNNNNNNNNNNNNNNNNNNNNNNNNNNNNNNNNNNNNNNNNNNNNNNNNNNNNNNNNNNNNNNNNNNNNNNNNNNNNNNNNNNNNNNNNNNNNNNNNNNNNNNNNNNNNNNNNNNNNNNNNNNNNNNNNNNNNNNNNNNNNNNNNNNNNNNNNNNNNNNNNNNNNNNNNNNNNNNNNNNNNNNNNNNNNNNNNNNNNNNNNNNNNNNNNNNNNNNNNNNNNNNNNNNNNNNNNNNNNNNNNNNNNNNNNNNNNNNNNNNNNNNNNNNNNNNNNNNNNNNNNNNNNNNNNNNNNNNNNNNNNNNNNNNNNNNNNNNNNNNNNNNNNNNNNNNNNNNNNNNNNNNNNNNNNNNNNNNNNNNNNNNNNNNNNNNNNNNNNNNNNNNNNNNNNNNNNNNNNNNNNNNNNNNNNNNNNNNNNNNNNNNNNNNNNNNNNNNNNNNNNNNNNNNNNNNNNNNNNNNNNNNNNNNNNNNNNNNNNNNNNNNNNNNNNNNNNNNNNNNNNNNNNNNNNNNNNNNNNNNNNNNNNNNNNNNNNNNNNNNNNNNNNNNNNNNNNNNNNNNNNNNNNAGGAAAAGCGAAUAUUCUCCAUGCAGCUUCAGGUGGUGAUACCCACCUAGCAGAUUGAUAUUCUUUUAUUUCAUCUAUCUCUAGGUUUACAUCAUUAGUCUGUAUAUGAAAUGCUAUUUUAUCAUGUCCUUUGCAAAUGUAUUUAUAAAUGUACUUAACAACUUUUAUAUCUGAACAAAUCUCUACAUUUAUAUGACAGUUGAAUUUACAAAGUAAAUAUGGAUUAUAAGGAACAACCACGAGUUAUCAAGAAAGUGUCCUCUAAUUUUCACACUUUUUCCUGUAUUUCGCCUUCUAUAAAUUGGGUAUGAAUUUUUUCCUUUAGUUGUUUGUUCUACAAACUCUUUAGGAUACUUACUUUUACAACGUCCUUUUUUUUUCAUACAAGAAUUUGUUGGAUUCAAAUUACCACAAGGACCAUGCAUCAUGUGUUGUGUAACAAGUGAGUAUAAAUAGGGAUAUAUAUUUUCAUUUGGUAUUUCAACACAUACAAAUCGAUCAUAUGCUUCUGGAGUUAGUAAUUUGUAAUUAUCAUUUAGUAUAAUAAGAAAAUGAGCAUGGGGAAGUCCUCGUUUUUGAAAUUCUAUUGUAUACAUAAAUGCUGCAACUUUACCAAAUAUAUGCCUUUUGAUUAUAUCAUUUUUUAAUUCUUCUACUUUUGCUCUAAACACUCUACUAACCAGAUCAGGCCUAUUUUGAACCUCAUUAGUUGAUAUAAGUUUUUCUUCUAUUUCAGGCCAAGAAGGAUUACAUGUUAUAGUAAAAAAUAUAUCAGGUUUUCCAAAACGUUGCACUAAUGCAAUAGCAUCCAUAUAUCGUCUACGCAUAUCUCUUGGACCUCCAGUAAAGCUAAGUGGAAGUAUGCGUUGUUUUCCUAUAUGUGAAGGUUCUCUUUCCCCCUUACGUAAAACAUCCAAAAUUCCAUCUAAUACAUCAGUUCUAAUUAAAUCUUGAUUAAAAGAAGCAAAGUCUAAUCGUUGGCUUUCAAUUUUUAUCCAUUCAUCUACUACAUAUUGUUGGAAUAAUCUUCCAGCAUGUAAGACUAUAUUUUCAUCAUCUCUCAUUUGAAGUCUGUAACAAUAAUAUUCACGACAAGAAAUAGUGCCUCGUUUGUGCUUUUCUUUUAGCAUAACUUGGGCUUCCAUGCUAAGCAGUCCAUCUAUUGAACACAUAUUUUUUAUACUUGGUAGUUGUUCUUGUUUGCAAUAUAUUUGUGUUGAUGUUCUUGAAGAACAUUUAAUUUUCUUAAUACCACAGUGCCAUCCACCUUGACCAUAUGGAAAUAGCAAUGGAUAUUGCAAUGGAUCAUAACAACCGUAAUAAUAAUUUACCAAUUGACUUUUAUCACUUUUUGUAUAUAUUCGAAUAUGUGGUGUAGGAAUAGAAUUAGUAAUAUCUUGUUCUACCCAUAUUCCUGCAACUUCUGAUACUGUUGGUAAGUUAUAUAUACGCUGAUCUAAGCCAGAAUCACACUUAAGUGCAAUAUAAAAAUCAGAUAGUUGUGGAACAUCUACUAAAGAUUUUAAAAACAUAGAGUAUGGAUUAAUUUUUAAUAUUUCCAUCAGAGUUCUCACAACAUACUCAUUUAAUUUAUUUGAACAUGCCAUUCGAUUUCGUAAUUCACUUUCACUAUCAAAGAAAUAUAACUGAAGAUUUUUUCCUUUUUUAUCGGUAGGAAUCAAGUCAUUGAUGAAAUGAUACAUCUGACCUUGAACCCGAAAAGUAUAAAUACCAUUAUUAUUUUUUGCUAAUUCUUUGUCAUAAGUUACCCCAAGAGAUGUGAAAGCAAAUAUAUUAUUGUACGUUCUAAUAUAAGUUCUAAAAUGUUUUGAUAGCUCUGUAUUUUCCAAAUAAAGGUUUUUUAAUUCUAUUGGAAUCUCAUGUGAAGUUAAUUGAACAGAACCAUUGCUACAACAAAAUGCAGGCGGUUCAUAUUCAAAUCUUAUGGCUUUACAAAAUUGACAAUUUGAUACUUCUUUUAAUUUGAUAUAAUUAGUUUUUGAUGGCAUAGUACUAUCUAUUUCUGAUAGGAGCAACAUGGGUUCUCUCAUAAGAUCAGAACUUUGUGCAACAGAAACCAUGGUGGAAUUAGAAGACGAUGCAGUUGCCAAAUUAUUAUUCAUUGAACUUUUAGAUAAGUUAUGUUUUCUCAUUUCAGCUCUCUUUGCUCGACGGCGAGCUAGAAGAAUUUCUUUUUUCUCAGGUGGCAUCAAUCUGUAUAGUUCACGUCUCCUAGCAUUUUUAUCCGCAUUUGAUUUUUGAAAAGCAUGCACAUUUUUAUGGUUUAUAUUACUUAACAUCUUUGGGAUCAAAAUAAUUUUAGACAAAAUAAUUAUCUGGUAAAUAAUAGUAAUAAUUUUAAAUAAGGAAUUAGUUGAGUAAUACUUACCACACACUGAGAGAAAAGUGAAACACAGGUGGAAAUUCUGUAAAGUUAAAAUUUCAAACCAUAUAUUAAAUUAGAUCUAAUAUAAUAGACAUGUAUAAUAGGAAAAACAAAAUUUAAAAAUGCUAAAAAUGUAAGGCUGAUUUAAAUAGUAAUGCAGUAGAGAAUAUGGAAUUAGAAUAGUAACAAACAACACAUAGUUCUUUUGUUCCAUUUAAGUCUAAAUAAUGGAUAAUUAGAGAAUAGCAAACAAGAAUUAUUGUGAAAUCCAUGUACUGGAACCAAAGAACAAAGUUGCAAGGUUUCUAUGACAACACUAUAUCAAUUGGGAAUUUCACUGCCCGAAAAAUCACUUCCUGAUUCAUGCAACAUUAAGAAAAAAAGAAAGUGCGCCUUUUGCAACAAUGUACUUUCAAACUAUGUUGAUUGAACUCUUCAAAAAUGUCGGUGGGCGCAUGUUAAAUUCUCCAAAUGUAGUAUAUUUUUGUAAAAUCCGACAUGUGUGCGACAUUCAAAGUGAAGAGCCAAUGCAACAUAGCUUUCAACACACCGUAAUAUUGUUAUUUUCUAACGUGGUUAAUGAGGAUUCAUAUAGCCGACCUUACUUGUUUGAGACUUGGGCAUAAUUGUUGUUAUGUCCCUGCUGUAUUGGUGUGUUAGGGUGUCUCCAUAGAUUUUCAGAGUGAAAUGUCGUCUAGAAAUGAUGGAUAAUAAUAUGUUGCGGCAGAAAUGUUGAAGUAGUAUGUCAAUUUUUUACUCUUCAUUAUUAAAAGAAAAAUUAGUUAAGUUGUUUCCUCAUUUAAAUUUUAGUAGCUAUAUGAGUAAGAAGAAAAAAAAAAGGAAAAAAGAUACAUAUAUGAGAGAAGGACCAAAAAAUUGAUGAAGAACUUACCUAAAAUUGGAAGGUCAGAAGACUAAACACACUUGAUAUACCAGGAAGAUGAACUAUCUGUGAGAAGAGAAGAUGAAUUAUUUAAAGGUAUGAUGGAAAUUUCUAGAUACAAGAUAUUUUGUAAAUUUGUGUGUUUAAUAUUCAGCCACGUGGAAGGGAUUUAAUGGACAAGUAAACUAUUAUUUUUUAUACAUAAAAAAUAAAUUAAAUAUCAAAGCAGAAUGACAAUUAUACCCUUGAGAUGUAUCACUAUUUCUUUACUAUGAAGCAUGUUGAUCAUAUUUCUAAAGCUCAUACUGAAAAUCAGGUUAUUAAGUAUCCUUUCAGGUUUAUGCUCCAAGAAUUUGAUUUCUAUUCUCCCAUAGCAUAUAUUAACAAUGCAUGUUGUAAUUGACAUUUCUGUAAGUUCACCAUACUAUUAAGUAUUAACUCAACUCUUUUAAAAGUUCCCUUGAAUUCAAGCCCUAUAUCAGGCAAUAAGAAAACAACUUACAACUCAUUCAGCUAUCUAACCUAUGUCAAGAUACCAGACGAUGUGAAUUAGAAACUAAGAACCAACGCCUUGCCUAAACUGCCAGAAAAAACACUACACUCUUUUCUAGCUAAAAAGAAAAAUAUUAGUGCUAAACUCUUCCUUCAUAUACAACUUUUUCACCAACAAUGAACUUCCCCAUAUUUGUAGCAUGAGAAGAAAGAAGCAUUCAUUGUGCUUGUAUAUUCAUAUGCAGGUGUUUAACAUUUGAAUUGAAAUAUUUCUUGAUAUUACAGUUAAAAAAUUUGCACUUUUCUUUGGAUUUGGGAUUGUAAGACCUCAGCUUUGAUAUUUCAGCUUAGUAUUGUAUGUUUGUGUAGAGGUUAAAUGUUUAUCACUAUGGUGCCUCCACCUUAAAUGACCUUUGGAGCAUCCAAAGAGCAGCAGGCAUAAUUUAUUUCUGCUCUUCAUGGGCAUGUUGCUACUCUUCUUAGGCAUAUGGUUGGUUCACUUGGUAAGAUGACUUGUCCUAUUGCUGUGAACUUGGUUUUGAUUAAUUUUUUGCCACAAAUUUCGUUCUAUUUUGCUCGAUCCUACUUUUCUGUUUAAAAAUCAGUUCAUUAGCUGUUGCCAGCUGUAAUUUUGGGAGAAAGGUUUCUUUCCAGUAAUUCCCUUAAUAAAACACUGGUUUUACUAUUGCAGUUGUUGAACAUGCUUAUCAGUUGGGAAAUGCAGCUCAAAAACAAACUCUUCUGAUGGAGCUGUAUUCCCCAGAGCUUCAGUUGUUCAAAGAUUUGAUCUCAGCGAAGGAAGCAAGGUAAUUCCUAGCUGUUAGUGACAGCAUGCUGCAUGCGUACUUUAGACAAUUUAAAAGUUUUCUAGGUUGUGAUGUCAGGUUGGGACAUGUUUUUUCUUCUUCAACAGGAUAUCCUUAUGAUAUUUUUUUGUUUUACUCUGCUUGACAUUUUCUCUUAAAUAUCGCCUUACUGUUGCUCCUUCAUCUGAUAUUGUUCAUUAAAUUGCUAAUCACCUUACUAUGUGUAUUGAAAGCAAAAUUUGUUGUUAAAAUUGAUACGUUCUUCAACAGGAUAUCCUUAUGAUAUUUUUUUGUUUUACUCUGGUUGACAUUUUCUCUUAAAUAUCGCCUUACUGUUGCUCCUUCAUCUGAUAUUGUUCAUUUAAUUGCUAAUCACCUUACUAUGUGUAAUGAUAGCAAAAUUUGGUGUUAAAAUUGAUGCGUUCAUGUUGAUUCUUUUUCGAUAAAUAUACUUUACGUUGUAUUCAUAUUUGUACUUAAUGAAUGCAUUUAUUUCCUAAUUUAGCUGCCAUUCACAUUUUAUGAACAGCUUCAAAAGGGUUCAGUUAUACGGCACAUGACCUCUGUACUUCAGCCUAUUUUGGAGAAAGGGAUACUGGACCACUCAAUUAUACACUGGGCACUUGUGGAGUACUUAACUAUUGCUGAUAAGGUACCUCAGAAACCUUAAUGAGGUAUUAAUGAGUUGGCUUAUUGUGAACAUCCCUUUCUAAAUUUAAGUCUGUUCCAAGACUUCUGCUGCAGAAAUAAUCCAGCAGUUGUCAAGUCCAGACCUUGUUCGGAUGAUUCACACAAAGGAUGGAUCCAAGAUUGGGAUAUUCUUUGUAAAUAGAAUAAAGAGAGCGAUUAACAAAGGUUGACGAAGAGAGCAAAAAUAAAUUUGAGCAAAAUUUGAAUGGAAAUCAUACCUGGAGUCACAGGGAUGAAGAGAAGACGAAGAGAAAAUUGUUGUUUUCCGUCGUCCGUCGAGUUUUAUAAGUUAUUAGCGUCUGUUUAUUUGUUCUCUUGGGAGAAGAAAGAGAAACCGAUACUUCUAGAGAGGAAUGGAUACUUCCAGAGUCCACUUUAAUCUCAUGACGUAAUUACCUUUUUUCCCUUAUAUAAAGUCAAAUUUGCUGAAGUGCCAUUGGUCAGGAGUAACAGGUUUUUUAUAUGAGGCAGCCACGUGGUAUGCUUGAACAAUUUGCCCUUUAAAUGAACAUAUAUUUACAGUUUUGCCACUGGUCGUCCUCCACCUCACAUUUCUAUAUAAUAGAAAUAUAUAUAUAUAUAUNNNNNNNNNNNNNNNNNNNNNNNNNNNNNNNNNNNNNNNNNNNNNNNNNNNNNNNNNNNNNNNNNNNNNNNNNNNNNNNNNNNNNNNNNNNNNNNNNNNNNNNNNNNNNNNNNNNNNNNNNNNNNNNNNNNNNNNNNNNNNNNNNNNNNNNNNNNNNNNNNNNNNNNNNNNNNNNNNNNNNNNNNNNNNNNNNNNNNNNNNNNNNNNNNNNNNNNNNNNNNNNNNNNNNNNNNNNNNNNNNNNNNNNNNNNNNNNNNNNNNNNNNNNNNNNNNNNNNNNNNNNNNNNNNNNNNNNNNNNNNNNNNNNNNNNNNNNNNNNNNNNNNNNNNNNNNNNNNNNNNNNNNNNNNNNNNNNNNNNNNNNNNNNNNNNNNNNNNNNNNNNNNNNNNNNNNNNNNNNNNNNNNNNNNNNNNNNNNNNNNNNNNNNNNNNNNNNNNNNNNNNNNNNNNNNNNNNNNNNNNNNNNNNNNNNNNNNNNNNNNNNNNNNNNNNNNNNNNNNNNNNNNNNNNNNNNNNNNNNNNNNNNNNNNNNNNNNNNNNNNNNNNNNNNNNNNNNNNNNNNNNNNNNNNNNNNNNNNNNNNNNNNNNNNNNNNNNNNNNNNNNNNNNNNNNNNNNNNNNNNNNNNNNNNNNNNNNNNNNNNNNNNNNNNNNNNNNNNNNNNNNNNNNNNNNNNNNNNNNNNNNNNNNNNNNNNNNNNNNNNNNNNNNNNNNNNNNNNNNNNNNNNNNNNNNNNNNNNNNNNNNNNNNNNNNNNNNNNNNNNNNNNNNNNNNNNNNNNNNNNNNNNNNNNNNNNNNNNNNNNNNNNNNNNNNNNNNNNNNNNNNNNNNNNNNNNNNNNNNNNNNNNNNNNNNNNNNNNNNNNNNNNNNNNNNNNNNNNNNNNNNNNNNNNNNNNNNNNNNNNNNNNNNNNNNNNNNNNNNNNNNNNNNNNNNNNNNNNNNNNNNNNNNNNNNNNNNNNNNNNNNNNNNNNNNNNNNNNNNNNNNNNNNNNNNNNNNNNNNNNNNNNNNNNNNNNNNNNNNNNNNNNNNNNNNNNNNNNNNNNNNNNNNNNNNNNNNNNNNNNNNNNNNNNNNNNNNNNNNNNNNNNNNNNNNNNNNNNNNNNNNNNNNNNNNNNNNNNNNNNNNNNNNNNNNNNNNNNNNNNNNNNNNNNNNNNNNNNNNNNNNNNNNNNNNNNNNNNNNNNNNNNNNNNNNNNNNNNNNNNNNNNNNNNNNNNNNNNNNNNNNNNNNNNNNNNNNNNNNNNNNNNNNNNNNNNNNNNNNNNNNNNNNNNNNNNNNNNNNNNNNNNNNNNNNNNNNNNNNNNNNNNNNNNNNNNNNNNNNNNNNNNNNNNNNNNNNNNNNNNNNNNNNNNNNNNNNNNNNNNNNNNNNNNNNNNNNNNNNNNNNNNNNNNNNNNNNNNNNNNNNNNNNNNNNNNNNNNNNNNNNNNNNNNNNNNNNNNNNNNNNNNNNNNNNNNNNNCCACCACUUCUAAAGUAUGAUGAUGAUGAAAAAAAAUAAAUGAUGAAAUGAUGAUGAUGAUGACGGGAAUACCCUUGGUAGUCCAAGACUUAUAUAUAUAGAUAAUAUAUAAUAGAUAAUAUAAAAUAUAUAAUAUAAUAUAUAUAGAUAAUAUUAUAUAAAAGAAAGAAAUAUUAAUAGAAGAAAAAGAAAGAAAUAUUAAUAGAAGUGAAGGGUAAUGUUGUCAAAGACACAAUAAUUUGGUAGUAUUGAGGACUCACACUUAUUAAAUAGGAAGGAAGUAUUGAGGACUCACACUUAUUAAAUAGGAAUGAUACUAGGUAAUUUACCCGCGCGAAUAAUUAAUUUUGCUAAGCUUUUGAACAGUCUUUCCAAUAAUCGAUUGUAAUAAGAAAAAAAAAAGUAAAUUUUAGUAGGUUUUAAGAACAUUUCAACAGAAAUUAAAUGAUUUGACAUUAUCACCUAUCUCAAGAAUUUUAAAUAUAUAAUGAAUGAUUUAAAAUAUCUUGAUAUCUAAUCAUUCUUAUCUUUUACAUAAUUUAUCAUAAUAUAUGUUUGAUGAUAUAAUUGUCUUGUUAAAACUGAGUGAUGUUUUUAUGCAGUGAUUAAACAUAUUUUUUUCUAUUUUUUGUACAUGAAAAAUAUAGAACUGAUAAUUUUAUGGUUAGAAUAACUCCUAGUUAAAAAACAAAUUAUAUAAAAAAAUUUCGAUAAUCAAUAUUAGUUAUAAAUAAGUUAAGAACAUUAAAAAUGUACACCACAACAACAUAAAUAAUUUUUUUAGAGAUAAUCUACUUGUCUGAAGUCAAACUUUCACCACAUUUCGUUAUUGUUAUUUUGUUACUCUAAAAAAAUUUAUAGAAGGAGAAAAAUAAAUUUGAAACAAUAACAAAAUAAUAUUGUUGUCCCUUUAAGAAAUUAAUUCUUCAUUAAACUGUUGCUCUGAAGGCCCUUCUAGAUGCUUCAUCAAUGCAACUUUACGACUUUUCAGAAAUAUAUAUGUAUAGUUGUUGCAUUAUGAAAGUACAAGUAGAUCAAAAUGUUGGAUUCUAGACCAUGUUAAAGAAAUAUUCUUGAACAUUAAAAAAUUUAAAAUGAGUCUAACCUAGAUAACUCAAAUGCUCAGCAAUGACUUGCGACAAAAAGGACAACAAAUCUAUGUUAAUAGACAUAUCUUUUGUAGCUUAAGAUAUUACUUUUAUUUAGAGCAGGUUUUGUUUCAUAUUCUUCAAAUAAAGCUUGUUGAAAAUAGUUAUAACUCACACCAAAAAUAUUUAGUAGAGUUGAAUGAGAAGGAAAAACAGAAAAACAUUAAAAGGACGAAAGCUUUGUCCAAGUGAGAUCAUAUACAUACCAAACAAAAAAUAGUCAAUACAAUUUUAACGAGACAACAAAACAGCAAGAAAAACAUACAUUAAAGGGAGUAAACCAUGAGAUAUCCAAUGAUGAUAACAAAUCAUUCUAACCAGAAAAGUUCUCAUGUUUUAAAAUAAUAUACCUUAGAAAAUUGACCAACACUUCAAUCAACUUUCAAUCUUUAAAGUACUCAUAAUAUCCAGUGAUAAAAUUUAGUAAAAAUAGAUAACAACAACAUAAAAACAAAAAAUAUGGGCAUGCAAAGUUAUUAACUCUCAGAGGAAUUUCUAAAGAACACAAAAUCUCAUCCUUGUAUGCGAAGAAAUAACAUUGUUGAUGAUCAGAUUAUAGAUUUGUAAGGGUUUUUUUAUUGUACCUUCAACAAUUUCAGUAGACAAAACUUGCUUGAAUAAUCAAUUAACGUUUAUUAUUUAAUAUGUACUAACAAAUACUUAUAACAAUAAUAUUGCAGAAACAUAAACAACAAAAUUUAAAGCAUGUACUCAAAAAUAAUAAUUAAUAAUAUAAGCAUAAAUUAAUGACUGUUAAAACAUACCAGGAUUUGUAACAAUAGAAUGGAAAAAAUUGAUCGCACUGAAUGUACAGUGUUUCCUUAAGGAAAUUAUUCCCCCUAGUACCCGAGAUUUAAAGGAAUUGAUCCUCUGAAGAAAGAACGAUUUUAUUCACCAGAGUAUUGAUACAAAAAAAUUGUGUCUGUGAGUCAUUCAACAGGAGCAAAGUACGCAAUUAUUUAAUUGUCCAAAAGAAAAAGAAGAAGAUCAAAAUUUUCUUUGUUUUAAAAUGAGAGGAAAUUCCUCUAUUUAUAGACAACAAAAGGUGAUGUGAACAAAUGCUUAUUGUGUCGUAUCCGAAAAGUCACAACCUUUCAUAAAAGUCACAAAUUUUCAUAAAAGUCGCAACUCUUCAUAAAAGUCGCAACUCUUCAUAAAAGUCACAACUUUUCAUGAAAGGGGAAGGCUAGUUUUAAAAAUAAAAUAAAUUAAAAGGGAUUCCUGGUUUGUGAUGGCGCGGUCUAGGGUUUUCUUUUAUAUAUAUAUAUAUAUAUAUAUGAUUAUAUGAUUAAGAAAAUGCAUAUUUAAGUUUUUUUCUUUUGUGAAAAAAUUAUAUUUCAAAAUUUAUGUCUAGAUUUACUAGUUAUUUUAAAUUGUAGAUGAGUUUCAAUAUGAUAACUAUUUCUUUAGAAUUCUAACCUUACCUUGUAAACAGGGGUGGAUCUAGAGGGCGGUGAGAGUGUUCACCUGAACCCCCUCAACAAAAAAUAAUACUAUUAAACAUAUAAGGUAAUAUUUUGUUUUAUAUAUAUAUAUAUAUAUUAGUUUCUGGGCACGCGUCUUACGCGUGUAACCCAAUUUUAUUGACCAUAAAUUUUUAAUAAAUUACAUAAAUAUUAGUAUUAAGAAACAUGUUUGAGUUAUAAAUUGUAUACUAAAGAAGAUGUGCAAAUUCUUAAAGUGAUAUCUUAAUCCUACUUGGCGAACUCUCUAAAAGGAAGAAAUACUUCUCCAAAGAAAUCUUUGGUUUUCUUACUUUGAUUUCUAAUUUCACCUUUAAUUAUCAAAGUUAUUGGAUCUUGUUUCUUUUGGUAUAAUGUACAAUCUCUUCUUUACCUAUUGAUUUGACCAAAAUAACAUUUUUUAAUACCAACACUCAAGCAGAAAAGAGUAGAAAAAUAGAAAAUAUGUUUAUAUUACCUCCCAGUUACCAACUAAAAAUACCUUUGGUGUAAUUAUGUUUUUAGUGUCAUGUGUAUUUUAAUUUAUUUUUUUUGUAAAUUUGAUUAAGACCUAUAAAAGGAGAAUUAUAAUGUGUAACCUUUACCUAAGGCAUAUAUAUAUAUAUAUAUAUAUUGAAUAUUAAUGUGCAUCAAUUAAAUAUUGAAUAAGGUAUAUAUGAUUUGAUAAAGAAUAUGAUAUGUUUAAAUGGUUGGAAGCUGAAAGUGAAGAAAAUAAAUACAUGACACAUAUUAAACUUGUAAAUAAAAAGUUCAUAGAAUUUGUACAGGUCUAAAGUUAGAAGAAAGGUCUUUCCAACUAAAUUUAAUAGAUAAUUAAUUUUUAUAAAAAAAUAAAAUGAUAAAUAUACUUUUAAAAAACAUUUUAGUAAUUCAACUUUUGACUUAGACUCUUUCCACUUUUAAUAGAAUGAUCUUGUUGACUUAUAUUACUAAAAUCUAAACAAAAUGAAGCUUAAUUACUCCAUUCUCAUAAUAAUUUUUACAUGAUUUUAAUUUGAGGAAUAAUUUUUAGUAUUAACAAUUAAGGGUCGAAGUAAUUCAUAAAGAAACAACCAAAAUGUCUAAAAGUAAAAUUGUCAUCAUACCAACCAUUUGAAUUUUAACACUACAGAAAGCUACCGUAAAUAUAGAAUGCUUAUGUUUAAGAAAACUAUUAGGCUUAGUGCCGCAUAAAUGUAAAAUGUAACUCUCAUUUUUAUUUGAAAAUUAAAUUUUUAAAUCUCAUAUUGUAUAAAUUGUAGAAAAAUAAAAAAUGAAACAAAAGGGAUGAAAAUGAACAAUAUAUGUAUGUGUUUGCAACACAAUGUUAGAUAAACGACAAAGUAACACAACCAAAAUCUUUCAUUCAAAGUAAUAAUCUUUUGGCAAUCUUUAUUUAAAUUACUUGUAUUUAAACAAAAGCAUAUUACAUAAACUAUUCAAGUAUUAUCAAACUCAUCAUGUAUUAAUAGAAGUUUUAUCAAUUAAGUAGCACUUAAAAGAAUAAUAACACAAAAACAAAGAAAUAAAUUCCAUAACAAUGCAAAAUGAUACAGAAUUACAUAAAAUAUGGGUUGCAUAACAAAUUUAUUUUGGACAACCAUACCUUAACUCCAAAAUGGAAAAGAAAACUUAAAAUCAUAAGCUAACAUAAAAAAGAUCUAAAGGAAUAUAUAGGUCAUAUCUUAUACUUCUAAGCUUAACACUUGAACUAUAUUGUAAGAAAGUUUCUCUUUUAAAUUGCAUAAUGAAGCUAUCCAUUCUUUUCCUCAGUUAGCUUCUUGACGACAUGUAUCUAUAUCAUUAUCUAAGAAGAAGAAAAGAAAACAAUAGAUGAUAGAAAAGAAAAGAAAAGAAUAUGAUGAUUUAGGGAGCAAUUUACUGGUAUUUAUAGUGAUAUUUAGCUGUCUUUUCACCUACCAAAUUAAUGGAGCACAUUGAAUCAUGAUACAUAAAUUUUAUUUUGGUUUCAAAUUCAAAGAGUCACUAAAGAGUCAUUCAUUAUUAAGUGUAGUUGUUGGACUUCAUAUUCCACCAUUAUGUAAUUAAAAUAUUAGUAUCUAAUAAAUUAAUUAAUUUCAUUUUGAUUUAGUGGAGGGGCAAAAUGGUAAUCCAACUUUGAAUGUUGGAGUUUUCCACUUAUAAUAAUAUAUGAUAUGAUAUAUAUUGAUUUUGAAUUCCCAAAACACAAGAUUAAAGGUUCGCGUAGUGGUUAAGGGCAUUCAAAAUCUACCUUCAAGUUUCAAGUUUAAAUCAUAGGCACGCUUUAGAUUGAAUAAUGAGCUAAGUAAGAAUAAAUUUGAUAAUUAGAUGCUAUGAUGAGUAAAUGAGAUAACUAAAGAGUAAGAGUAUGAAUCUGGAUGUUUUGGGGGCGUAUAAAUGGGUCUCUAUCUAAAGUAGGAUUGCAAUUCUCAAUAAGUAGGAUUACAAGAGCUUCUAAAGCGUUGCAGUAAGUCCAAAAGUUCAUAGAGGGCAUUCACAAGAUUAUUGGAUUAUGGGUGUCACAAUGGUUGAGAGUGUAGAUUUGACCGCUUAUCAGUUGAAGAGAGUAGCUCAAAUUUGCUACAAGCAAUGGAAGGAGGAAAGCGUUGUUGAUGCAGACCCAUUGGACUGGGAAAAGUUCAAGGCUAUUUUAAUAUCCGCUUGAGAUGAGAGAGGUUAAGGUCCAAGAGUUCAUAAAUCUGAGACAGGGUAACAUGACAAUGAAGGAGUAUUUUUUGAAGUUUUCUCAAUUCUCCAAAUAUGCUCCGACUAUGGUUGCACGACUUUAGGGACCACAUGAGUAAGUUUGUCUACGAUAUUUCUGCGAUGUUGAUUAAGGAGAUCGCUAUCUCAAGGUUAAUGACUCAUGCUCAACAGAUUGGGAAAGAAAAGCUCAAGGAGAGUGCUAGAGACUAAGAGAGCUCAGACAUAUAGUGUAGACUACUCUCAUCAAAAAUCAGUAGGCAGUAAUCGAUAUCAGUUUCGUCAAAAAUACUCAAGUCCAACCCCAUCUUCUGCUAGUGCUCUAGGGCAAUGUUUCUAGUGGAUGCACUUUCCUUACUUCUCAGAAGUGUGGUAAAAUCAUCCAGGAAUAUAUAUGGCCGGUACUGGUAGGAGCUUUGGAUGUGGUCAGAUUGAGGGAUUGCCCAUCGACGGUAGGCAAGGGCAAGGAUGUUCAUCAGCAGGCUCAGCCUAAAACUUUAGCAAGUCACCUGACUCAAUAGGGUACCCCAUCUAGAACUGGUGGCGGACUGCAUGAGAACAGGUUUUAUGCUCGUUCCCCUGAUAUAGUCAUUGAUAUGUUACGAGUCUUGUUAGAUUCAGGAGCCACAAUACUUUUCAAGAUGGGUUGAAAACUUGAAAUGAAUCAACCCAAUUUCCUACACGACAACCAUUUAUUUUUCAUUGAUUUUCAACAUAUAAACCAUGAGAAAAUGGUCUAAAGCCCCCCAACCUAUACCCGAAAUUCCAACUACACACUCGAACUUCACGGGUGUCCUAUUACCCCCUGAAUAUUUUAUUUCUCAAUUUAGUGCACACCUGAGUGCUGACCUGUCAUAGGAGGUGAGAGCACCGCCUCUAGGCGCAUUAGAGGCAAUAAAUUGGCUAUGGUCAUCUUCCCCAAAUUAAAUAAACCUUUGUUCCUUCUUCCCCACCAUUAAUCCUUGUUCCUUCUUCAAUAUUUUGACGAUUUUCUUUCAAAAAUGGCUAGGUUUUAGUUGUUUAUGUUUAUUUCUACUUUAAAUCUUGAAAUUAGGGUUUGUAAUAUGCUCUAAUUUCUUAUUUAAGUUCUCUAAUUUGAAUAUUGAAUCUUCUCUAAAUUCAUUAAAAAUAACAAAUGAAAACUUGAAUAAGCUUUAUAUCGAUGAAUCAAACCCAAUGCUCAACGUUGUAGUGAGAUGCAAACAUGAAAUUUUGUUGAAUUUGCAAACUUUUUGGUCGAAAUUAAAUUCGACCAAGAAUUGGGCAAGAUGAAAAGGAGAAAAGCGAAAAGAAAGAAUUGGGGUAAGGGGUGAUGUCGUUCGAUCUUUAAGAGGGAAAUGGAAAGGUUGAAGUGGGGCCUGCGCGUGCAAAUCACGUUAGUCAAUAUAUUUGGUUUAUAUGUACUGGUCAGCACUCAGGUGCACUAAAUAGAGAAAUAAAAUGUUCAGGGGAUGAUAGGACACCCGUGAAGUUGGAGUGUGUAGUUGGGAUUUCGGGUAUAGGUUGGCGAGGCUUUAGACCAUUUUCUCUAAAAACCACACGACAUUAUAAUGUACAGAACUGCAUUUAUGACUCUUGACAUUUUAAAUGGGUAGAGGACUACAUUUGAGACUUUUGACAUGCAACUCCGUAUGACAAGGGAGAGAUAACCUACUAGGUAAAAAGGGCCACUUGCCUGUUGGAAUUGAAUAUUGGGAGAAUGGAGCUUACCAUAUCAAAAGAAAUAUCAGGCGGGCAUACAUGAGUUGCAAUACAACAAAUCCAUAGUUUCUUCAUUUCAACAUUAAGGGACCUUUAGUAUCUAAAAUAAAUAAUUGAAGCUGAAUAUUCUAUGAAUAACAACUAGAGGCAAACCCCCAAAAUCUGAAUUUUGCACUCAUAAUAGAGGCUCUGUUUGGGAACUUUAGGAUCAUGAUCAAACUAAACUAAUCGAGUUUAGUUUAUGCAUUUUCAAAUGGAGGCAAUCCCCAAUCGACUGGGCUGUAAUCAAGUAAAGAAUUCAAAACCUGAUCAGCGACUUGAUGAUACUGACUAUCCAACCUUGCAUCUGGAACCAUAACCACUGACCUGCAUGCAGUAACAUAAAACCCAAGUCAGUAGAUGAUAGCGCAAUUAGAGCUUUAUACAUUCCUAUGACAACUAUAUAUCUGUACCUUCACUUUUCUCAUAAGAACAUUAAUGCAAUAGAUGGGGGGUAAAAGAGACCAAAAUGCAACCAGGUGAUCUUCUAUAUCAAUGACAAUGAGAAUCUUAAUGCCACUUCAGGACUUACUUGGCAUACGUGUUACAUCUACCAGAAGAAACCCUUGUCAACAAACAGAACUUUGGGGACUUUAGUAGCUAAAGCAUGUUAUUGGCGUUUAAUCAUGCCUCAUAGGACCCAAAAAAAUGAAGAAUUAAUAGUAGCAAACAAAUAUGAGCAAGUUCAAAACUCAUGAAAACUGCUAACAUUCCAGACCUGAAGAAAUUAAAUUAAGGAAAAAACAUAGCCUCAUAGUACAAAGCAGGAAAACUAUUAGAAAAACGCAAGAAACCAGAGCAAACACCAAAAAGGGACCAUGUUACAAGGACUCUAAUGAUCACUACUAGCAAGAGAUUUGGGUCUGCAUAUGUAAGGACCCAAACAAGGAAUUUUUUUUGAGAAAGGUAACAUCCCAAACAAGGAAUAUUGUCUAUCCAUUACAGGCAAAACUAGGUGUUUGUGUGGGUGUCAUAGAGAAUCCCGGGUCCUGGUGAAGUAGCAAACUGAGGCAAUUUGCGGAUGGAAUAAUAGUAAUAUGUAUCUUUUAGAUUAUUGAAUGAUCCGAAGAAGAUUACAAAUCAGACAGAAAAUUAGAACACCAGGAAGCACUUGCAGUGUGGAUAGGUUCAAAGAGAUUCUUGAAAGUCAAAACAAAAACCCCAAAAUAGGAGGAAGGAAAAGGCAAGAUCCUGAAGGAGUGCUCUGAAUCCAAGAACCAGACCAAAAUCAUAUUGUUUUCUCAAUUACUAGAUGUUAUCUUCAAGAGAUUAACAACACCUACGAGUUAAUCAAUUACUUAGUGCCAAAUUGUUGAGACAUAAAUCUAGAUGAAAUAUAAAAGGCAAACUACAAUUUACAUGUUGGACCAAUCACCAAUCAGUAUAACCUUUGCACAGGAUGUCAAGUACAUAAGACUGUUGACUGAGAGCAAAAUAUUCAUAGGAAUAACUAAGACAAAAAACAUACAGUGAAAAAACAAAAUUAAAGAUAUGCAGUUGAGCAAGCAUUUACAGGAAAGUACAAGGAGAGUUGGUAUCUAAACUCCUUAAAAUAAUGAAAAGUAAUCAUGUAGUUCUCUCAAGUUAUUCUACUAGAAGAAAUCAAAAAUGAUAUCACCCGACAUUAAAAUUUUGGGAGAUAGACCUACAUUCCAGCAUUCUUGGCUGCAAGGACACCAGAGGGCGCAUCUUCAAAUACAAGAAUCCUCUGUGGAUCUACAGGUCCACCCUGUCCAUAUUAACAUAAAGAAUACAGCUCAUAGGCAUCCAUGAUAUUUCAUAAUUGACUACAUAUACUGACCAUAUUUCUACUUUUCCAUUAUCUGAAGGAUCUCCAUUCUAGUUUCACAAAUUACACCCAACUUUCUCAGAUUUUGUAACAAAAUAGUGUUAACUCCCCUAAAGGCUUGUACAUUCAGAAAAAGUAGUCUCUCACUGUACAAUUUUGAGAACAGAUUUUGCCUUUCUGCAGUAAACGUCCUAGAAAUUUUAGAUGUUAUAUAUUCUCCGCUUCAAAUCAAAUGCCCACCUUCCAAUUUUACUUUAUCCCAAAAUAGUGUCCUUCCUAAAAAGAGAACUUCUUAAACAUACUUUACCAUAUAAAAAUCACAUAGUACCCAGUUUUUCUCUUUUAAAUACACCGUCUAUCCCAAAAAGUUUCCUUGUUGAGUUUUGAAUAAUCAAAAUACAUAUUUUUCAAACAUAACUUCAGAUAAACUUUUAUAUACAUAAGGAAAGGUGACAGUCCAUGGAAGGAGGAAAAGACAAGUAAUGCUCCCAGAAGAAGCUGGCAGCAUCAAAGCUUGGGGUUGUUGAAAUGAUCAAUGAAAGAUUUCUUUUGGAAUUUCCAUCUGAUAUAGAAGUUGCCAGGGUUAAGAUUGGUGAAUGGAGAUGGAAAGGACAGAAAAUUAAUCUAGUGAACCGGACUUUGCUGACAUCAAUGUCCAGAAAAUACAAGUUCCGGUGAUUCGAGAUGGGUUAGGCUUGACAGUUUUCCGACAACUCUGUGUGCCUUGAUGCUGACGCGCACUUAAUUAGGUUAUGUUGGGGAAUGGAGCAAGGAAGGGGUAUCAUACUCUCUAUGUCCCAAUUUAUACGACUCACUUUCCGUUUUAGUCGGUCCCAAAAAAGAAUGACAAAUUUCUAUAUUCAGUAACAAUUAAACUUUAAAAUGCCUACUUUACCCUUAAUGAAAUGAUUUAUAGCCACACAAACAUCUAUUACUUAUUUUAGACCACGAGUUUCAAAAGUCUUUAUUUCUUUCUGAAGCUAUGUAUUAAGUCAAACUACAUCACAUAAAUGUAUGUUUGUAUAUAGAACUUUUUUAUACUUUUUUUGCUGAUAUGUUACAAUAUCGUGCAGCACCUUGAUUAGUUGAAGUUAAAGAUGGCAAGACAACUGUAGAACAUGCAGAGGAGGAGGGUUGGAUUGAUAUGAGCAAGUCAGAUUCAUAAAUUUAACUUCUGAGAUGGCAAAACAAUGCAACAUCCUAACAAAAAUCAUUGACUUUACUUUUUCAUUUGGAAGAUGACUAAUGUGUUUGAUCAUUGCAUCACCGUAAAUAGCUCACAGAGAAAAUUUUCUUUUUCUAAGAAAGUAACACUAUUUGAAGUUGGAUAUAAGAACCAAGCCAACAGAAACAGGCAUAUUUGAAAAGUCUAGUAGGUAAAUUAUCAAUUAGACCAUACUAAGGGAGGUCUAUGUAAUAGAAGACUAACCAAGAGAAGGAUAAGUAUCAUAGUGCGAGAUCUCUCAGUAUAUACACAAUCUAGAGAAACAAAAAUCAGAGAAUUACCUCAAAUCUGUUUGCAGCUGCAAGGAAUAUAUCAGGUGAUGGCUUCCCUUGUUUAACUUCUGGAUCAUCGCCACGAACAAUAUGAUGCAUUAGUGAAAAAAGUUCAGUGUGUCUUUGAGUUUUCAAAUCAAAGUGCCGCGUGUGAGUUCUGAAAAAUGCAUUUAUAUUAGUUCACUUUUUGAAUCUUACUUCUGAAACAUUAUCUUAGCAUAUGUUAAUUCUUACACUUCUACUUUUUUUUUUAUGACAAGGGAAUGGUAAACUUUCUAGUGAACAAAACUAAAAGAAGAUGACAUACCCCGUAGCAACACAAAUUGGUAUCCCAUUUUCAUGAAGGUGAUGAAUCAGGCGGCUGGCCCCUAUAACAGGACAAAAACUUAAAACAAGCAAAGAAGUUCAUGUAUCCAAUUUUGCAUUAAAUGAAAUUAAAAGACUGAAAUGAACAAUAUGUGGAAUUUAUAUGCUAGUCUUCAUACUUAAUAUCCACUCUACUUCAGAAACAAAUGUUCUAAACUAACAUUACUGGAUGCAAGAACUUGAAAACAUAAUUAUUCAAGAAGCUGUUGGAUAGGAUUCACAUGUAAGGAGAAUCAGUAAUUAGAUUUAUGAGCAUGCUGUAAUUUUUGCAAGAGAUUGUCAAGUUGAUAGGUAACCCAUCUUGGAUAAAUAUGUUUUCAAGUUCUUGCAUCCAGUAAUGUUAGUUUAGAACAUUUGUUUCUGAAGUAGAGUGGAUAUUAAGUAUGAAGAUUAGCAUAUACAUUCUACAUGUUGACUAUUGUUCAUUUCAAUCUUUAUGCAUAGUGACCUCUCAAAUGGUGAAAUUUUUGCAACAAGUUGUAAAGAUGCAGAAUACACAUAAUGAACAGUCAAACACAUCAUUUACCAAUGCAAUGGUAGGAGCAAAAAGAAACCUCUGAAAAUCAUUUCUCAUGUUCGCAGCAAAAGGCUUUCCAACUCUGAAGUGUAUACCACAAGAGGGUAAUGAAGGUGUGUUCCUUGAUAUCUAGGAAAUUAUAUGUUCCAAGUCACUUAAAAAUAAGCUUUUCUUUUCUCAAGUUUCAAGGUUUAAACUUCUUUUUUUUAUCACAACUCUGUUGAGGCUAGCUUGCAGUACACCUUGACUAAAAUUCCUCUGGUUCCUAUUAUCUCCCACUAGCACAGGUGCCGGGUAACUCUACCGACCAAAACAUAGACAAAUUGGAAGUUUCAACUAGGGUUGCCUCCGAUGAGAUUUGAAUAUUAAUUGAUCAAGGUUGUUACUCUGGCUCUCAACAGCUAGGCCAUCCCCAGGGACAGUUUCAAGGCUUUAAUAUGAAAAAUAUAGCAUAAAUGUUAUGGAGGAACCUUUUAUUAUGCAUCUAGAGAAGUAGAGAUUACAUGUCCCUGGUUAUACUUUGGGGGAAGAAAGAAAACUGAGCUAUUUCCAUCAAGUAAAGAAAAGCCUCUCCAAAACUUUAAAAAUUAAAACCAGUUAAAGUUAUCCUCAAUUGGUAGUUCUUCAUAAAAAUGCCGUAUAAGCUAGGCCCUAUUAGCAGGAAAAGAUGGAGAUAAAGAGUAAGGAUUGAAACCCCAUUAGCAGCUUGUGUAUGUUCAUGCAAUAUGGGUGUCUCAUCCUUAAGAACUGGUUACUUCCUCAGCAAAAUUUGGAUUGUGGAAGGAUAAGAUCUUGCUUCAACAGAGAUUCAUGAAAACAUAUCCACCACCUCCACCGCUCUUUUCUUUUUCAUAAAUAGGAAGUUUAGAAUCCAACUUGAUUAUUGAAAGGAUUACCAGAUAUAACAGAAAAAUGUUCCACCUGUCGCUGCAUGUCUAUUUAAGACUAUACAGAAUUAAAUUCAACAUCUACUGGAUCAAUUAUACUUCCCCCAUGCUUUUUACACUAGUUAUGGAGGUAAAAGUAUACAUGGGAGUUGAAUGCUCCAAUACGGAAAGUAAUAGGUAAAAAGUAGUAUGAUUGAUCACAGAUUUGUUCUGGCCCUAAAAUUCAUCAUACAACCAGAAAAAAUGAUAUUGUGGAGAAACUGAUGUCUUACUUCAUAAUUUUGAGGAAACAAUAGCCUGACAAAGGGUUCAGUCCUAUUUGGAUGCCUAUAUGGGAGGUAAACUGCAUAAUUUAUAUAUAUGUAUAUUAUUUUAACGUUACGAUAUCUAUCCAUGUAUAUAAUAUGAAAAUCAGAACUCUCUUUUAAAGGGAAAUCAUAUAUAGUACGGUUACGUCUUCAAUCAAGAAGGUUAUAUAGAAAGUGAAGAAAUUGAUUUGAAUAUUUGAUCAAGAUCCACAAAUUUUUGCCAUUUAAGACAAAUAGUCAAUUCCAUAAGUUUUACAUCAUGUGCAAAUGUCUGCUCCUCUUAUGAACAGAACUGAGAAGGGUGAGAAAGCUGAAACUUGAGAAAUGAAUUAAAAAAAUAUAUUCUGUCUCUUGUGCUUAUCAAAAUUGUACCUGGCAUGAGGUCGCUUGUGGGGAACAUUUUCUGCAACAUUUCUUCUCUCUCUACAAGAAAAUCUUCAGCUGUAAGUGAAUCACUUAUUCCUGUCUCUUCAACAAAGACCCUGGCAGCCUCUAUUGCCUUCAUCCCCAUCAUCUUUGCCUUGAGUGACCAAUCAAAAGUCUUAUUAUACCUAGCAAGUAUAAUCUCCUGGACCUCCGUAUAGAAUUUCUCGGUGUCUGAUACACAAAAGAAAAGGAACAAAGAAGUUACUCAACCAAGAUUUGUCUUCAAGUAUCAUCUAUUCGACCACACAAAGAUUCACCUGUUUCUUUCCGAUAGAAUAUAACAAACGGGAAAGGCCUGGUAAAUAUCACUCUUCCCUUUGAUCCCCUAUGUUAACAAUCUACCCUCACACCUUCUUCCCGUUACUUAUUUGCUUCCAUCCUUGGAAGCUGUUUUAUUUUCUAAAACAGACUGCAGUGUCUUAAUAUAUCAGGUGAUGGGAUAAGUACAUAUCAAAUAAUGUCUGCUGUGGUCAAACCACAUAGGUAUACACAAAGGGGCAUAACAGAUUUGGCUGUGUGAAUUUGUUUUGUGGUUAUUUAAGUUACAUAACUUGGGUAGCAAUAGAAAAUCCAAAUAACAAAACACCUAAAGUAAAAAACUAAAAGACGUCACAAAAAAUUCAAACGGACCAGUCCAUGCAUCCUUUCCUAAACUUUAAGAUCUCCUAUAAUAAAUCAACAUCGGUCUUACUGUUGCUUUGAGAGAACAAGGGAACUAGAUCUUUUUUCUUUUUGGUUGAUGAAGAGUGAACUAGAUUAGGGAACACAACAAGCUGCCUUAGGUAUAAGAGUUGAUUGUAGUUUUGUACAUCUCCAGAAAGAAGAAUUCGUAAAAGAUAACACAAUGCACAGUGGAAGGAACUUUCUCACACUGUGCUAUUGCUAACUUUUCCUUUACAGACGCACAUCAUUAUAAGGUUUUAACUGACUAUAAAUCAUAACCGCGUACAGGCAGUGAGUAAUAUAUAAUUUACAAAAAGAAUGCAAUUCUCUGCUAUGGUGACAUGCUUUAGAACCACCAAUCCUACAUAAUUUAUUGAUUUUUUUUUUUUUGAAAAUGGUAACGAUGUAUUAUAUCACAAAAGUACAUGGGUUGUACUCAAACCUUAUAUACAGAUGCACUCUAGACACUCCUACUCUAUUUCUAUAUUGAGUCUAGAACAUCAACUAUAGAGACAGUGUCAUUUGAGUAUAAUUGAUUACACCAAAAACAUAACAACAAAAUGCAGUUUAGUUUAACAUCCUGUAUAGAAAGUGAAGAAAUUGAUUUGAAUAUUUGAUCAAGAUCCACAAAUUUUUGCCAUUUAAGACAAAUAGUCAAUUCCAUAAGUUUUACAUCAUGUGCAAAUGUCUGCUCCUCUUAUGAACAGAACUGAGAAGGGUGAGAAAGCUGAAACUUGAGAAAUGAAUUAAAAAAAUAUAUUCUGUCUCUUGUGCUUAUCAAAAUUGUACCUGGCAUGAGGUCGCUUGUGGGGAACAUUUUCUGCAACAUUUCUUCUCUCUCUACAAGAAAAUCUUCAGCUGUAAGUGAAUCACUUAUUCCUGUCUCUUCAACAAAGACCCUGGCAGCCUCUAUUGCCUUCAUCCCCAUCAUCUUUGCCUUGAGUGACCAAUCAAAAGUCUUAUUAUACCUAGCAAGUAUAAUCUCCUGGACCUCCGUAUAGAAUUUCUCGGUGUCUGAUACACAAAAGAAAAGGAACAAAGAAGCUACUCAACCAAGAUUUGUCUUCAAGUAUCAUCUAUUCGACCACACAAAGAUUCACCUGUUUCUUUCCGAUAGAAUAUAACAAACGGGAAAGGCCUGGUAAAUAUCACUCUUCCCUUUGAUCCCCUAUGUUAACAAUCUACCCUCACACCUUCUUCCCGUUACUUAUUUGCUUCCAUCCUUAGAAGCUCUUUUAUUUUCUAAAACAGACUGCAGUGUCUUAAUAUAUCAGGUGAUGGGAUAAGUACAUAUCAAAUAAUGUCUGCUGUGGUCAAACCACAUAGGUAUACACAAAGGGGCAUAACAGAUUUGGCUGUGUGAAUUUGUUUUGUGGUUAUUUAAGUUACAUAACUUGGGUAGCAAUAGAAAAUCCAAAUAACAAAACACCUAAAGUAAAAAACUAAAAGACGUCACAAAAAAUUCAAACGGACCAGUCCAUGCAUCCUUUCCUAAACUUUAAGAUCUCCUAUAAUAAAUCAACAUCGGUCUUACUGUUGCUUUGAGAGAACAAGGGAACUAGAUCUUUUUUCUUUUUGGUUGAUGAAGAGUGAACUAGAUUAGGGAACACAACAAGCUGCCUUAGGUAUAAGAGUUGAUUGUAGUUUUGUACAUCUCCAGAAAGAAGAAUUCGUAAAAGAUAACACAAUGCACAGUGGAAGGAACUUUCUCACACUGUGCUAUUGCUAACUUUUCCUUUACAGACGCACAUCAUUAUAAGGUUUUAACUGACUAUAAAUCAUAACCGCGUACAGGCAGUGAGUAAUAUAUAAUUUACAAAAAGAAUGCAAUUCUCUGCUAUGGUGACAUGCUUUAGAACCACCAAUCCUACAUAAUUUAUUGAUUUUUUUUUUUUUGAAAAUGGUAACGAUGUAUUAUAUCACAAAAGUACAUGGGUUGUACUCAAACCUUAUAUACAGAUGCACUCUAGACACUCCUACUCUAUUUCUAUAUUGAGUCUAGAACAUCAACUAUAGAGACAGUGUCAUUUGAGUAUAAUUGAUUACACCAAAAACAUAACAACAAAAUGCAGUUUAGUUUAACAUCCUGCACACUAUUUUCUAUGCCUUCAAAACAUCUGGAAUUCCUUUCUUUCCAGAUUGCCCACCAUAUUGAAGCAGGGAUAAUUCUCCAUCUAGUUCUGUCUUUUGCAAGGGCACCUGCCUCCUCCCAGCUGUACAAGGCCUCAGUAACUCUCCUAGGCAUAGUCCAGGAUAUGCCUUUAAGGCUCAAGAAAAUCCUCCAAAGCUGCCGGGUGUAUUUGCAGUGUAGAAAUAGAUGGUUUACAGUUUCUAAGGUUUCCCCACAUAGGAAACACCUAGAGCAUAAGGUUAUCCCCCUUUUCAUUACAUUAUCCUGAGUCAGGGCAGCUUCCUUAGCUAGCAGCCAAAUAAAGCAUGAGACUUUGUGUGGGAUUCUACACUUCCAUACUUGUUUCCAAGGCCAGAUGGGACUCUGCUGGCUUGAUUCAUCCAUCAGCCUGUAAGCUGAAUGCACUUUGAACUCUCCUCUAUUGUUGCCUUUCCACCAAAGCAUAUCCUCAUAUGCCUGAAGUCCAGUAAAAUGUCCAACCAACUUGAGGAAUUCUGCCAACCUCAUCACUUCCCAGUCAUUUGGUUCUCUCCUGAAGAUGAAAUUCCACCCUUGUGGUGUCCAUAGUUCUGCAAUAGUUCUUUGUUGGAACAUUGCCAGAUUGUAAAUAUCAGGGAAAAGAGUUUCCAGGUUACCUUUCUCAUGCCAUUCAUCCUUCCAGAAUUUGAUUUUGUUCCCAUUCCCCACUUUCAUCUUGAAUUUGGGUUUAACUUCCUCCCAUAAUGCUCUUAUGGAUCUCCAUAAACUGAUCCCAUAAGGUGUGGUCACAAUCUUAGUCAUCCAACUAUCUUCAUUCUCAUAUUUGGCACCUAUCACUCUUCUCCAAAGUGUUUGGUUUUCAUUUGAGUAUUUGCACAACCACUUCAUUAAGAGUGCUUUGCCAUGUAGCUCCAUAUUCUUUAUUCCCAGACCACCAUUCUUCUUUCCAGUUGUCACUGCAUUCCAUUUUACUAGAUGAAAACCUCUAUUCUCUUUGUUUCCUUGCCACAAGAACUUCCUUCUUAUGCUGUCUAGUCUUUUAGUGAUCCCUGGUGGGAUGGGAAAUAGAGACAGCAUGUAAGUUGGGAGAGCAUCUAGGACUGAGUUUAUGAGGGUCAGUCUACCCCCUCUUGACAAGUACUGAGUUUUCCAUCUGGCCAGCUUCUUCUCACACUUCUCUAUCACACCAUUCCAAAUUUCUAAGGACUUGGAUUUUGCUCCCAAUGGCAUACCCAAAUAUGUUGUAGGUAGAGUACCUACUUCACCCCCUAGAAUUGAAGCUAACAAUUCUAUGUUGUUGACCUCAUUGAUAGUAUACAUAGAACUUUUAAUCCAGUUAAUGUGCAACCCGGAUACCCCUUCAAACAGCACCAGGAUCACCCUUAAGUAUUUCAGUUGGUCUUCCUCAGCUCCACAAAAAAUCAAUGUAUCAUCUGCAUACUGAAGAUGUGUCACCUCCAAGCUUUCUGUAUUUUCUCUAGCCACAUCAAAACCUUUUAUCCAUCCUCUCAUAUUUGCUGUCUUGAGCAUAUUAUUCAGCCCCUCCAUAGUAAUUAAGAACAAGAAAGGGGACAAUGGAUCACCCUGCCUGAGUCCUCUUUGAGUUUGAAAAAACCCUGCAGGGGACCCAUUAAUCAGAACAGAGAAGCUAACUGUAGAAAUGCAAAAGCUAAUCCAGUUCAACCAUUUUUGUCCAAAUCCCAUCAUCUCUAAAAUCUUCAGAAGGUACUUCCAAUUCACAUGAUCAUAUGCUUUUUCUAUGUCCAGCUUGCAUAGAAUGCCAGGUUUCUUCUGCUUAUUCCUGGAAUCUACAGCUUCAUUAGCAAUCAACACUGCAUCCAUAAUUUGUCUCCCUUUUAUAAAAGCCAUUUGCUGUGAGUCCACCAGUUUGUCUAUCACAACUUUCAACCUUUCUGUGAGAACUUUGGAGAGUAUUUUGUAAAUGCUCCCUAUGAGGCUAAUUGGUCUGUAGUCCCUUAACUCAUUGGCUCCUUUUUUCUUUGGAAUGAGUGCAAUGAAGGUAUUACUCAACCAAGAUUUGUCUUCAAGUAUCAUCUAUUCGACCACACAAAGAUUCACCUGUUUCUUUCCGAUAGAAUAUAACAAACGGGAAAGGCCUGGUAAAUAUCACUCUUCCCUUUGAUCCCCUAUGUUAACAAUCUACCCUCACACCUUCUUCCCGUUACUUAUUUGCUUCCAUCCUUAGAAGCUGUUUUAUUUUCUAAAACAGACUGCAGUGUCUUAAUAUAUCAGGUGAUGGGAUAAGUACAUAUCAAAUAAUGUCUGCUGUGGUCAAACCACAUAGGUAUACACAAAGGGGCAUAACAGAUUUGGCUGUGUGAAUUUGUUUUGUGGUUAUUUAAGUUACAUAACUUGGGUAGCAAUAGAAAAUCCAAAUAACAAAACACCUAAAGUAAAAAACUAAAAGACGUCACAAAAAAUUCAAAUGGACCAGUCCAUGCAUCCUUUCCUAAACUUUAAGAUCUCCUAUAAUAAAUCAACAUCGGUCUUACUGUUGCUUUGAGAGAACAAGGGAACUAGAUCUUUUUUCUUUUUGGUUGAUGAAGAGUGAACUAGAUUAGGGAACACAACAAGCUGCCUUAGGUAUAAGAGUUGAUUGUAGUUUUGUACAUCUCCAGAAAGAAGAAUUCGUAAAAGAUAACACAAUGCACAGUGGAAGGAACUUUCUCACACUGUGCUAUUGCUAACUUUUCCUUUACAGACGCACAUCAUUAUAAGGUUUUAACUGACUAUAAAUCAUAACCGCGUACAGGCAGUGAGUAAUAUAUAAUUUACAAAAAGAAUGCAAUUCUCUGCUAUGGUGACAUGCUUUAGAACCACCAAUCCUACAUAAUUUAUUGAUUUUUAAUUAGGGGAAUAUAUAGUCAAAGAACUUAUACUGUUUACAGAAAGAACGCAAUUCUCUGCUAUAGUGACAUGUUUCAGAACCACCAAGUCUCUGUAAUUUACUCUUAAUUCCUCUUGAUUAGGGAAAAAGAUAAUCAAAAGACUAAGAAAUGCACUGUGUUUUCUUUGAUAUGUGAGAAAUGUCUUAGUUCUUGAGUACCUUGUGCGCCAGAUAUGUGAUGUUACAUCAGAAAGAUAUAGACAUACAGACGUGUACAUGUGCUUGAGGAACACACUCAUCAUACCAUCUCUACUGGAAUGUGGAGUGGCAUAGUCUAUCUAUAAAGAAAAGCAUAACAGAAUACAUCAAAAGAGAUGGUCUAAUGGUCACAGCCCACAGGGACUCACUUAACGAGACCAGAAUUAUGCAUUUGUUCACCUAUCAACUAUAAUUGACAACUUUUGGCAUCACUAGCAAAGGCAACUUCAAAUUCCAAGUCGGAUAAUUCCUUCAAGCAGCAGCUCAGUUUUUUUCAUUUUGGCACACUGCACGUGCCCAACCAACUUCCAAGAAUGCUAUUUCACUCUUCAAAAUGAUUUUCUAAAAUUUUGAAAAUGAUUACUUCAGUGGCUGUCGCCUUUUCUAAUAUAUGAGUUCCCCACCCUAUCUUUACAAAUCCUAAAUCUGACACUGCUUUCAAGGCAUAACAUCAAAAGUUAAAGUAUUCUAACUCUUCAUUUUCAAUCAAUAGUACACUAGCAUACUCAUUCAUCUCCUCCGAAGAACAACAAGGGUAGAACACAUAACACUCAAAUUUCGAAUUUCACUCCCAAUUCCCAAAUGAUCAGAAAUUCUACAACAUCCAAAGAACAAUUUUAGCAACCGAUUGCAUACCAAGAUUACAUCAAUCCUUGAGAAACUCUACUCUACCCAUAGGCAAUUCCCACGAGCACAUUACCAGUUGAGUCACAAAAGAGGGUGGCAUUGCAUUCUCAGUUCAUUCAGAUUUGUGAAAUAAACUAAAGCAAAGAAAAGAGAAUAGGAGAGCAAAAUGCAAGUGACAUAUUGAUACCUAGAAGAAGCCCGUCCAUGUCAAAGAUUACAUGAGUGAUUGAGCCUUUCCUUGCCGAUGAAGCAUCAAUGCCUUGAUUCGCCAUAUUUCAACAACUUUUAGCUUCUUCUGGCGCACCACAACUAAGAUUGCAGCAGAUCUGAAAGAUUAUUUUUGUUACCCACUGUCUUAAUUUGGAAGUACCCUUUUCUUCUUUUCUUAUUGGGCAGUACUUCUGGGUUUAAUCAGAUUUAACGCCUUUUCCUCCUUUUUAAUUCCGUUCCUUUUUUCCUCCUUUUUCUCUUUUAAAAUACAAGUGAAGACACAAUACAUUGAAAUUGGUGUCGCUUUAACUAGUAUCACCAAACUGGAAAUUAGACUAGUAUUGACCUAUAAAUGGAAUAGUCAAUAUCCAUCCCAUAAUGAAGGUGCUGCUUUUACUAGUAAAAACAUAUUCCCUCCGUCCCUAUUUAGUUGUCCACUUUAGAAAUGACACACAGAUUAAGGCAACAAUGAUUAGCAUAGUAAAAUUACAAUUUUACCCUUAUAGUACAAUUUUACAAUUCCAAAAUAAAUUCACUCAAGAUAACUAAUCAAUGCUGAAAAAUUCAUAAGUUUAUUUACUUUAUUUAUGACAACUUUUCACUUCAAAAUUACAUCCACUUCUUUGAAUUCAAGUGAAAUAAAUUGGAGGGAAACAACAUACACUUUUACAAUUUUUUAUAACAUUUAAAAAUUUCCCAUCAAAAUAUUUUGUUAUAAAAAAAUGCUUCAAUGAAAUGAGAAAUCAAACAACCAAUGGAUACAAGACAAAAUAAAUCAAGUUCAAUGAAUGGAAUAGAUUUAAAUAUUUCUGUUGAAGUGGAUCUUCAAUCAAUAUAAGUGAGUCUUCUACUUUGAUAGGAGUAUUAGUUGAAACUUCAACUUUAUUUCUGUCCAUUUUUUAGUAAAAAAUUGUUCAAAAUUUUUACUCAUAAACUAACAAAAUGCUUUAUGGGUAACUUAAAGGACUGUGUAACUCCCCAAGCAUAAUAAAUGUAUUGUCUGGUUCCAAAAAGAAUGAAUUACAGCUUACUAGAAAUUUUCAAGAAGUUUAAAUAAGGGUAUAAUAGGAAAAAAUUUAUUGUCCUUUCUUGAUUUGUCAAAAUGGAUAACUAAAAGAGGAAAUAUGGACAACUAAAUAGGGACGGAGGGAGUACUUACAUAUUAUACAACGUGACAUUAAACAUCUUAAAUUAUGUGUCUAAAUGCUUUAAAAAAUUUAAGACAAUCUUAGCUUAGUUAUUACUAUAGUACUUACCAAUCUAAAACUUAAUAAUAAUAGUUUCUAUUUCUCUGUGUCCUUUUAUCAAUUAACAAACAAUAAACAUAACUGGACAACAUCAGUCCAAUCUCUAUACCAAUUUAUCAUAUUGUAAUAAUAAACAUCGUGCAUUUCUUUCCUUAACGUACCAAGUUCAGCUAAGUAAUUAAUUUAAAAUUAACAAAAGCGAUGUAACCACAAAAACAAAAUACUACUCCCUCCGUCCACAAUUAUUUGACAGGUAUACUAAAAAUAGAUGUCCAAGAUUAAUUGUCAAUUUAAACAAUCAAGAAAUAACUAAUCACCUUUUUCCAAUUCUGCCCUUAAUGAUAGUGUAGUUCAAUUGAAAAGUUAUGUAGACUUUUGGUAUUCUUGGUAUAGUAGGGUUAUAUUAGUCAAAUUACACCUUCUAUUAAAUUUUCCUUGAGGGGUGUGCAUGACCUUACCCUGACAAACAAUUGUGGACGGAGGGAGUAAAAACUUAUUAAUAAGCUGGAAGAGUGUCACAAUAUAAUCGUAAUACUUUUAUAGGAGAAUGUGACUCUUAAUAAAAAUUCGAGAAAAGUGUUAAAAAGCACCCUUAAAUUAAACUUCGCGAGAUUUUUAGGGGCGUAUUUCACUCGUAUUGCAAGAUUGUGGUGUAUUUAAAUUCAGUUAGUCAAGUAAAAAGUGUUUUUUAAGGCUGCUAGUAAUUCAGAAAAUCAGGAAAAGAAACUAGAUUAAUAAUUCACGUCGAAUUUAGAAAUGUUUUCAAUACUUUUCUGGUCAUUUAAUGAGUAUAGUCACCUAAUUUUGAAGGCAAUAAUUGAUCGUAAUAAAUUGAUAAUGAAGAGUCAUAGCAUGAAGUCCACACAAAUACUUGAUUCCUUCAAUAAAUUUCCCCAUUUUUCCUUUAUCUAUUCAUUUUUUUUUCAAAUUCCAGCUUUCUUAGUCUGCCCUUUCUUAUUUUCUUGAUUUUAGGUAAAUUUUGUGUUUUAGAUAUGUAUCUGAGACCUUUCCGAAUUAGAAAUACUAAAAAUUGUAAUAUCAAUUGUUAUUACUCUUUUCUGUUUUUAUUUCCUAUUUAAUUAAUUUUUGAUUUGUUGUUUUUUUUUUUUUUUUGUAGGUUGAUUGUGCAUGAAUUUGUUAAUCAGAUUUAAGUUAUUUUAUUUUGAAGAAAUCUUCAAAUUUUUGUUGUAGGUGAAUUUUUCCUUAAUCUGAAGAUGAUAUUGACAUAUAUUAUAAUAAUUAUCUCGCUUUUUUCUCACACAAAUUAAAGUGUUUGUGUUCGUGCAAAUGUUAAUUAUUAUCCUUUUAAAUUUUUCAUGAAACUUUAGUAAAAAUUUAAAUCAGUAUAUAUAUAUGUGUGAGAGAGAAUACCAAUUUGGAUAUAUUAUACAAAAAUAAUAGAAAUAUUUUUGUAUAACAUUUCUAUUGUUUUUUAUAUAUUUUUUCAUGUAGGAAUAUAUUUUUAAAAUGGGUCUGAUUAAGGAUUUUAAAAAAGAAAAGAAAAAGUCUAAAUCAGAGUUGAAAUCAAUAGCUACUUCUCUUUCACUCUGAGAUAUAGUGAUUUCAUGUGGUUUGAUUUUAAAUAGUUUGUUUUAUAAAAUACAUCAAAGACACUAAAAUUAUAUUUUUUGCUUUCAGUAUUUUACAAGUGAUACUUUUACAAUUACUCUCAUUUUCCUUUCUCUUUAUAUCUUUUUUGAAAUCCAAAAAUUCUCUAUAAAGGAAGAUAAAAGGAAUGAAUGAAAGAUACAAUCAAGAAUGAAAAAUAACAAAAAAAAAAAAGGUUAUGAUUAAACCUUGUGCUGAUUUUCUUAUAUUUUCUUGAAAUUAACAUUAUCAGUUUACAAGAAGAUUACGACAUUACAUAAUUUUUUAAAAAUAUUAUACUGUUUUUAAUUUCAAUAUCUUUAUAGAAGAAGAAUAUAACAAUACUUUUUGCAAUAAUAAAUAUUAUUUGAAUGAUCCUAUGGAAAAUCAAUUCUAGUAAAGAACUUAAACUCAUUAUGAUCAACUCUCACCUAAGUUUAAAAUGGUACUACUAUUUUCCUACCAAUUAUGCAAACAUUCUACUAUCUUCCUCAAUCUCUUUAAGGUUUCCGGUAAGUGAUUCAAUAAUUUACUUUUGGAAAUUAAAUUUUGUACAAGAUAUUGUGCAUGGAUUCAGAUAAAUGUAAUAGCCUUUUCCUAAUUAGAUUCUAUAUUUGUAAUCCUUAAAUGUAGUAUAUAAAUAUCAAAUGGCAAAUCUUAUAGCUAAAGUUUAUCAAGAAAAUCCUAUAACUAAAAGGAGAAUUCGAAAUCCUUUUAACUUUAAAUCUUUAAUCCGUCUCUAAAAACUAACCUAUUUUUUUUUUGGCUUAAAAAUAUUUAAAGAUGGAAAGAGGCAGAAGAGAGAAGGCAAUAAUAUUACUGGUUGCGACUCUUUCAACAUGUUUCUCUGCUUAUGGACAAGAAAUGAUCACUGAUCCAAAAGAAGGUAAUUUAAUUAUUUCCUCCUCUUGUGAUUGUCGAGCUAGUUAAUGAUAUUUGUAAAGGUUAAUUUGGUAGAGUAUAUAAAAAUAAUGCUAAAUAAAGUAUAUUAGUAAUGUUUGCAUUAAUUAUAGAUAGAUUAUUUUUAUGUAUUGUUUGAUUUGGUGCAUUAAAAAUAACAUGCAUUGCAUAAAAAGUUUUAUUUACAAAGAUACCCUUCAUAAUUAUGAUGAAAAAGAUGUAAAAAAUGGUUAUAAGGGACAAUUGUGUCUUUAACCAUUCUAUUACAUGCAUUAAAACUAGGGGUAUUCACAAUUUGGAUAAAAAUCGAUCCAAACUGGAAAAUCAAACCAAACCGAUUAAAUAAACCGAUUGUUGUACCGUAAUUUUUCUAUCUUUAGAAAAAUCACUUUUUGAAAUGUUCUAAGUAUAAAACAAUUUGAGAAAUAUACUUAGAAAAGAGUCGCCACUUAAUUUUUUAAAGAAAUUAAGAAAACUUAAUUUAAAAAGGCUUUAACAAAUAAACCUUUAAAAAAUUAGAGAAAAUGGGUAAGAAGUUCUUAUUUCUACUCUAAGAAGGUAUUAGCACUUAAAGUAGCCGCUAACCUGCGGUUAUCCUACGACUUGACAAAAAUAAAUUUUUUGACUAAUUCUUUGGGAAAAUGAUUUACAUAAAAAUAACAAUUUAUAAUAUUUGAUUAAUUUUAAGAAAAUGAUUAAAUAAAUGACACAUUUUAUAUUAUUUUUAUUUUUUUUAGAGAAAGGGAUCCAAAAUGGAACAUUUGACUCGAAAUACAAGUGAUUAGAAUUUUAAUAAAACUAGAUUAAUUAGAAUUUAUUUGACUUAUUUUUUAUUUAUUUUUUAAUAAUAAUUUAAACCAAAUUGGUUUGAACAUUGAAACCAUUUAAAAUUAAUUGAGGAACAAAAGUUUUGACUAACCUUUUGAGAAAAUGACCAAGUAUGUAUUUUUUUAUUUUUAAUUGAUUGAAAAAGUUGACUAACAUUUUUCAAGUUUAUUUGAGAAAAAUACUUUAACUUGAAAACAAUUUUAAAAAAUAGAGUAAAAUGUGAUUAAGUUAAAAAGCAUUAAAGAACAUAUUUAAUUUUUUUUAAGAACAAAAGGUUUUAACUUAAAUUAAAGAAUAAAAAAAUUGAUCGGCUACUUGAUAAAUAAAAUAGCUGAAUAAAAAAAAGAUGUAUUAAAAACAAACCAACACAAAGAAGUAACUCAUCUUUUGGGGAAUCUAAUUAAGUUAAUUAAAAAAAUUAAGGUUAGAGUUAACAAACAACAAUAAUGAAUAAUCACAAUUAUGUAUAAUUUAAGAGCAAAGGAAAAAAAGGAUUUGGGCCUUUCUUGGGCCUGCUGCAAUUGAUUUGGGCUUCAACCCUAUUUCUACCCUUGAAACCCUGUGUAUACACCAGGUGUAUAUUGCUGUAUACACCAGGUGUAUACUGCUGUAUACGGGUAGUGUCUUGGCCUAUUUUCCUGUAUAUUGAACCAUAUAACAACUGUAUACAGUUCUCUUUAGCGCCUCCAACCUAUGUUUUCGUUUCUGGCCACAUGUUUGUUGCACCGAACUGGUAUAUCAGUGUAUACUGUUGUAUACAACAUGUAUACAGACCAUUUUCAGCUUUUCGAGAACCUAUUUCAGCUGCUCUUUUAUUGCAAAUAUAAGGAUACCUCGGAAUGACUCAAGGAUAUGCAAGGGAGGAGUCCCAAAGAACUCAUUGUAUGAGUUAUAACCCAACAAAGAAAAGAUGAAUCAGUAUUUGAAUAAUGUGGAAAAUGUGUUGAAUGAACAUUCAUUUAAGCUUAUACUACUUUAAUAAGUAUAAUAAAUCAAAUUUAUAAUGUAACAACACGUACCAAUGCUCUUAGUAAAGAAAGAUACAAAAUAUGGGAACUUUGAUGCAAUGGAGUCUGGUAAACGGGAGGGGGAGUUUGGUAGCUAGGAGGGGGAGUGUUUUGAUAACUAGGAGGAGGGGUACUUUGAUAACUUGGGGGAGGGGUGUUUUGGUAAUCAGCCUGUGCAUAAUAAGCCGGAUACGAACUUUUUGAAGGUCGAGAAUGACCUUGGUACGACGAGGAUUUCCUUGGGGUUUUCUUCCCCUCAUAAGAGAUAGAUGACACAUCCUCUCUUUUCUUCUUCAACAGGUCCGAAGAUUCGGACAAGGCAGUAACACGGGCUAUCUUCCCAGUUCUCAAUCCAUCUUCGAUAGUCUCACCUACCUUGACUAUCUCAGCAAAUUUUGCUCCAACGAGCAACAUGAUUCUGUCAUAAUAUUCGAGCUCUUGCACCCGCACAAACACUUCGACAAUUUCCUUUUCUGACAUAGGAGGUCUAACUCUAGCUGUCUCCUUUCGCCAUCUAUAUGUAAAUUAUCUGUAACUUUCGGUCGACUUCUGUUUCAUCUUCUCCAAGGAGUAACGAUCAGGAACAAUCUCCACAUUGUAGGCGAAUCAUUCAAUGAAGUCCUUAGCCAGAGCGUUCCAGCUAGACCACUGUCUUGUUUCAUGAGACGUAAACCAUUCUAGAGUCUCUCCGUUCAGACUGUGGCUAAAAAGCCGCAUUAACAAAGUUGUCUCUCCCAACUCCAACGAGUUGGUCACAGUAGGCCCUCAGGUGUGCUAAGGGGUUCCCCAUUCCUCUAAAGAUGUCAAAUUUUGGCACCUUGAACCCUUCCGGGAGGUCCAAAUUCGGAUGAAUGCAUAGGUCUUCGUAACUCAACCCAACAACCUCGGGAAUGCAGUUCAACUCCUUCAUGGCUUUUCUAAUUUCCUCCUUCAUAUCUAUCUUGGCGGUCUCUUCCUUUGACCUCCACUCUCUCUCAUUUUCCUCAUAUUGGUCGAGCUCCGAACCAUGGGCAUCAUGCUUGUUGGGGAUCGGUAUUUAGAAAGUGGCCUUUUGCGAUAGUGGUGGAGCAAUAGAGGGACUCUGGCCAUUUAAAGGGGCGUGAUAGUUUUGGGAGAAAGGCUGGGGGCUGGUAUACUGGUUUUGGUGAGGGAGGGAAGUGUGUGGGUUAUUAGCGUUUUGGCUGUGAGGGAGUAGGCCAGUUUGGUGGUUUGCAUUGGGGGAAGGAGUGGUGCUUGAAGGUUGGUAUUUUGAGGAGAGGGUGGUGUUUGAUAAGAGGCUGAGGCGUAAUGAGGUUUUUGGGUGGUAAGGUCAAUGAUGGAGGGAUUACGAGCAGGACUUGAAGGCGAGUUUUGAGCUUGCUCCAUGUUAGAAGGGGGAAUUUGAGCAGGAGGUCUUCCGUCUGGUUGAGCGUUGACAGCAAAAAUAGGAGGAGGCAAAUCUUAUUUUCUUUGCAUCUCGACUCUCAUCUCAGCAAUUUGUUGCAUCAACUGCAGAAUCAGUUCAUUCUGAUCGGCAAGGGCGGGCUGAGCCACCACGACAUUAGUAAGGCCGAGUUCUUCGUUGUUAUCACCCAUUGCUGCUUUUCCCUUGUGUGAACUUUGACUGAGGAAGGAAUCUGUAUGACCUUUAGAUCUAGUGAAAUAAGGAUGAUCGGCCAGUGUAUCAACACUGAUUAGUUCUAACUACUUAUAGAGAAAAACAACUCAAAGGCAAAUCUGUUAGUAUUAGUUCUGGAUGAAUAAUGCAAGAUAUCACAUAGAAGGCAUAUAAACACAUAAGAGUUGCUUCGUUUGAGAACAUGUUAAUACACGAAUAAUGAGGAUUGAUUUUUUGAACAAGCAGGAAUUUGCUCGUUUUAUUUUGAGGCUGGUGACAAAGAAAGGUUGAAUUGCAUUGAGCUAAGGUCUUCUUGCUGCAUCUCUCGACGUCUGUUGAUGUGAAUUCAAUGUUUCCUUGUAGAAUGAAGGGGAAAAAGAAUUUUUUUAAAAAAGAUAGGGGUCGGGCCUUGAAAGGCUGCCUACGUAUCUCCGAAAGGGAAUUCAGGCCCUACGUAGUUCGAAUACUAAAGGAAAUUCUCAUUUUCAUUCAUUCAUUUCUUGAAGAUUACAAGAAAAGUAAAAAACAUAUAAUAAAGCUCCUAAAAGACAGAUGGUGCCUUCAUCAAAGUUGCUUUUUCUGAUUGUUGCAUUAAUCACGGGGGGUAAACUCAUAUGCUUCAAUGGCGAUUUUCUCAUUCUCUUCUUUCCAACGUCCCUGGAAAGGAGGCCUAUAGACAAUUUCCUCCCUGGUAUCUUCUUCAACAGUUUCAGGUCCAGUGCCUUCAGGACUACUGGCGUUGGCCUCUUGGUUGAAGAAGGAGUAUUUUCUGUGUAGCUUUUGGAGCCUCGUGGUUAUAUCAUUGUUGAAGACAUCGCAUUGCUUCCGCAUAGCGGUCGUCUCUUUGUUUAUGAUAGCAUGUCUUGUUAUCUUAGCCGCUAACUCCGCGUCUAGUACUGCAUUUUUGGCUUGCACAACUGCGGUGGCUAGUUCUACUUCUACUCUUCUUUCUCCCAUCUCUCAAAUCUCCUGUUUUAAUCGAAGCAGUUUUAUCCUUAGACUCUCCUCAGUCAUUUUCACUUCGACAUUCUUUCCCUUUUCCAUCGUAGCAGCAAUUUCAUCUUUCCUGAGAUGAUAGAGUAAUGUUUUAGGAUUUGGUAGUAAGAUUUUAUUUCUGGUUAAGAAACUCAAAACUCAUGGAAUUUUGGUCAGAUAUUUUGGUAGUGACUUUGUAUUUAGAAUUGUGGAGAUUUCAAAAAAAAUUCAAAAAGGAGUGGGCUAAAAUGUCCUCAUUCAAAGCAACAAAUCACAUAAAUAGUUAAAUCACACAAAUAUCGCGUCCUAAACAUUCAUGUGACCCUUUUGCCCAGGGUAGGCGUAACGAUUUGAAGGAUGUAUUGCGCUAUUUAAAACAAAUUGUUGCAUCCCCCAAAAUAAGAUUCAUUAAUGAUUGGAGAAUUCAUUACAAAGUCAACAAAGGGGAUACAUCUUUUAGGGAAGGGAUAAACGACAAAUACAAGAACAUCAAUCCCACGCAGGGGAAUAAGAUAACUAAAAGGCUGAAGGACCUGCUCCUCCUCUUGCUUUUUUUACUUCUUCGUGAAUGAGGAAUUUGCUAGUCAUCACAUGCGACUCGGCGAACACAGCUUUGAAAGACAUCGACACACCCUGGAGAGUGUUAAGCUAAUCAUCCAAAUUCGAAUCCAAACGUAGCAAGCAGGCUCUUGCGUUAGCUAACUCUUGUGUGGCAAAGGCUAAGGUCCUUUGGCUUUCAUAUUUCUCGAUGCUGGAACUCUUGUUCCCUACGCAGGUAUCCUUGCUCCCUACGUUGAAACUCUUGCUCUCUUCGGUCCCAUUCCUGCUGAAAGUGGUAGGCUUGGAUUUGGAGCCUUACUUGGACAUCUUUAAUCUGUCGGCCCGUGCGUGGUGUCGGGUCAAGUGUAUCACGUAGAUCAUCCUGCAACCAUUUUUUGUAUUCAUCCUGCAAUCAUAUCUAUUUUCUGUCAUGCUCUCCUUUAGGUUGACCCGUCCAGCUCAUUAUUGACGAAUAUCCUUGGUGUAAGGUAUCUUGUCGCACUCGUUAUAGUCAAAGACGUAGCGGCUAGUGUCUCCUUUAAAAGGUAGAAUUUGUUUUUUGCUGAAUUGUCGCAUUACCCUGCUAGGAUUGUAAGGUCGUACCCUUCUAAUGCCAAGAAGGAUUAUGAAAUGACACUUAGCCCCCUAAACAACUAUUUUUUCUGACAUGAAAUCUUGAAACAUCCAUUGUACGUUUUCACCUUUUAUGUCGUGGAAGACUUUAGCCCAUGCUUCCCUAGUGCUGUGCAUCUCGAACCUGUUGAUGCUCAAAUGGAACUCGUAAUGGUCGAGGUGGCUUUCUUUUUUUGGUUCGGCCAAUUUCUGCUUCUGAGUCUCGUAUGUCUUCACUAGAUUUUUAGACAUCCGCCACUGUAGCAAGAUAUUAUAACCUUGAAAAAAUGGAAACUCGUUUUUGCAUUGACCCAAAGAUCAAUAUAUGUCAACCACAAUGAUCGGGGCCAGAUUGAAGUAUUUCUUGACUUGUCCCUUUUUACCAAUACCCUUAAAGAUGGCGUAAGUUACCAUGACAAUCCGAGUAUCAAUUUCGUUCCCUCCGUCCUGAGGGAAUACCAUCGUCCCUAAGAGGCAUACGACAAAUGCUAAGGUUUGAGUUUGACUCCAACUACUGCGACUGAGAAACUCAUUUGAAAAAUUCUUAUAAUAGUUCUCAUGUCCCCAUCGUUCGUAGAAUUUCACAAAUGGAAUACUCGGGGUGUCUAGCCAGUCUGCAUUUACCAGUAACAACAUGUUCUUCAAUUCUUUGCUGGUCGGCUUAUCUGGUAGCAAAAUGUGAUAAUCUGGAUGAUUUCUCAUUUUCUGGCACAUUUUGACAUUGUCUAGACAAUCUUUGAUCUCUUCAAUAGUUGGUGUCAUUUUGACAUCUCCGAAGCGAAACACCAUCCUCUCAUCAUCCCAAAAUCAAGUGACCACCUCAAUGAACUUAGGCUAAACUUUGAGAUUCAUUAUCGACGGGAAAUGACCCAAAUAAAUGAAAAGUUCUCUUUUCUGAUAUGCAUUGAGAUUGUACCACCACACACAAAGGAGGUUUGACAUCUCGAUGACCAUUUUGAAACUCAAGUGUUGCUUGGCCAUCUACAAAAAACAUACAAAGAAUUAGAUACCCCCCAAAUCCAAGAAACAACAAUUUGUCAAACAACGCAUACAUCCUUCAAACACGUAAGUAUGAACGUCCGUUCGAGUCGUGAGCCUUUUGGACUCAAGGUGGUCUUUCUAAUGGACCCAACACGCCUUGGGAGUUGGGUCAUCUGAAGCCAAUGCUCUAAAUUUUGGGAUUGAGUUUGGGUCUACGCUAUUCUUGACUAAGAGUGGGCUUUCUUUAUAGUAGAUUGGUGACCCGAGCGGACUACUUGGGUUGGGACAGUUAACGACCGUUGACUAUCCAGUAGCCAACUACAUUCGUCAGGGUGUCCCAAAAACAAUUUGGUUAACGAACGAAUGCGGCCCGCAUAGUCGUCCUUUAAGUGGGAAAUAAAAAAUAAGCGUCGUUUGACGAAAUAUGUUAUGACAUGAAUGCAACAGUUUAUAGCAAUUUAAACACAUUAAGCACAAAUAAAUAAUUCAACAAUUAAUAACAAUUAGUCAAAUAGUCAAAUCUUAUGGUUAGAACUUAAUUAACUCCCCAGCAAAGUCGUCAUUUCUGUUGUGCCGUAAUUUUUCUAUCUUUAGAAAAAUCACUUUUUGAAAUGUUCUAAGUAUAAAACAAUUUGAGAAAUAUACUUAGAAAAGAGUCGCCACUUAAUUUUUUAAAGAAAUUAAGUAAACUUAAUUUAAAAAGGCUUUAACAAAUAAACCUUUAAAAAUUUAGAGAAAAUUGGUAAGAAGUUCUUAUUUCUACUCUAAGAAGGUAUUAGCACUUAAAGUAGCUGCUAACCUACGGUUAUCCUACGACUUAACAAAAAUAAUUUUUUUGACUAAUUCUUUGGGGAAAAAUGAUUUAACAUAAAAAAUAACAAUUUAUAAUAUUUGAUUAAUUUUAAUAAAAUGAUUAAAUAAAUGACACAUUUUAUAUUAUUUUAUUUUAUUUAGAGAAAGGGAUCCAAAAUGGAACAUUUGACUCGAAAUACAAGUGAUUAGAAUUUUAAUAAAACUAGAUUAAUUAGAAUUUAUUUGACUUAUUUUUUAUUUUAUUUUUUAAUAAUAAUUUAAACCAAAUUGGUUUGAAUAUUGAAACCAUUUAAAAUUAAUUGAGGAACAAAAGUUUUGACUAAUCUUUUGAAAAAAUGACCAAGUAUGUAUUUUUUUUUUAAUUGAUUGAAAAAGUUGACUAACAUUUUUCAAGUUUAUUUGAGAAAAAUACUUUAACUUGAAAACAAUUUUAAAAAUGAGUAAAUGUGAUUAAGUUAAAAGCAUUAAAGAACAUAUUUAAUUUUUUUAAGAACAAAAGGUUUAACUUAAUUAAAGAUAAAAAAUAUGAUCGGCUACUUGAUAAAUAAAAUAGUUGAAUAAAAAAAAAGAUGUAUUAAAAACAAACCAACACAAAGAAGUAAUUCAUCUUUUGGGGAAUCUAAUUAAGUUAAUUAAUAAUUUGAAGGCUAGAGUUAACAAACAACAACAAUCAAUAAUCACAAUUAUAUAUAAUUUAAGAGCAAAGGAAAAAAAGGAUUUGGGCCUUUCUUGGGCCUGCUACAACUGAUUUGGGCUUCAACCCUAUUUCUACCCUUGAAACCCUGUGUAUACACUAGGGGUAUACUGCUGUAUACGGAUUGUGUAUUGGCCCAUCUUCCUGUAUAUUGAACCAUAUAACAACUGUAUACAGUCCUCUUUAGCGCCUCCAACCUAGUUUUCGUUUCUAGCCCAUGUUUGCUACACUGAACUGUAUAUCAGUGUAUACUGUUGUAUACAACAUGUAUACAGAUCAUUUUCAGCUUUCCGAGAACCUAUUUCAGCUGCUCUUUUAUUGCAAAUAUAAGGAUACCUCGGAAUGACUCAAGGAUAUGCAAGGGAGGAGUCCCAAAGAACUCAUGCUACUCUCUUAAUAGGGACUUAACUAUUAGCAUACAUGUACGAGAAAUCUAGACUUUAAUAUCUUCCAAAUCAAAGAAAACAAAACAAACAGAAAAGAAGGGAGGGAAAAGGGACCUAGUUCAAACUAACAAAGAAGAUAAAUCUAAGUGGGGAUUUAAAAUACUCCUAACUAUCACUUGCAAGUAGUAAUAGACAUAUGAUACAUAUGCUAAUGAUCACGACUAAAAUUCACACAUUUACAAUGACUUUUCAUACAAAUCAGUAACAACAAACAAAUUGCUAAAAAUUGGGAGUAGGUCCAUGAAUAUAGCACAUAGACACAGUCAUAUUGUCAAAUCCAAAGUAAACUUAGACUCAUAGUAUUCGGUACUAAUGACUCUCAUGUAAAUUCUAUAGUCCGCGCAAUGGUUAUCUCGCCUUCAAGUAAAAUAUAUUAAAAGAAGUGGAACUUGUUACAUUCUUUUACAACCAAUGACACAAACUAUAGAGAUAAACAUGAUGUGAUUUAAACAUGAGUUGAUGAAUCAAACCUUUUAUCAAGAUCUAAUUAAAACAGCCCACUUUUUAGCCGAAGUAAACCGUUGCCGCUUAAGAAACUAGUGUUAUUACGCAAGGAAUCAUACACCCAAUACUCAUGAGAAGUUGUGACCUUAUAUUCUAUCAAAGCAAGCGACUAAUGACAGAAAAAUUAGAUUCCAUACGAAGAGUAGCCAAAUAGUGAUUAAGACCAUGCUAUUUAGGAGUCCUCUUAAUAAUUUUAGCAGCCAAACAAGACAGAAAACAGAUACUACGCUUGACACAUUUCAAGAGCUCAAAUUUUACCCACAAGAAGAGAUUUCAGAACACUUAGAGAGAUUGGAGAUCUGAACAAGUCAAUAUGCUGAGGCAGUUUGAAAAGAGAAAAUAGACAGUAAACUGGGAAGAGAAUAAGAACAAGAUAGGUUGAAAUGUGAAAAAAAGAUAAAAUCCUACACUUUACAUUAACUCGACUUCCAAUAAUUAACAGUUUUUUUUUUUUUUUUUAAAAAAACUUCAACCAAAGUAUCAAUACGAAAAGAGAUACAAAGGGGGCUCAAACGACCUGUAAACAAGAUGAAGAAAGCAAAGCAUAACUCACAUCAUUCAAAAAGGAAGACGAGAAAUAAGGGGGGGGGGGGGUGUUACUUUGAAAAGCUUAAACCAAAACUAGAGCACAUGAAACUUAUGCAAGAAUUAAUAUUUGAACGAAUACGAGUAGUGUUGAGUAGAUUAGCAAGAACAUCACUACACUACUAAUAAGAACCCUAUUAAAACUAGCUACGCCAUUGGUUGGCAUAAAAACAAAUUCCUCAUUCGAACAGCGACAGCCAAACAGAAAUAAAGAUUUCACAAUCUCGCAGAUAUUAAGUAGGGAUAAACGAGAUGAAGAGGUUACCUUUCCGUGAGCAGCGAGACUAUGACAAACGAGCUGAGAACAAUGACUCUUCUACUAUGAAAUCUAAAUACGAACACUAAGCUAAGAAAAUUCAAGCGUCGAUCUUCUCGAAACUUAGAAUCAGAAAGCAAGAUAUAAAAUUCUUAAGUUUAAAAUGUCUAUCACUCAAACCAAGCUCAAAACCGUCGUCCUCAUCCUUGGAGCAUGGAAAACUAUUUAUAGGGAAAGAUUGAGCGAUUUAGGGGGGAAAUCCGUUGGGAAAUUCAAACAAAAAUUUGAAUUUCUUCUACUAUUUUCGAAGCAAGUAAAGGGGAUGGGAGAAAGCUGAAUUCCGCAAAAAAGGGAAAAAGGGGACGUGAGGGCGGCUGAUGUCGACGCCUUCAUAGUAGCGUCUUUUCCCGGGUUUGCCGGACUGAUGCAUAUGGAGGAAGAAGAUGUACAGGGGUCGUUUGGGUCGGGUUGCGUGAAGAAGACGAGUAUAGGGUCAUAGGGUAUGACUCUUGAAGUUAUAUGAAAAGGAGUAAUUGAUGAUACCUUCAAAAUUUUAAAUUUUCUUAGAAAAAUAAUUAGUUUUGUUAUCAAUAAUUCAAUAAAGUCUUGAAAAUAGUAUGAAUUCUUUUUUAUAAAAAAAUCACCAAAAUAAAGAAUUUGACUGGAGAAGAAGAAGAAGAAAAAGAAAAGAAAAAAAAAGGGAGAGUGGUUCAACUUGAUGUGGGGGUGGGAGGUGAAGAAAAAGAAAGAAAAUUGAGGGAUGGAUCACUUGAAAUUGCGGGGGAGUCAAAAAGUAAGAGAGAGAAAUAAAGAAAAAAAAAAGGAUAAAAGAAAAACUUAAAAUGAAAAAAAAUUACAUUUUAAAUUAAACUAACAUGUGUCAUGUAAUGAUUGGUGUGUGAACACACUUGCUUCUUAAAAUUUGGAGCUGAUCGAAAAAUGAUACAAUAAUAUCUGUUCAAAAUUAUUUAGUGGGGUAAUAGGACGGUUACAAAGUUGAGGUGUCUUUUUUAAAAUUUGGGACAACUUCAAUGGUGACUUUAUGUCUUUUAUCUAUCAUUAUACAUACAUAAUAUAUUAUCUAUAUAAACAAUUUUAAAGAUCUUAUAUGUGUUUUCAUCAAAAUUUAUUUUUAAUCUAUUUAUGAAAGCAAAAAUGUUCAAAACGAGAACAUUUAUCUUAUUGUUUUCAUGUAUAUGCGUGUCUAUGACAAUUUUUGGUGGGAUUAGAAUUGUCAUUGUCUCUUCCUUCUAGGCCAAAUGGUGAAUCUUGAAGCUUUAUUCAUAAUAAAUUUAGUGAUCAGAAGUUCUAUAAUGUCAGUCGUUCUAACUAUUUUUCGUUUUGAAUAGACUGUUGUCAUGACUUUUUUUCUCGUUUUAGAUGAAUUGUUUCUCUCAUUUUUGUGUAUGGUUAAUAACCAAAUCAAACUGAAAUCGAUAAAUGUAUAUAAUGUUUGGUUUUGAGAAUUUAAAAAUUGAUUAUGUUGGUUUGGUUUUGAUUUUGACCAAUAAUCGAUCCAAAUCGAUUCGUGAACACCCCUAAUUAAAAUCAUUGCAUUACUAAUUCCUAAGAAUCCAUGGUAUUAGUAAUACACACAUUAAUACACAACAGAGUAUAUAACUAAUGAUUGACUUAGUUAUACAUAAAUUGGAAAAGAAUACCAAACAAGGUAUUAUAGUAAUACACAAAACUAAUGCGUACAUUAUUUUUUCUAAUACACUCUAUCAAACGGCCCCUUAGACUAGCAAAAUGAGAAUUAUUUAAGAAGCGGGUACUAUCAACUAGAAGUUCCCUAGUGGGAUAAUUGAUAAUACUGGUGGACUGCGACGGGAUAGUUAAUAAUGGUGGGCGAUGAAAAUAACUAUAAAUGGAUGAAAUUGGUUAUUGAUUUUUUUGAACAAAUAUUUUAAUAAUAUUAACAUUUGGUUACAUAUCUUAAUCAUCAAAUCUAGUAAGUGAUUGUAAAAAAUUUUUAAAAGAAAAGAAAAAAAAAACACUUUAAUAGCUAAUCUAGAUGAAUAUUUAAGAUUCAGAUAUUAAAGAUAAAUAAUUUAAUGACUGAAAUCAAAAUGAUUAAGAUAUCAUACAUUAGUAGUAAAUAAAUGAGACCUUAAUGAAUUCGAAUAAAUUUUAAUAAUUAAGAUAUAUAACAAAUUCUUAUAUAUUAUCAUUAAGAUGUUAUCCAUUCAACUAUUUCAAUAAAGAAACUAAGUACUACUCAUGCACUUUAAUAUUUCAUCCGUCCCUAAUUACUUGUCAAUUUUUGAAUUGACACACCUAUUAAGAAAAUAAUAAUUGACACAAUGAGUUUACCAUUUUAUCCCUAGUAAUUAAGAAGUGGAUGAAUUAAAAAUUUAAGAUUUUCAAGAAGUUAUAUCCUUUUCAGAAUUAAUUAAUUGAGGGUACAAUGGGUAAUUUUUUUUAAUCCUUUUUUGAUUUGUCAAAAUGGACAAGUAAAAAAAGAAAAAUUUGAUAAGUAAUUACUCCAUUUGUUCAUUUUUAAUUGUUGGUUUUCUUUUUUUAGAGUCAAACUAUAAGAACUUUGACAAACAUUUUACUAUGUAUAUUUUCAUCAUAUUGAUAUGCAAAAAAUUACAAUUUGUAGUAAUUUUUGUAUAAUUUUUGAAUAUCUAUUUUUUUUAAAAAUCGAAUUACUGUAAUUUAAUUUAAAUUUAAAAUACUAGUCAAAUUGACUUUUGAAAAACGCAACAUGACAAACAAAAGUGAACGGAAGAAAUAGUUAUAGAGGGAGUUGUUAAUUUACAAACAAUACAUUUAAUUAUACGAUGACAAACAAAACAUGUCGUAAUUACUAUUACAUUGUAUAAUUACUAAGUGAUAAUUACCCUAAUAAUUACACUCAUUCCAAUUAGAUGGUGACUUUUCAAACGGAAUUUAGGAAGUUGAUAUUCGUUCUUUGAGCUUAAUGAUUGUGACUUUUAUUUUAAUAAAAAGAAAAUAUUUAAAAUGAUUUUUUUCGAAAAGAGAUAUGAGCUAAUUAUGUAACACAGAGGUAUAAAUUAGCCAAAUUUUAAAACAGAAGAUAUAACUUCUAUGCUUUCUGUGUUUUUGCUGAAAUCACAUUUGUGUGAGUGUGACCUACUUGAUGCAACGAAUUGUGUAGUAGUAGUAAUUAAUUACUGCCGGAAUGUUCAGUGAGGGCGCUAGAGGCCAUUCAAGGGAGACUCGAAGAUCCACUGGGCUAUUUGAGGAAUUGGGUGAAGGAGAAAGACCCAUGCACUCAUUGGUUUUUUGUGCGCUGCAUUCAAAACCAAACGGAAGGGUAUCAGCAUGUUCAAGAAUUGUACGUAACCCUACUGGGUUCCCCUUUCGAUCUCUUACCGAUUGAGUUUAUAUAUAAUCUAUGUUGUAGCUUACAAUUUUUUUGUGUGGACUUGCAGGCGUCUGAUGAAAUUGUCCCUUUCUGGUACACUAGCUCCUGAGCUUGGCCAACUUAAACAUAUGGAAAUUUUGUGAGUCCCUAUAACAUUCAUUUGAUAUUUGUUAGAGUGGGUUUAAGUUUCACAUUGGUUGUUGGGGAUAGACAGAUGGUGUGCUUAUAUGGACUUUGACAAUCUUUUCCUCAUGAGCUAACUUUUGGGGUUGAGUUAGACUCAUGUAUCAUAUCUUUAUUCUUUACAUGGUAUCAAAGCCAAGUCCAUUCCCGUUUGGGUUUCCAAUCCAUGCUCUUGUUGGGCCUGGGCGUGAAGGGGAGUGUUAGAAUGGGUUAAAGUCCCACAUUGGUUGGGAUAGACUAGUGGUCUGCUCAUAUGAACUUAAUCAAUCCUUUUCUUAUGAGCUAAUUUUGGAGUUGAGUUAGGCCGAAAUGUCAUAUCUUUACAAUAUUUAUUCAGCUGUAAUUUUUGGUGAUUAUGAUUUCAUUUUUGCUUUUUCAAGGAAUUUCAUGUGGAACAACAUUAGCGGCAGCAUACCUAAGGAGAUAGGCAGCAUCACUGCUCUGAGCCUACUGUAUGUCUCUCUUCAGUGCUCAAUUUCACUCUAAUCAUUGUUAACAGAACCCCUUUUUGUUUGAGAUGAUGACCUGAAAAGAAUCAAUAGUUUGGACAAACCUCUAUGACCUUUCAUAAACUCAUUUUCGCUUACUUUCUAUCAUAGAGAAUUUUGUUACAAGUGAUCAGGAAAUGAAUUAAAAAAUACAGAAACAUAAAAUGACAGUGUUAAACUGUUAAUUGAAGAAAUACUAAACUAAUGGUUAAAAAGGUUAGUUUGAUAGAGGUUAUAAAAAAGUUUCUCCCUCCAUUUCAAUUUCUGUGUCUUAGUUUGACUUGGCACAAGGUUUUAAAAGCAAAGAAGACUUCUGAAUCUUGUGAUCUUAAACUAAAAAUGUGUGUUAUGUACCAAAAUGCUCUUUGAUCUUGUGGUCUUAAAUAUGCCACAAAGAUCGGAUCUUUGAUUUAAAGAUUUUCUAAAUAUAGAAAGUGACAUUCUUUUUUAAAUAGACUAAACGGAAAGUAAGACACAUAAAUUGAAAUAGAGGGAGUUGUUUGGUAGAAAAAACAAUGGAAUGUUAUCAAACAUUAUGUGACGUCGCAACAUGGGAAGAGUGUCAUAUAAGUUGAAGGAGGGAGUACUCUGCAUUUGUGAAAAAUAGAAGGAGACACUUUUAAUUUUUGGCAGUCAAAAUAGAACCUUUCAAUGUUAUUCAAUUGCUAAUCAAUCUGUAGAAGGCAGAACGGAGUGAUAGUACACAGUUUUUGUUCCAUGUAAGACAAAUAGUGAUGAUUCUCAGCCACUUCAGGUCCUGUUUGCUGUGUAAUCUUGAAAGAUGAAGUGAUGGUUUGGAGUUCAUGUUUAAUUUACUGUCAGGAGUUUCUGGUAUAAUAUCUACAGAACUAAGUAUACUAACUACAUGAACUCAUCUGAUGGAAGUUCUAAAUAUCAUACAUAACACUAGCGACAGCUACAAGGAUUGACUGAUAUUCCAUUUAUGUUGUCUUGAUUGAGAAAUGAAGCUCUCAUAUGGCUAUUAUCCCAGCUAGAAGUCUUACCUUUAUCAUGGGAAGUCACAUAUACAUAUAUUGGAAUUUCAGUUCUCCAUAUAAGCCUCAAUCAACAUUUCUGAAUCCCUGCUUCAAUUGAAGCCCGAAUAUGCAUAUACCUCACUGUUGACAAUCAGUACUAUUCCUUACAGAUGUUUUAGCUGAAGAUAUCUAAUAAAUAACUUGCAUAUUGUCUGCAUAUAUGGAUUGUGCACAUUUACGAGAAACUCCAGUCCAACUACCAUUCUUUUGUUUUUGCAGGCUUUUGAGUGGAAAUCACAUAUCAGGUUCUUUACCAGAAGAGCUCGGUUAUCUUCCUAACUUGGCUAUCUUUCAGUUGGAUUUAAAUGAUAUAUCAGGACCAAUACCAAAAUCGUUUGCAAACUUGCCAAAAGUUGCGCAUUUGUGAGUUCUCCAUAGAAUCCAAAGAUACUGUACUGGAUGUGGUGGCAUGGAGAUGUUUAGUUUCUGUACUGAUCAUUCUUGUUCUGGAUGCAGCCAUAUGAAUAACAAUUCUAUAAGCGGUCAAAUUCCACCAGAGCUGUCUGCUUUACCUCUUCUACACUUGUAAGAAUCACCUUAUCCAACAAUAUAUAAAUACUAGUAAGUUCCAUGUUUGGAUUUACUUGGAUGUGCAUUAUUUCAGCCUUCUGGACAACAACAACUUAUCAGGUCACCUUCCACCAGAGCUUGCACAGAUGCCGAGCUUAAAGAUUCUGUAUUACCUGCCUUUGAAAUCUUAAGCUUUUGCUGUUUCAAUUUGUCUAGAUUCUCAACAAUUUAAUGUCAUUUCAGCGUUAAUAAACAAACCCCAACACCUCCUUCCCCCCUCACAAUAUCAACUUUUGCAGUCAACUUGACAACAAUAACUUUGAAGGCUCUGUGGUUCCGGCUUCUUACAGCAAUAUGUCCAAACUAGUGAAGUUGUAAGUUACUAAUAUCUCGGGUUUUGUUGGUUUAUGUCCCCUUUCUUGUCUGAUGAUAUACAUGCCCAUUUUCACCAAGCAAGAAUAUAGAAUUCUUAAGGAUGUUUGCCAUCACUCAAGGUUAAAGACCGUAUUUAUCCCAAACUUUGAUCAGAAAACAAGUCCCCAGUGAACAGUCAGAAAUAAAUAUAUUCACCUUGUGAUGUGACCUUUUCAGGCGCUAGAAUUACAAAAGAGGAUAACCAAAAAAAUUUCUCCAUAUUACAUCAAUGUACUCCCAAUAAGGGUUUCCCACCCCCUUCCUCACAAUAAAUGAGAGGCUACAGCAGUAUUUUCAUUCUUUGGCAGUGACCUUUUGACAUAACAUGGAGUAACAAUCUAAGACUGACGGAGGAACUCAAUGCUAAUUUACUAUACUAUGAAGCUUAUUGUGGUCAUUCUAUGAUUAUAUUCACCAUUCUUUAAUUAAUAUUCUGCAUAUUAUUUCAUCAAACCUGCAGGAGUCUUAGGAACUGCAACUUGCAAGGAACAGUUCCUGACCUGAGCACAAUACCAGGCCUUCUGUACUUGUAAGCAUACUUCAUUGAGAAAUUCCUCUGUCCAAUUAAACCACAUUUUGAAGCUUAUGUUCUUGUUGUUAUGACCUCUUAUAAUGUUGAUAUCUGCUAAAUUUUGCUUAAUAGUUCUUAUAUACCAGAUGAAGUUGAAUUCAUCUGCCAUUCAAUUUGCUUUGAAAACUUGAAAGAUAGACAGUUAAAUUUACAACCAAUGACAAUGCAUCUUAUGCCAAUUUCUCAUGUCAGGGACCUUAGCAGAAACCAACUCACGGGAAAUAUACCUUCCAAUAAGCUGUCUGAUAAUAUCACAACCAUGUAAGAUUCUGGUAAAAUAUUAAACUGCUUAAAUCUUUACUGGUUAAUACAGCCAACUUUUAAUCUCACUCCCUUCUUCUUCUCCCCUCCCCCUCCCCCUCCCCCACUCUCUAUCAGUAUUUGUGGGUAGGUGGUCUAAUAGAAUUACUGUCUUAACAUAAACUCUUUUCUUUUUGAUGUUUGAGUAACUCAGUCUUGGUAAUAUCAGACUCUCGAUAGUGAAGUAACUACUUUGAUGAUGAUUGCAGCAUUCUGUCAGGAAACAUACUUAAUGGUUCUAUUCCUUUGAGUUUUUCUGCCCUUCCAAAUCUGCAAAGGCUGUAAGGAGCUUCAUUUGCUCAAUCUUUGUUUCUUGAUCCUCAGGUUAUUUCAAAUUUCAUUUCGAUACUAUAAUAGCUGCAGUAUUGACACUUCCUUUCCUAAAAUUAUUUUUCUUGUAGGUCACUCAACAAUAAUAGGUUAAGUGGUUUUGUGCCAACUACCAUUUGGGAGAAUAAGACAUUUUCCCCAGAUGCAAAACUUAGAUUGUAAGAGUAUCAUUUGUUCAUUUUCCUCUUAACAGUACUUUAUUUUUCAUUUUUGUUCUGUAUACUGCCCCACAAUCGAUUGGCUAUAUAAAAUGUUAUAAAAAGCGAGGAAAAGCGCAAAGCGAGGCGAAGCGCUGCCCCUGCGCUUUAAUUUCCUGAAGCGAGGCGAUAUUGAAAAGGCACUCGCUUCUACAGUUGAAGCGAGAAGCGCAAGAAAAGAAAAAGCGUGAAAAGGCGCGCUUAAUUUGAAAAAGCGAUAAUUAGGGUUUUUUUAAAAAAAAAUUUAAGGUUUUUUUUUUAAUUUCUGAAAUCCUUACGCGACUUCACAUACCUCUUUCGCGACUUCAAUUUUUUUUUUUGGACUGCUGCGAGGCUGCAACUGCUACUGUAAGUUCUCUUCUUUCUCUUUUUCCCUUUUUCUCUUCUUCUCUUCUUCUCGUCUUCUUUGCGACUGCUCUGCGAUUUUUUUUUCUAUUUUUGGUUGGUGCUGUGUUUUUUCCUAUAUUUUUAUUGCUGCCAGGGUAAGUUCUUGAAACGAACCCGAAUUCUAAAUACAGAUACAUAAACAUUAUAUUCAUUGAUAACCAAAUUAUAAUAACAACACUUGAAUUACAAAGAUAAAUACCGAAAUAACAAGUAACUAAAGAUAAAGAUAAGAAUGGAGAUGAGAAGUUAAGAUUCUAGAAAGAAGAUGAGAGGAACAAACGGUUUCUUCAUAAUACACAUAACUCUUCUGUCUAAUCCCUAAUCCUAUUUAACUGAUUGAUAAUUGGGCCUGGAUCCCAAAUAAAACUCUCUAGUAUUUUACUCGGCCCAAUAAUCCCAUCUAAAUCAACCCCAUUCAUGACUUCUAACACAUAUGCCCGUACAAAGUCUACUUGAUUCACAACAGUUCUCUUCUUCUCUUCUUCUUCUUCUCUUCUUUUCUGUGAGGCUGCUGCGACUGAUCUGCUACUUUUUGGUUGCUGCUGUUUUUUUUUUCAAAAAUUUUGGUUGCUGCUGUUUCUUUUUUCAAUUUAUAUACUGCUCUGUUUUUCCAAUUCUUUUGCUGCUCUGUUUUCUUUUUUAUUUCUAUACAGUGAUUGUGAUCAGUGAUGUGUGUAUGCUUGCUACUCUGGUUUUUGUUAAUUUCAAUACAGUGUGAUCAGUGAUCAGUUUGAGGAUCCUGUUGAAGAAUAGGAGUUUGAUCCUUUUGUGAUUUAAUUAUGUUUUUGCUUUAUAUGUUAUGACUUAUGAGGAUUAUUGACUAUCUAUUUACUUUUAAUCUAAGAAUAUAUUACCUCUAUUCAGUUAAUUAAUAUUUUUUUUAUAUUUAUACUAAAUAUCGCUUUACUUAAAAAAAGCACGCGCUUCGCUUCUCGCUUCUGUGAAGCGAGCCCUCGUCGCUUUUUUCCGCUUCUCGCUUCCCAAAACACUGUGCAUAUAGAUAAAAGCUUUUUGUAGAGAAUCAACCAAAAUUUAUGUGUCAAUUUCAGUUUGAUAGCUAUUCAGUGCACAAGUAGUUUUGGAUAGACAAAGAAGGUAUCCAGGAAAAUAAGUACAGAUAUGGAAUAAUGUGUCUAUUGGCAACAAGAUUUUUCUAUCUCUAUACAGUUAAAGUACAACAAGGGAUAAUGUGUCUGGUGUUUUGUUUUGCUAGAGGUAAUAUAGCAUGUAUACUUUCCUCUUACUAAACCAUGCCAUGCUUGACUAGAAGUGGCCCUCAUAUGUUAACACCUCAGAUUUCUCGGCUGAUCCAGUUGAUCUCCUUUGUGCAGGAACCUUCAACGUAAUUUACUCUCAGAUAUUUCGGGGAUUCUUGAUCCUCCUCCAAAUGUCGAUAUUAUGUAAGACCAUAUUUCUGCUAGUCUUGAACAUACAUAUUUGUGUUACUUUCAGUUCUCAGCUUUUAUAUUUACUAGUUCUUGGACACGUACAAUGCAUGUGUAUUCCAUACUAAUUAAUACAAAUGAAAAGAAAACUCUAAGUAGAAAAUGAAAGUUCGAAGGAGAAAAUAUACCGUGCAGUAGGCUCUGUUCCUCAUUCUCAUUCGUUACCCUUCAGUAUUCUAUUUUGAAUAUAGGUAACUAUUUUUAUAUAUAAAGUUGGGUGUCAUUAUAUCUUGAAUAAUGAAAUUGAAGUAGUUCUGGAAAUCAUAAGAGAGAAAAUCAUUUGAAAAAGAAAAGAGAAAAGCAAACCCACAGUAUCAACAAUCUUAUAUCCAGUUAUUGCAAGCAGAAGUUGCAAAAACUUUUCUACUAUAGAUCAUCCAAUUGCGAUAAGUACGAAUAUCUAAUCCAAAUACCACAAUGUUUGAUUAUUCAUAAUAUUUGAAAAGAAAAAUGAGUUGCCCAGUCUUCGAAAGCAAAGCAGAAAAUGAGAUGACAAAAUGCAUGGCAACCAAAAUUAAAUUCAUACAAGUGCAUAUGAAUUAAAUUUCACGUGACACUAAAAUUCAUGGCUGAUUUUGUUUAAAACUGUCAAGACCCUAAAAUCCCAAGCUGUGAUGGCACCUACCCAAAUCCUGUAGGUGAUUCAAUUACAAUACUAGAUCCAUUUUAGCAAUUUAAACCGUGGAAUUAAAAGGGAAACGGGUAAACAAGGCAAAAGCAAGUGUUGCAGGAAAUACACAAUACGCCACCCAAAACCUGGUGUCACAAGUACAAGAGCUUCUAAAGUAGGAUUACAAUUCUCAAUAAGUACUAUGACUGUCCAAAAAGGAAAGAUAGAAAUAAAUAAAAGGAAUGGAGUCAGGUGUCUCGGAAUAACCAAGCAGCUCACCCCGAAUACUCCAAUCUAUCACCAAUUAGAUGCAAGAUAACCUAUCACUCAUACUCGGAACAAAAUCUGCACUCAAACAGUGCAAAAAACAAGGGUGAGUAUGAGAAAGAUGUGUACUCAGCAGCAUCGUCGAUCGACCCUAAAUGAAGCAAUAACGAGGGUUGGUUAUACCAUGCUUACCUUCACACUUCUCAAUAACCAUAUCAAUAACAAGUGUAAAGAAUCCAAACAGUUAAAUGAACAAGGUAGUUACAAUUAUCAGAAUUCAUCAAGUCAGGCAAGUAAGCUUCAGAUAAUGUCAACCAAACAGGUAAGAAUCAAUAUGAAGUAUGAUAACCAAUGCAAUGCAAGUGAUGUGAGAUGAAAUGCAAUGCAAUGGCCAAUGCACCAGUACACACACUCCUGCGGUAGGUAGUCGGGACCCAUGGAGGACUCGCGAGGCCCAUAUCCUGCCCCCACAAUCCGGUCUGUAGACCCAUCGGGUAAAAUAGUAUCAUCACUCCAUCCAGAAUCCGGUCUCUUAGACCCAUCUGAUAAUCACUGUAUCAUCAUUUCAUCCGGAAUUCGGUCUUUUAAACCCAUCAGACUAACCAUAUGAUUCAUCAAGUAUAUAAUGCAUGAGACAUCAUAUGAAAGCAUGAUAGAAUACUAGAGUUAUGGAAUACAUGAACAGAUAAAAUACCUUUCAACCAGUUCAUACUUCAAUUUACAAAUAAUAGUGAGUUAUGAAUAUCAGAUGGUCAUACAAGCCAUGUAUCAACUAAAAGCUCAAUUAGUCAUGUUCUUACCCACUGUUAUCAUAAAAAAAAUUUGAUGGGUAAAAGUUUUUAUUAAUAUGGUACCAACAUAGCACAGGACUAAGUACAAAGCUACAACAUCUCCACAAUCAUACUACAUAUUCUCCCCUAAAAGAUCCAAAAAAAACAAAUAUUGGUCCGUCCUAUCUAAAGUACUACUAUAACACCAAAAAACAAGUUUUUGAUACAUUAUUUUUUACUCUAGCAAUCUACGGUCUUUUUCCCUCAAAGCAUGUCUUGUUCCUUUCCAGCCAAACAGUCCAAAAUAUGCAAAUGGGAAUGGUCCUCCAUAUCUGUUUCGCUCUUCCCUUUACUCUUUGAGCUUGCCAAACUUCCAACAGACUAUUGAUCCUGUGAUAUAACCAGAGACACACCCAUAAUGUUCAGAAACAAUUUCCAGCAUUGUCUUGAGAAACUGCAAUGUAGGAACAAGUGCUCAACUGUUUCCUGCUUCAUGUUACAAAAAAACAUCUGCUGCACAUGGAAUAGCCUCUCCUUUGCAGGUUAUUUUGGUUUAAACGAGCAUCCCUGGCUGCUAACCAACCAAAGCAGGUUGCUUUCAAAGGUGCCUUGGUUCUUCAGAUCAUUUUCCAGGGCCAGUAAGGAAUACCCUGAUUAUUCUGCUGUAGAAACAUUUUAGAAGAACUUUUGAUUGAAAAUACUUUAUCCCUGUUAUGGACCCAACUAACACAUCUGUUUUGUGUCAAUCAAUUAAGCAUAUGCUCAGUUGUUGCAUCAGUUGACAGAAACUUUCUACUUCUCUAUCAUUCAAGUUUCUCCUGAUAGUAAUAUGCCAGCCUGAGUUUCAUGGAAAUUUAACAGGUUACAUAACGAAGAAUCAACAAGUUUUUCAUUAUGAUGGAGCCAGUAUACAUUUUCUUUUUUGAUUAAUUCUAAAAACAAAUUGCUCAACUUCUAUCUCAGUUAAAUGUGUUCUAGCUUCAUCUGAUAGCUUAUGCAUGUUUGUGUGCAGCUGUGUGUGCCAUAUUUGCUGGUUGCACAAAUUACAUUAAUAAUGUGAUGGGGUUAACCCAUUUCCUGAUAUUUUAACUUGCAAAUAUUUUCAAUGGCAUAAAGUUCGGGCUCUUCUUAUCACUCUUUGAAAUUUCUGAUUAAGCAUUCAUCAAAUUAUGACACUGAAUAAUAACUUUCAGGCUUUAUGGAAAUCCUGUAUGUGGAAAUGCAAAUGAGCGUCAGAUUACCCUGUUUUGUAAAUCAAAAGAUGGAGAUGAAGAGUAUGGAGUCUUUAACAAUUCCAUUCCAAGUUGUGCAGCCCAGCAACCUUGCAACAGUUAUUCCGAACAUGUCCCAACAUUAGUGGAUGGCUGCUUUUGUGCAGCACCUUUUGGAGUUGGUUUUCGUCUAAGAAGCCCUAGCUUUUCAGACUUUCCGCCACAUUACAGUGACUUUGUGCAGUGGAUAAAAGACAGUGUUAACUUGAAUAUUUAUCAAAUAUACAUUCAUUCUGUUGCAUGGCAAAGCGGUCGUAGGCUUAGGAUGUUUUUGAAAUUUUUCCCUCCACGUAUAAAUGAUUCCAAUGAUUUUACCAAAUUUAAUGACAGUGAGAUAGUACGGAUUGCAAACGUAUUUGCCACCUUUAAUCUUACUGGAAGUGAUGUCUUUGGCCCAUAUGACCUGCUCAAUUUCACUGCCAUGGGAUAUAGUUCUGGUAUGUCUCCAAACCCACUGUGUUCUUGCAUAAGUAGGAUAUAAUCUUUAAUGUUAUUCACAGAUCAGAUUGAUUAAAUGUGGACAUUUUCAGUUGUAGUUGUGUAAUGAUUUCCUGAGGAAUUUAAAGUAAAACCAAAUUGAAUCAAGAAAAAAAAUGUGAAUCUCGUGUGCCCGUAUGAUUUUUUUCUUUUAUUCUUGCUGAUUCUUGAAUAUAAUUAUUAUGAUUAUUAUUAAUGUCGUUUAUCUUUACUGGUCAUGCUCAGAUAAAAACUCUCUUUCCCGUUGUGCUCCAUUUCGUUUCUGAAAAUGUCUAUUUAUAUCAUCUAUCUUGUGAUAUGGAACACAGUUUCUCCUGUUGUCGUUGAAGUAUGCGAGUAAGAAAAUUCAAUGAAAUGGUUUAGAGACCCAUGCAUUAUUGAAGCUUAACAUCCUCAUAGACAUGCUAACCUGAAAGAGAUGCUAGUGGUUCUUAGAUACUUUUGACUGCAUUACUAUAAGUUCUUAAUUAAGUAAAAUCUACAGACCCAUUCAGAAACUCAAGAGGAAUUGCCUACUAUUGUUUUAUUUUUGAUGUAAAGAAGAAUUUGUUUGUUAAUGAUACAGAAUCUGUUUAAAGAAACAUUAUAGAAUCUUUGUAAGAAGAACAAAAAUCUACUUUUUUAUUUUUGUAUUCUGUAAAGAUGUCUCACAACACAGACUUUGUCCUGAAUAUAUAUAUCAUUGUUACCUUUCUCAAAAUAAUAUGCUACCAUAUAAGAGAGCCAAUAACUUGCUCUGUUCUUGUUCUUCUUCCUGCUUUCUUAAGAUCAAAUUCUGAAUAUUUUCCUUCUUGCAGCCCUUUUUCCCCCGUUGGGAGGAGGGGGAAGCAGAAUAAACAGAGGCACCAUGGUUGGAAUUGUCUUUGGGUCCAUAUGUGCUGCAGCUGCGCUACUUAUGGCCAUAAUAUUUGUGUUGCUUAAAAUGCGUCGAAGGUUCCAUGUUUCAAAAGAUCAACCAUGUGAGUUAAUCUUCAGUUAUCGUAUGUGACUUUGCCUCAGCUAUGGGGAGUUUCUUCUCCAUUUCUUUCAGUCAUCCCCAUUAGGACCUGCUGGUUAAGUAGUUAAUAGACUUGACUUUUCUUGGAUAUUCUUAUGAAUCACCAAAAAUGAGGCCGUGAAACCACAUUUUUUCAGCGGUUCAAGCAUACAACGCAAACUUCGCACCUUAUAAUUUCCGAUUUCCAGCUUUUGUAGAACAAAAAGAUGCCAAUAACCAUUCUUUUUCUUCUUUACUGUGAUUUUCUUGUUUCAAUUGCCUUCAAGAAAUAACACAGAAUUGCCAGUGUCAACCAUCUUGUUUGUAAUUUAACUAUGAUACUGCUUGAUGUUUACUUUAAGUUUCUUUUCAGAAGAGAGUAUGGUGCUUUAAUUCCUCACAUGGCCAGAGAAUUUUACGGGUUUUAUGGAAAGUUUGUGCAUAUUGCAUUUUACAAUAAGUUCUCUGCCAAUGCCCAUCACCCCUAAAACAAAAAAGUGGAAAAGAAAUAAAUAGAAAGUGUGCUGGGUAUGUAUAGCUAAGUAAUACCCUUGUUGUAAUGCGUCUGUUAUUUGUAUAAUUAGACUACCAUUUAUGUUCUUUUAUUAGUCAGGGUUAAUUGAUAUUCUUAAACAACAUUAUACCCAGUGUAGUCCCACAAAUUAGGAUCCGAGGAGGGUAGAGUGUACCCAGACCUUACCCCUACCUCAAAGGUAGAGAGGUUGUCUCCGAUAGAUCCUCGACUCAAGAAAAACAGCCCAGAGUAGUCCAGAAAAAGAAAUAAUAGAAGUAUAAGAAACAACAUACAGUAACAAAACAGUAUUACACAAAACAAUAUGAUAGUCAAAGUACAAAGAACAAUAGAUAGUAACAGUAAUUAAUUGAUAUUCUUAAAGUGAACAAAAUUAGUUGAAGCCAACUAUUGUAGCAAAGGUUUAUUUGCAUUGAAGUCAAUGUUGAAAAUUGCUUUUGUUGCUGCAGAUUUACUAGGAAUAACAAGUAGUUUAGUUGUAGGAGGAGUCUUCUGUUAAAUUUAAAUUUAAAUCUAGUUGGAUAUAUUUAGUUGAGAUAGUGUAGGAUUUUGAAUUUUAUUUUGCACAAUUUUUGUUUUCAAGUUACUAUUUAAAGCCCUCUAUACUUAGCAAAAUUAUUGAAAAACAUUUUUUAAUUACUUCCAAAAAAAAUUGGUGGCACCUUCUUUUAAAAAAGUUAACGGUGGUGUCAAAGCUUUAUUUGAGCUUAUUGAACUUGUGAGUUCAUUGAAGUAGUACUUUCAACCAAUUUUAACCCAUAUAUAUUUUCAACCCAUUUUUAAUCCGUGCUUAUUUAUAACGAGCAUGACUAUUUCAACCAAUACCAAUUUCAACUAAAUUUUAAUUCAUGCUACUUUCAAACCCAAUUUUCAACCAUGACAAGCAAUCAUCUCUCUCUAAGUACCCCACAAAUUUUCACUAGUGAGAACUAUCAAAUUUGGUGAGUGAAGUUCAAGUCUUCCUAUGAAACGUAUAAGUUUUUACAACACUUUUUGCAAAUUUUAUAAUUGUCCAUAUUAAAGCACUUUCAAAAGAGCUUUUAGGCAAAAAAUGUUAUUGAGGUUCUUUUUAUGCACAAAACAAAAAGAAGAGCAAAGAUUCAUGUUACAAAAGUAUGCAAAGUUGGAGACGCUCAAAACAAUCCUCAAGCACAAACAACAAAAAUAGAAAUUAAGGAAUAACUUUUUAAAAUUGCAGCAACUGAAGCAAAGGAGUGUUGGAAAUAGUUUUUGUUAUUGCAGAUUUACAGAAUAACAAGUAGUUUAGUUGCAGGAGGAGUAUCUGUUUGAAUUUAAAUUAGUUUAGUUGCAGGAGGAGUAUCUGUUUGAUUUUAAAUUUAAGUUUUGUUGAGAAAGUUUAGGAUUUUGAAUUUUAUUUUGCGGAUUUUCUGUUUUCAGGUUGGCUAUUUAAAGCGCUCGAUGCUUGAUAAAAUUAUUUAGAGACAUUUUCAAAUUGUUCUUCCAAUCUUUUUUGAUGCACGAUCUUUUAAAAAAAAACAGUCUUGCUAUCAUCAGCUAAGCUUUUUCCUUUCAUUCUUUUUAUGACAACUUUUCAUGCUAAUAUUUUCAAUGAAUAUCUAAUUUUGAGUAAUUGAAUCUUCUAUGUCAUUAAUCUCUUUCUUGCUUAAACAAACUUACCAAAGACCACGUGGAACUCAUAGUAAUAUUCCUUUCAUUUUCUUUUGUAGUGCCAAAAUUUCCAAUGCGAAUAGAAGGUGUUAAGGCAUUGAGUUUUAAGGAAUUAGAGGCAGCAACUAACAGUUUUAGUAGUACAACUAUAAUUGGCCAAGGAGGCUAUGGAAAGGUCUACAAAGGUAUUUUGGCAGAGGGCACAACAGUGGCAAUAAAACGCGCACAACAAGGCUCAUUACAGGGGGAAAAAGAGUUCUAUACUGAGAUAGAAUUACUGUCACGUUUGCAUCACCGAAAUCUGGUUUCUUUGGUGGGAUACUGUAAUGAAGGAAUUGAACAAGUAAGAUUCUCCAAACUGGAAAAAUAAUACACAAUAUAUAAUAUAUAUAUAUAUAUAUAUAUUUCUUAUGGUGAUUGUCUCAGUUCAGUAGUCAAAUUCUGAUUGCUCAGUUCUGGUUGAACACCUAGGCCAAAAUUGAAAUUUGUGCCUUGUUGAUCAUUUUGAAUGCCUCGCUGCCAGUGUGCAGAAGCAAUCAAGCAUAACGUCAAUCACCUUCUACAACUUAGAGAAUUCUAUUUGAUAUAAAUCCAGAUGCUAAUGAAAUGACAAGCAUCACAUAAAUGAUAGUUAAAUUGCAGCGCAAAGUUCAUAGACUUAUCUGAUUCUUCUGUUAAAGUAAACUCAAGCUGAAGUCUUCUAAGAUAGUAUUUUCAUCAUAUAUCUUUUUUUGUCACAAAUUUUUAUCACACGUUAAGUGAUUCUAUUUGUGAGAAAAUUCAGUCUACACUACUUAGAUCACUAAAUAUUAAGUUCAACCAGCAUUCCCAUCUAUGAGCCACUCAUCAGUUACAUCCCUUAUACUUGCGUACAUACUCUUGUUGCAUUAGUGAAAUGCAUGUCUUCUGAAAAAUUAAUCAAAUUAUUAAGAGACAGAUGGAAGGAUAAGAAAGGAUAUUAUGUUUUGUAGUUUUCUAUUCUACUUUUGUAAUAGUUGGUUUCAUGUGCAUGUAGAUGUUGGUGUAUGAGUUCAUGCCAAAUGGUUCCUUACAUGAUCUUCUCUCUGGUAUGUGAUGUAUCCUUCCUUCGCUAUGGUGUCAUUUGACUUCCUUUUGUUAGAAUUAAGCACAUUUAUUCUCCUCUUUUCAGUUUUUCUUUCCGGUGUUCUAUUUUUUAUCCAAAAAAGAGAAUGAAAGAUGUCCCUCUAGUAAAGGGACAUCUUAUUCGAUUUUGAAAUCCAAUAUGAAUAUCAAACAGGUAUCUCCAAAAUAAGAUUAUUAAAGAUCUUACUUAUUUUUACAGCUAGAUAUGAGGAACGUCUGAGUCUUGGAACAAGGUUAUACAUUGCUUUAGGUGCUGCCAGGGGCAUCCUCUACCUCCAUACUGAAGCUGAUCCUCCAAUAAUCCAUCGUGAUAUCAAGACAAAUAACAUACUGCUGGACUCCAAGUUCACCGCAAAAGUCUCUGAUUUUGGAAUCUCAAGGCUUGCACCAUUACCUGAUGCUGAAAUGAGUGGAAAUGUAUCAACUGUUGUGAAAGGAACUCCUGUAAGGCUUUACUCGUCUUAUAUGUUGAAGCCUGCAAUAGAAAAUCGCAUUGCAAUAAGACCUGCAACUUAAGCAAUCUAGGUAGCAUGACCACAGACCAGGACUUGAUAUUCUUCAAAAUCAAUGAUAAAACUGGCUGAGAAUAGGGAGAACUUUUCUAUAUUCAUUCUAACAUAUGCAUGAAAUUGUCUCAUUAAAUGGAUCAAAUCUCCUAUCAAAAUAAUUAAUCAACAGUGUGAUAUAUUCAUCUUCUUAAGCACUUCAAUAAUGGACGGUUGACCUUCUUCCACCCUUACGUGUGUUCCCCUCCCCACCUCCAUCGAUCAUUGCAGAAUUUAAACUUGAGUCUACAUCUCACAGUGAAAUUGAUGGACGAAACAAUUGUCUAAAAAAAUGUCUUUUCAGUGACAUGCUUAAGACACAUUUUAAAGGUAGUUACUGUUGAGUCCCACAUUGGUCGGUGGGAGGCAAAUUUGUCUCCAUAGAUUGUCUUGGACAAUCCUCCACUCAUAAGUUAGCUUUUGGGGUUUAGUUAGGCCCAAAAUACAUUUCUUUAUCAUGGUAUUAGAGCUAAGCCAAGUUCACAAGUCAACACACAAGGCUCUUAAGAAUGGUGCCUUGAGUGCUCAAUGGGCACAAAUGUCUUUAUCAUUCCCACAGAUAGCCGACAGGGUAUAAUCAGUCCAUACACCGAGCCUCCAACACUCGUUGGGCGCGCAACUCUCACCUUGAAGAUGUGAGCCGCCCAUAGAGUUUCCUAACUCGUAUGGAUACCAUAGACACUCCUUAGAGAUGCCUAGGCAGGCCCUUGAGGAUCCCCCUCAAGGUUGCUCACUUGGUACGGCUUGAUGCCAGCACGCACGGGGGAGGUUGGCUGAGCAUGCAACACAUCUGCCCCCUUUUUUAUGCUCUAAAGAAAUAAGUCACACUGGAUGAUAUCUUUUGGUAAGAGAAUCAUAAUGGGUAUUUCUUAUUGAUCCGAACUCCAAAGGACAUCGUUUAUUCCUAAAGACUUGUCUUGACAUCCUUCACACCUCCAUGAAGUUUCACACCUCCAUUAACAGCCCAUGUGACGCCUGUAGUCCCAUUUGACUACAAACCAGCAUUAUGUCUGUCCCAAGAUUCAUGGCUUAACCCUGUACCUAUGGCGAAGCUUUGCCUUUGGCGGUGCCGCCUGUUUGGUGUCAUGGCCUUAGCCUUGACUUGUUGACAUACUCCUGUAGAACAUCUCAUAUGUUUGGUCUUGCCAGCGCACCCGGAUUGGCUAUGGACAUAUUAGUCUCUCCCCUGGCACUGAGUGGCACUCUGCGUGCACGGUCUGAUCCUCAAGCUUGACACUUGCCUAGUGCUUUUGCACAAGGCUUGUAUUUUGCCUGAGUAGGGAAACUUUUAUGUUCUUGGUCUUUUCCAUGUGCGUCUUUCAUAAUAUACCCAUGGCUGACUUAUAUCAUUACCAAACAUAGCCCUCGUGACAUACUUCCAUCCCGUAUUGUGCAACGUUGUCCCACAAUUGCACGUCUAGGUCAACAGGCUCUCAAGGCUGAACCCAAGCCAACCUCACAAGUCAACACACGAGGCUCUUAACAGUGGUGCAUGGAGUGCUCAUUCGGCAUGGAGGUCUUUAUCAUUCCCACAGAUAGCCCACAAGGUAUAAUCUGGCCAUACAUCGAGCCUCCAACACUCAUUGGGCAUCAACGCUAGCUCUGAGGUUGUGCACUGCCCAUAGAGUUUCCUAAUGCGUAUGGGUACCUUGGACACUCCUUAGAGAUGCCUAGGCAGACCUUUGAGGAUCCACUUUUAUCAUGGUAUCAGAGCCAACCCACCCAAUGCUUGUUCACCCGAUAUUGGCCCCCACCUUACAGUGUCCAUACUCCAGAUAUCCAAUCCUGGCAAUAUGGGGGGAGGGGAAUUUCACAUCGGUUGGUGGGAGGAAAAUUUGUCUCCUUACAUGGUUUUCGGAAAUCCUCCCCUCAUGAGAUAACUUUUUGGGGUUGAGUUAAGCCCAAGAUACAUUUCUUUAGCAGUUACAUACAUGUAUAUGAUGGUCUAUCAACUUUAUCAUGUGAGACACGACACUGAAAAAAUUCCUUCUCUAGAAGUGCUAGUCUUGUAUGGUAACAAUCUAAAAUCAUGUUUCUCAAAAUCUGGCGAUUAAAUCUUAGUGUUUCCCAAAGCAAAUAUUUGGCAUGGUUAAGACUUGUUGUUUACGGUCAAUAGUAAAUUUGAAUCUUCACUCCAGCCGAAUGCUUUAUGGAAUGAAACCCAUAUGGGUUUGACAGGGAAAAUAUUGGAACUGUGGAAAUGUCUUGCAAACUCAGAAUAUCAUGCCUCAUUGAUUUUAGGGUCAAACAUCAGUCACUCUUAUUUGUGAUUAACAAUGAGUAAAUUAUGAUUUUCAGAUAUCUACUAGUUUAUUCCUAACUAAUCAAAGUUCGAUUCAAUCAUCAAGUUACACUAAUGAGUCUAAUAUAAAGGAAAAAGUAUAAUCUGGGGAUGAUCUUGUUCAAAAUCACUCUAUCUAUGUAUCUCUCUCUCUCACACACACUUGCUUGAUUAUUUUUGUCUUCUUGCCUUUCCUCUUGAGAGUUCAUUCUCUGAAGUUUGAUCAUGAAUACACAUACCAUGAUCCCCUAGUAUUUCAAUAUUGCUUUUUACCUUCUCAAUUAUCUUUCUCUUUGCUUCUCCAAAGAUAGCUGACAGUUGCCAAAAUUUGACACUUGUGUAGGGCUACCUUGAUCCUGAGUACUUCUUUACUCACAAGUUGACAGAGAAAAGUGAUGUUUAUAGCCUUGGUAUUGUAUUUCUGGAGCUUUUAACAGGGAUGCGACCUAUUUCUCAUGGAAGGAACAUCGUCCGGGAGGUACUUGCUUCUUUUUCCCCCCUUAAGUUAUCUUAGCAUGCACUUUGUUCAUGAAGACGGAAAUUUUCAAGGGAACAUUUGAUAGCUCUUGUAGAUAUAUUCGGUGUCUGCUAAUGGAUCUGAACUAAAGCAGUAGAGGGCAUUUGCUUUCAUGAGUUUCAGUUCUUUUAUCGCUUUAAUAAGAACCUGAAUAAAUUCCAAUGUGAUCUAUUUUAUGAAAUUGAGAUACAGCACGAAUCAAUAUAGUUGCUGGGUCCUUAAAACUUUUUUUUUGAAACUGGUAACAUUUGAAUUGAUAUUUGUACUUAGGGAGUACUGGAAGAACCAUAUUUACAACAGAGUAAGGCAAAAAGAAACUGAUCCCGACUCUAGAUGGACCCUAAAACAUCUAAAAUUGACUCAGUCUCAUUAGAGCAAACAUUUGUACACCAAAAGCAGAACAACAAUAUAAAUUCAAGUUUAAUCUCCUGCACAUUGUUGCUCCUAUUUUCGAAAUAUUUGUCAUUCCUCUCUCUCCAUAUAGUACACCAAAUGCAGGCAGGAAUAAUCCUCUAUCUGUGUCUGUUUCUAGCAAUCCUGUUUCUUUCAACUAAAAAGAGUAUCAUCAAUCUUACUAGGCAUUAUCCAUGAGAUGCCUCUGAGAUUGAGGAAAAUCUGCCACAGUUGGUCAGUGACUUUACAGUGUAGGAAGAUAUGUCUAACUGUCUCAACAUCUAUUCCACAUAAAGGACAUAUGUUACACAGUGGAAUUCCCCUCUUUGCCACAUUGUCAAGAGUCAAAGUAGCCUCAUUAGCUAAAAGCCAAGUGAAACAUGCCACUUUGUGUGGCACUUUGGCUUUCCAAAUGUGCUUCCAAGGCCACUUAAUAAUCUGAGCUCUAGUUUGGUUUGUUAGCUUGUAUCCCUCUUUCACCUUAUAUCUGCCUUUGCUAUGCCCAUUCCACCAUAAGCAAUCCUCUCCUCUCCUCUUUGUAGUCCUUGAAAGUUCUCCAAAAACUUACAAUUCAGUCACUCUUGGCAUUUUCCAAUCAUUUAAAUGUCUUCUGAGGACAUAUCUCUGCCAUGUGGUGUCCACAUUUCAGCAACUGUCUAGUGUUGAUGUUGAGCCAAAGCAAAGAUGUCAGGAAAUAAGCUUUGUAAACUAUCAGGACCCAUCCAUUUGUCUAACCAGAAAAAGAGUCAUGUUGCCAUUAUGUACCUUGAUAAUAGAUUGAAUUUUAAGGUGUUAAAUUAGGUCUUAGGCCUAACUCACACUUCAAAAGCUAGUUCAAAGGAAGGAAGAUUGCCUAAGCCUUAUAAGGAAUCCACCCAUCUCAUUAAUCACCAAUGUGGGACUUUUUUGCUUUAACACCCCACCUCACACCCAGUGCUUAGCAUAUGGUGCAUGGGCAAUUUUGGGCAAAUUUUGACCUACCUCACGCCCAGUGCUUAGCAUCUGGUGCGUGGGCAAUUUUUUUUUUUUGGGCCCCAACAUUGGGUGAGAUGGGUCCUGCUCUGAUACCAUGUUGAAGUGUGCGACCAUCUCAUCUAAAAACUUAAGUUUUUAGAUGAGAUGGUCGCACACUUCAACAUGGUAUUAGAGCUGGCACAGUAACUGGGAUCCAAUAUCACCGCCACCCAAAAUUAAAAAGAAUUUCACGUGCUUGGCCCAUGAAAAAGAAUCAGGCCCGCACGUGAGGGGACGUGUUGAGAAUAUCAUUAAAUAAUAAAAGUGUGUUUUCACUAACAGUUUAAGCUUUUAGAUGAGAUGAUCACACACUUCAACAUCAAAAAUUGCCACGCACCAUAUGCUAAGCACUGGGCGUGAGGUGGGGUGUUAAAACAAAAAGUCCCACAUUGGUGAUUAAAUGAGAUGGGUGGACUCCUUAUAAGGCUUGGACAAUCCUCCUCCCUUUGAGCUAGCUUUUGAAGUGUGAGUUAGGCCUAAGACCUAAUUUAACAUGGUAUCAGAGCAAGAUGGAUCUCCAAAGACUAGCACCAUAAGGGAUAGUGACGUCUUUAGUUACCCAAUUGUCCAGCUCCCCAUACCUGUUCUUGAUGACAUUACACACCAUAAAGCUUGAGUCUCCUGUGGGUAUCUCAAUAGCCAUUUCACCUUAAGAGUUUUGCUCUAGUCCUUAAGGUUCUUUAUGCCUAAUCCACCCUGUCUUUUGCUUCUGAUAAUAUUCUUUCAUUUGACGAGGUGGUUAUCUUUCUUCUCCUUAUUACCUUGCCACAAAAAAUCUCUCCUGAUUUUAUCCAACCUUCAAACCACUGUAUGAGGUAUAUGAAAUAGGGACAACAUGUAAGUUGGUAGAGCAUCUAGGACAGAGUUUAUCAAAGUUAUUCUACCUCCCAGUGACAAAUAAUAUGAUCUCCACCUGGACAAUCUCUUCUUACAUUUCUCCAAAAUUGGGUUCCAGAUAUCUAUGGAUCUUGACUUUGCUCUCAAAGGCAUGCCAAGAUAUGUUGAUGGCAAUGUGCCUACCACUCCAUCUAGAAUUUAUGAUAGGUGCUCCAUAUUUGGGACCAAAUUAAUUGGAGAAAGGUUGGUAAUGAAGUAGAGAAAGUUGUUAUAGCCCAACCCUUAAUUCUUACCGUAGAAUGUGUUGGUUUUUUUAUAAAGAAAUUAAGAAAAUAGCAGGGAAAGACUUUGAGAAAAAAAUACUGCGGAAUUGUCAAAGGGAAUUGUUUUAUUAAUAAUCUAGAGACUUACAUUUAUAGAUAUAAUUCCCAACUAAAAAUAGAAAAAUACGUUACUAACUUAUCAGUUUAAUUCAAAUAACAAAUAAAAAGAACUAACUCCUAAAUUCAAAUCAAAUAGGACUCUAAUAACAUAAUUUGAAAAUCCUAAAAAUAGCUAAUUGUUUUAUUUCUGCAAUAUUCUGAGACAUAUUCUCAACACUCCUCCUUGGAUCAGGUAUUGUAAAUUGUAGUCUCAUCUGAAAUUGACUUUGUGAACAAAUCGCCAAUUUAGCUUUUGUCUUGCAAGGCUUGUGUGCAUCUUCUGUUGGAUUAAAUGAGAAGCUUUUACCUCUCAUUUCAACUUGUAAAAUCUGUUGCUUAGUAGAAUCAAAGAUUCGACAAUAUUUGUCUCCAAAUAAUAAUUUAAAUCCUUUUUCUAUUAAUUGACCAACACUAAACAAAUUUUUAUCAAGAGGCACAUAAAGAACAUCUGAAAUUAUUUUUGUACCUGAAUUUGUUUUAAUUGCAACAGACCCUUUUCCUUUUGCAGGAAUACAAUCACCAUUCCCAAUUUUGACUUUCUUAUUUUUCAUAGGAAUGAACUCUUUAAAAAGAUUUCUUUCAUAUGUCAUAUGGUUUGUGCAACCACUAUCAAUCAUCCAAAUAUUGAUUGCAGAUCUUGCAUUGUGCUGGUCUCUUCCAGCAUUUAUAUGGAGGAUGUCCAUUUUUACCACAAUGCUGAUAAGGUGGAUAAUUAUUCAAAUAUUUACCCUUGCUUUGAGUUUUGUGGUUGGCUACUAGUGCUCCUUCAACCAUACCAUCUUGCCUCAUAAGCCUCCUUUGUUCCAAAGAAUUUAACAAUUCUGCCAAGUAAUUUUGGACAGAUCUUGUAUGUUUUCCAAGGUAGUUAUACAUGCUUUAUAUCUUUCGGGCACUGUAACAAGAACUUUUUCAACAAUUCUUGUAUCUUUAGAUUCACUGCCUAGUAAUCUUACCUUAUUUACAAUACCAAGCAAUCUGUCAGAAUAUUCCUUAUCUAUUUCUGACUCUUUCAUUCUCUGCAAUUUGAAUUUCCUCAUUAAAUUUAAUACCUUCAUUCCUCGUAUUCUUUCAUCUCCAGCAUAUUCUUUCUUCAGAUAAUUCCAAAUUUCUUUUGGUGAUGUGAGAGUCAUGAUUUUCGUUAAAACAGUUGUCGAAACAACAGCAAACAAAGUUGCUUUUGUCUUGUACUUAAUGGUUUUCUUUUCCUUGUGACUCUUGAUUUGAGCCAUGGUUGGAUUAUUUGGCAGCCGAUUAAUUUCAUAAUCCUUUUCCGCGGCUUCCCAAAGAUUAAGAGCCUCCAAGUAGGUUUCCAUCCUCAAAGCCCAUAUUUGAUAAUUCUCACCAUCAAAAAUAGAAGGAGUCAUUCGUGAAAAACUAUUUUCGGAAUCCAUGUUUCUACUCACAAGUCCCUCAAGAAGAAGGCUCUAGAUACCAAUUGUUGGUUUUUUGAUAAAGAAAUUAAGAAAAUAACAGGGAAAGACUUUGAGAAAAAAAUACUGCAGAAUUGUCAAAGGGAAUUAUUUUAUUAAUAAUCCAGAGACUUACAUUUAUAGAUAUAAUUCCUAACUAAAAAUAGAAAAAAUACGGUACUAACUUAUCAGUUUAAUUCAAAUAACAAAUAAAAAGAACUAAAUCCUAAAUUCAAGUCAAAUAGGACUCUAAUAACAUAAUUUGAAAAAUCCUAAAAAUAGCUAAUUGUUUUAUUUCUGCAAUAUCCUGAGACAUAUUCUUAACAAAAUGCUUAGGGAUGAGUUCCCAAAGUUGGAUGUGUUGACAUGAAAUGUUAUGACAGCUAGAAAUUGAGAUCAGCACAAAUAACAUGUCCAUUGUCUUAAUAGUAUCCAGUAAGUGUUUGACCUAAAUAAAAAUGGUGAAGUCCUCAAUGUUUAAGCUGAUCCACAACUAGUACUAUCUCGCCAGCCUAGAAGACGAGCAAUGGCAGAAAAUCAGAGUUCGAGAUCAACACCUAUGUGAAUCAGACAUUUUGAAUUAAAGCUCAAACUAUUUAGAAGUUCGAGGAAAAACUACAAUCAAAAGAAAAAACUGUUGAACUCUCCAAAUAGUUAAAGUGUCAUUCUUUUUGGGAAUGGAGGGAGUAAGAGAAGUUACUUUUGUACUAAUGACAGGUGAAUGCAGCAUGCCAAUCAGGGAUGAUGUCUUCUGUAAUAGACAAGAGUAUAGGUCCAUAUUCCUCAGAUUGUGUCAAGAAAUUCCUGGAUUUGGCCGUCAAGUGUUCACUGGAUGAACAACAGGACAGACCGUUUAUGCUGGAGGUGGUGAGAGAGUUAGAGAACAUCACUUACAUGCUUCCAGCAAUUGACAAUAAUAAUAUUGCACUGGAUUUAGAUGUUUCCACAUCACCAACUUCAGCUAAUUCCAGACACACUACAACCUACACGACUAUGGAAGGAACUGAGCUUGUGAGCGGUGUCAUUCCCUCCAUCAGGCCUCGUUGAUGUUUUUAAGGACUUGCUAUAUACCCUUUAUUUGCCUACAUGUUAAUGGUGAAAGUUCUGAAGUAUUAGAAGUUCAGUAUUAGUAAGUCUGAGGUAUGUGUGUGUAUAUAUAUAUAUAUGUGCAGUUUGAAUCAAUUCUGAGAGGAUAAAAAGACUUGUAUAUAUUAUCAUGAUAUUGUUGUUCCAUUCAGAAGAGAAGUGAUUUUAUCAUUUCAUGUAAGAGUUUUUAAAUGAUUACAGAAAACAGUUUGUUUGUAGUAAUCAAUUACUGAAAAUAUUACCAAAAGAAUGUGCUCUAAAAUUUCAUGUUAUUGAACUGUUUUAUUCAUCAUUUUUAUUUUUAUUUUGUUUUAGAAAUACGAUAGAUUUAACGUCUAAUUAUUUAUUACACAACAAUAACAUACCCGGUUUAAUUAUUUAUUACACAUAAUAUGAGAAUGAUAAGGUUAGGGAGAACUCAUAUAAGUACAACUCAUACACAUACAUUGCAGUAGAAUGACCAAUUUUAACUUUGUAAAUCUGUAGCCCAAAAACAUUAGGCCUAGGUUCGGAAAAAAGAGCAUUUUCUGUUGUUCUUUUUCAAAUAUUCAAGUGCAAAGUUGGAUCAAUUUCCAUUUUUCUCUUUCAUGUUCGUAUACAUUCUUAUAGAAUUUUUUAGCAAAUCCAUAAAUAAUACAACUUGAAAAUCUUUUUUGAAAAAAUCUUCUCCAAGUUCCAAAUAGUAUAAAAUCAAAGAUAAAAUAUUUAAAAAUUGUUGCAACUUCGUGAUUUGGCAUAGAGAUCAACAAGGAAAGUCGAUUAAUACAGAUUGUUCGAGAAAAAGUAAGAAAACAUACAAAAAGUAGUUUUUGACUUCACAUGUGGAGUACACGUAUAAUGAUUUAUAACUUUGUAUAAACUUGUAUAUAAAAUGUAUAAAUAAUAUAUACAGGAAAAUAUUUAUAUAUUGAAUAAAUACACAUUAUACACUCACUAUAAUUUUGUAUAAUUAUAUAUAAUGUUGAUAUGGAAACUAGAUUUCAUCUUCAACUUUGUUUUUCAACUAGUAUGAUUUUCAAGAUCAACUUUUCUCAAACAUUCAAACUUCAUCGCCAUAACAUAUUCUAGAGUCAAGUUCUGCAAGUUUUUUCAACAAUUAAAAUUUCAUCAAAUAGUUUUGAGUAAUAUUUUCCAUAUCUCAUUCUUGUAGUUAGUUUUGAAAUCCUUUUCAUUUUUCUCCAUCAUUUUUUCUCAUUAAACUUUUGUUUUAAAUUUCUCUUCAACUCACGAAGAACUGAUUCUGUCAUAUUUGGAAAUAGCACUUCUAUUUCUCAUUUUGACUGGUGCAAUUAAAGUUGCACCAAACUCUUACCACUUCAUACUCCUGCUUUCAAGUUCAAUCAUCCUCUUGAAGAAUAUAGUAUUAUAGUCUUCAUCAUUUGUAAAACUCGUGAAGACAUUGAACUUAUCAUAGACAUCAAUCUUCACACUUCAUUCUAGAGAGAAUUUUUCAGAAAAUCGAGGUCUAAUUGUGUCGAUUUAGGGUCGACUUUUCAAGAAUCUGCCAACAAUUGCUCUUUUACACCGACUUGCUUGUACUAAAAAAAAAUUACACAAGCAUACCAAAUUAUUGCAGAGGGGAAACAUGUUGAAAACGACUAAGGCAGCAGAGAGAUUAUAUCAACAUCCCAAAUUUUGAAAUAUUGCCAUAGCAAACAUUGAAUAUGUGGUGAGCUACCUAAAUCUGAACAAAUGAACAAGCUUGAAAGAAAAUGAAUACAAUUGUUAACCUAUCUACCAAGUUGUGAAUAUUACAGCGGUUUGACAAUGUGGUUGAUUCCUAUUCAAGCUUCUUAAAAGAAUACUGUCAACAUCUGGGCACUCGUGCUCAUUUAAAAAUUCAGCAACAAAUGUCUUCUGCAAUGUCUUAGGUAUAUAACCGUAGCACUGCAAGACCAACAGCCGAGAUAGAGACAAGAGUACCUAUACAGUAUUUAAUCACUUCAUAUUUUGCAGCUUCAAUUUGCGCCCUCAAUGCAUGAAUUUCCUAUAUAUGGAUCAAGCAAGAGAAAAAGAAAAGAUGUUCACAAGAUGCAUUGAGUUUAAAGAACGUUCAUGCUCAAAAUAUACAAGAUCCA